AAAUAAUAUCUGACAAAUGGAAUAAUUCGAGAGGAUAACAUUAAGCUAGAACCACAAAUCUUCGAGAGAAUGGGCAUGAUUUAGGAGAAACUCUUCUUCGAUCUUCAAAUGACGAUGAGAAACACCACCAAAAUUACUGAGAUACUCCAGUUGAAUGCAAAGAGGUUGAACCAACAAUGAAAUGAUUUGAAAUCGAUCUCGGAAAGGCAUCUGACUGAUGAAAUUCAUUCUUACCUCAAACUCCGAAAAGAAUUAGGGAUGGCUCCGGAAUAAUUAGAAGAUUCAGGUCAGAUCCUGGGAAAAGACAUGUGGGUUAGGGCCCACUAAAAGAAAACAUGGUUGAAAAAGGAUUUUUGAACAGAUAGAUGAUGCACCAGAACAAUUGAAAUAUUUGAAUGAGGUGAUAACCUCGAAUUAAUUCGAACACAAGAGAAUCUCNNNNNNNNNNNNNNNNNNNNNNNNNNNNNNNNNNNNNNNNNNNNNNNNNNNNNNNNNNNNNNNNNNCGAAAGACUGAAGAGGUUCCGCAUGAAUGAAAUUGAUGUCGAAUAGAGAUGCAAACUCUCGGAAGAAAAAGGGGUGGGAGGGCGGGAAAGAUAAAGGCAACUUUGAAGGGCGAACCGACAAAUAACUUGAAAAGGCACCGGUUGAAAUAAUUGAGUAAAGAAUGCAAAGGCUUCGGACGAGUAGGAUGGAUAUUCGAUUACGGACUCCGGCUCCGAGAAGAAAAAGGGUGGGCGGGUGGGAAAAGAAAAUAACUAAGGAUUGAACUUGGCAAAGAUGAAGAGGCUCGAGUCAACUUGACGAGAAAUGCACCGGAUGAAAAGAGCUGACACACAAUGAUCGGAAAACCAACUGUGUGAUCCUAAAGAAAAAUUUGAAGGGAAGAGGAGUAAGUCAAAACACCUAUGUCAAUAUUCCUCACCAGAGCGAUGAAGUGGCUGAGGAGUAAAAAGAAUUCCUACUCUCCGAUAUAACUAGACUCCAAAAACAGUUUUCUUCUAGACUCAACAAUGGCCAACUACGAACAUUCAAGGGGGCUCCUAUGGUCGGUCGAGGCUCUGAUACCAACUUGUCACGCCCAAUAUGCAAACUCGAAAGUCCCACCAAGGAUAGAAGCGCAUAUUGGAGACGCUUUUUAAAGGUGGAUAUCAUUACAUCGUCCAUUCCAUAGUAGUUGGGGAUACAUACGAGAGGCAUACAAUGCCACAUGAAUACAACAUCACCAUACAUAAGAGCAACAUCCGACUACGGAUGAAACACAAACAGAAACUCAAACGACAUCCACCCUGCUAGCCCAGGCUGCCGACCUGGAACCUAUCCCCUGAUCGAAGAAGAAGUAGAAGAAGAACUCCAAAACAAGUAACAUCGCUCUCGCGUCAUGAUCAUCGCACUACCUGUACCUGCAACUAUUGUUGUAGUAAUCUGUGAGCCACGAGGAAUCAGCAAUCCCAUUACCAUGGGUAUCAAGACUAGCAAAUCUUAAUGGGUAAGGAAAGGAUAAGUGGUGGGGUUGCAGCAGCGACUAAGCAUUAUAUGGUGGCUAACAUACGCAAAUAAGAGAGAGAAGAGAAGAAANNNNNNNNNNNNNNNNNNNNNNNNNNNNNNNNNNNNNNNNNNNNNNNNNNNNNNNNNNNNNNNNNNNNNNNNNNNNNNNNNNNNNNNNNNNNNNNNNNNNNNNNNNNNNNNNNNNNNNNNNNNNNNNNNNNNNNNNNNNNNNNNNNNNNNNNNNNNNNNNNNNNNNNNNNNNNNNNNNNNNNNNNNNNNNNNNNNNNNNNNNNNNNNNNNNNNNNNNNNNNNNNNNNNNNNNNNNNNNNNNNNNNNNNNNNNNNNNNNNNNNNNNNNNNNNNNNNNNNNNNNNNNNNNNNNNNNNNNNNNNNNNNNNNNNNNNNNNNNNNNNNNNNNNNNNNNNNNNNNNNNNNNNNNNNNNNNNNNNNNNNNNNNNNNNNNNNNNNNNNNNNNNNNNNNNNNNNNNNNNNNNNNNNNNNNNNNNNNNNNNNNNNNNNNNNNNNNNNNNNNNNNNNNNNNNNNNNNNNNNNNNNNNNNNNNNNNNNNNNNNNNNNNNNNNNNNNNNNNNNNNNNNNNNNNNNNNNNNNNNNNNNNNNNNNNNNNNNNNNNNNNNNNNNNNNNNNNNNNNNNNNNNNNNNNNNNNNNNNNNNNNNNNNNNNNNNNNNNNNNNNNNNNNNNNNNNNNNNNNNNNNNNNNNNNNNNNNNNNNNNNNNNNNNNNNNNNNNNNNNNNNNNNNNNNNNNNNNNNNNNNNNNNNNNNNNNNNNNNNNNNNNNNNNNNNNNNNNNNNNNNNNNNNNNNNNNNNNNNNNNNNNNNNNNNNNNNNNNNNNNNNNNNNNNNNNNNNNNNNNNNNNNNNNNNNNNNNNNNNNNNNNNNNNNNNNNNNNNNNNNNNNNNNNNNNNNNNNNNNNNNNNNNNNNNNNNNNNNNNNNNNNNNNNNNNNNNNNNNNNNNNNNNNNNNNNNNNNNNNNNNNNNNNNNNNNNNNNNNNNNNNNNNNNNNNNNNNNNNNNNNNNNNNNNNNNNNNNNNNNNNNNNNNNNNNNNNNNNNNNNNNNNNNNNNNNNNNNNNNNNNNNNNNNNNNNNNNNNNNNNNNNNNNNNNNNNNNNNNNNNNNNNNNNNNNNNNNNNNNNNNNNNNNNNNNNNNNNNNNNNNNNNNNNNNNNNNNNNNNNNNNNNNNNNNNNNNNNNNNNNNNNNNNNNNNNNNNNNNNNNNNNNNNNNNNNNNNNNNNNNNNNNNNNNNNNNNNNNNNNNNNNNNNNNNNNNNNNNNNNNNNNNNNNNNNNNNNNNNNNNNNNNNNNNNNNNNNNNNNNNNNNNNNNNNNNNNNNNNNNNNNNNNNNNNNNNNNNNNNNNNNNNNNNNNNNNNNNNNNNNNNNNNNNNNNNNNNNNNNNNNNNNNNNNNNNNNNNNNNNNNNNNNNNNNNNNNNNNNNNNNNNNNNNNNNNNNNNNNNNNNNNNNNNNNNNNNNNNNNNNNNNNNNNNNNNNNNNNNNNNNNNNNNNNNNNNNNNNNNNNNNNNNNNNNNNNNNNNNNNNNNNNNNNNNNNNNNNNNNNNNNNNNNNNNNNNNNNNNNNNNNNNNNNNNNNNNNNNNNNNNNNNNNNNNNNNNNNNNNNNNNNNNNNNNNNNNNNNNNNNNNNNNNNNNNNNNNNNNNNNNNNNNNNNNNNNNNNNNNNNNNNNNNNNNNNNNNNNNNNNNNNNNNNNNNNNNNNNNNNNNGACCGCGUAAGGAACAUAACACCGGUGUGACGGAAACUAGGGCGGCAAGAGUGGAACAAAACACCAGGCAUAAGGCCGAGCCUUCCACCCUUUACCAAGUAUAUAGAUGCAUUAGUUAAAAUAAGAGAUAUUGUGAUAUCCCAACAUAAUCCUGUCCAACAUGGAGCAAUCUUCAACUCCACCUGUAACUAACAACGCUAUAAGAGGGGCUGAGCAAAAGCAGUAACAUAGCCAAACAACGGUUUGCUAGGAAGGGUGAAAAAGGUUAGAGGCUCACAUGGCAAUUUGGCAGGCUUGAAAAACAAGUGAUAGGUAGCACAGCAUAGCGAUAGAACAAACCAACUAGCAUAGCAAUUAUAGUAGUGAGAUCCAGGGUAACGGUCAUCUUGCCUGAAAUCUCGCUAGGAAGAAGAACGAGUCCAUGAAGAAGACGAACAGGCGAAGACGAACCAAGCGUAGUCGAACGAAUCCUCACGAUCGCAAUGAAACAAGAACUAUCGAGAAGAAGCACAACCAGAAAGAAGCAAACAACAUGGUAAGCACACAACACAUAAACAUGACAUGAUGCACAACCAAGCAUGAUGCAUUACAAAGGCUAUAUAAUGCUACUCAUGACAAGAGAUGAUGCAAACAAGAACAACACAUCAAAGCAAGUUUAAAUGAGGUCGGAAAUAACAUAUAACAAAUCCGGUAAGUCCUCAUAUGCAAAUUUCAAAAUUGGUCCAGAUCUGAAUAAACCUUAUGUUCAAGUUUUUUAAACAGCAAUUUAAGAUGCAUCAAGAUGAUCUAUACGAAAUUCUAUUCAAGUUCCAUAUAAAGUUUAUUUAGUUCGGAGCUACGGCCUAGAAGAUAUGAGCAAAACAAGUUAAACAUGACAUUUAUGCAAAAAUACAUUGAAACAUCCAGCAAACACUCUCAAAACAUUGAUGCAACAUGAUAAUAUGAAACGACAUGUAAAAUAAAGCAAGUUUCAUAUAAAUCAUUCUCAAAACGGAGGAACGGUGCAACACAUACACUCCAAACAAGAUAUAACAACAAUCUGCCAAAAACAGCAAGUACGCACUUUGCAAUCAUCAAAACCACAUACUACAGGAAUUAUAUGAACAUAAACUUGACAUGCACUUCAUGUACAGAUAACAUACUUCAAAUAUCAUUAAGGUUCAGGUUCAUAGGCAUCAAGAUUAAACCAAGAUGAUCAAAGCAAAAUGCAACUUUAUAACACAGGAGCAUAUACAUGAACAGAGUUAAUAUGAUGGCAUGUUGGAGGCAUCAAACAAAGCUGCUACAGCAACUAUACAUAGCAACCAAUGGCAUGGCAUCAAAAUACACAUAACAAAGAUCAAAUAACAUCAGGGCAUCAUAUACAUAUGGCCCAUGGAAUAGUAGGAACCAACAAGACAAGAUUGAAUGUUGAAACAGUUUCAGCAAGUGUAAAUCAGCAACAUUAUCAUAACAUGUUUGCAAGCCUGAAACAGAGGCGUAUGGCAUGUGAACCGAGUACUCAUAACAUACUACAAAACAUGUAAUUGGAGCAUCUCCAGAAUAGGCAUGUAUCAACUAAUAUCAAGCUCACAACAAGGCAUCAUGAAGUCAUCAUGAAGUUGAUAGAAAUCUGGAACAACGUGUAUGCAUGUUCAUGGCAAUGAAAAUAUAUGCUACAGGACAUAUAUAGGGCACCAAAAGGCAUGGCAUGGUAGAGCAUAACAAAGAAAAUAACACAUGUCAACUAAGCAUCUCAAGAAUAUGCAUGGAUUAAUUGGUAGCAUCAAGCAAACAUGACAUCAAGAUAUGACAGAAACAGACUUGACAGAAAGUUAACAGUAAGUAGCCCACUUCACAAGCUUGAUACACUCAUUACAGGUCAUAUAAAAAUACAUGGAUUGCACCCCUAUAAAGAUGGCAUGAAAAUUCUCCUAAAAUAUGUAGACAUCAUGCUCAUAGGAUGCACACACAAAAUGCAACAAAAAUGAAAAAUCAGCAAGUUAAAGUAGUCUUCAGUAAUUAACAGCAAUAUGCACUUUUGCAACAGGGAUUAAGAUAUCAAGAUGCACCCUAACAUGAAUGGAAAGCACACCAACAUGUAGAGCACGAGGAGCAGAACAUGUGCAUAUCAAGACCAUCAUCAUAGCAUCAACAGGGGCAAAGUUAUAGCACUCAAAAGAUGCAUACAUGAUGUUAACAAUCAGCAGAUUACAGCAGUUCAUAUCAGAUAGCAGUUUUGCAAUGAAGAUUAAGGCAUCAAGAUGAACAUUAAAAUGAAUUCAAACUAGACCGUCAUCUAGAGUGUCAAGAGAUGAACAUUUUGACAUAUCAUGCACGCAAAACGGAGCAAUAUGCAUGAAGUUAUGAUCAUGUAAAUAUGUGCACAAGAGAUGAUUUCCUGUGGACUUAGUAAAAAAACACCUCACGGAUCUAGGGUUCCGGGGCACGCAAACCGAGGAGUUGGGGAAGGCGCCGGAGGGGACGGGGACGCCGGAUCUGGCCGUAGGCGGCGAGGCAGAGGGCGAGGCGCGGCGGCGCAUGUACAGCGGGGCGGCGGCGCAACUGCGGCGACGGUGGGGCGGUGGACGAAGGCGGCGGGGCGGCGAAGAUCGGGGGCGGCGCAGAGCUCGCCGGCGGUGGGGUUGGGGGCGGAGGCGCGCGGGCGCUCGGCCCGGUUCGAGCCCGGGGCGGGCCGGAGUCAGGCCUCGUGGGCCCGCGGCGGAGGCGGCGAAGUGGGCGCUGGGUGCGAGCGACGUUGAAGCUCCUGAUUCGCCGAGCGGACGUGUCCGGCGCCAGGCGGACAUGUUCGGCGCACGGGGGGAAGAGGAAGGCUAGGGUUAGGGUAGGAUUUGAUCCGGAAUUUCGGGGAAGGAGGUCUUUAUAUAGGUAGUGGGAGCUAGGAGAGUCCAAAUGAGGUACGGUUUUCACCCACACGAUCGUGAUCCAACGACGGAGAGAAUGGAGCGGGUUUGGAUGGGCUAUUGGGCUGUUGUGAAGAGGUGCUGGGCUGCAAAGAGAGAGGGGCUUUUGCGGCUACCCGGUUAACCGUUGGGGCACCAAACGACCUCCAAAUGGAACAAAAUUUGACGGGCGGUCUACCGCUGAUAUACCAAGGCCACUCAGCAAAUCUCGGUCCAUUUCGGGAACCUUUUUCGGCGGCUCACAAAACAAGAACCGGGAGGUGACGCGGGCGCGGGCCAGUGUGGUUGGGCUCAGAACGGACAACGAAGAGAACCGGGGGAACCCGAACGGAUGCAAGUUUUGAAAAACAUGCAGAUGAAAUGCAUAUGAUGACAUGGCAAGAUGCAACACGCAAGCAAAUGACAUGGCAACAAUGACGAAUAACUGGAAUACACCUGGUGUAUCGGUCUCGGGGCAUUACACCCCCUCCAUAGUUAGACACCUCGGUCAUAUCGUCGUAGUGCUUAGGCGAAGCCUUGCACCGGCAACUUCAUCAUCACCGUCACCGCGCCGUCGUGCUGACGAAAAUCUCCCUCAGCCUCAACUGGAUCAAGAGUACGAGGGACGUCCCCGAGCUGAACGUGUGCUGAUCGCGGAGGUGAUGUACGUUCGGUGCUAAGAUCGGUCGGAUCAUGAAGACGUAUGACUACAUCAGCCGCGUUGUCAUAACUCUUCUGCUUUCGGUCUACGAGGGUACGUGGACACACUCUCCCCUCUGGUUGCUAUGCAUCACAUAGAUAGAUCUUGCGUGAUCGUAGAAAUUUUUUUGAAAUUACCGCGUUCCCCAACAAUUCCAAGAGAAGGCUAGAAUUGAAUGAUCAAGCAGGAAUCCGUGUGAAGAAGAAUUUUGGUUCUCUUGGUAUGGAAGCUGGCGGAUAUGGAAAUAUCAAGUUUUGGUGAAAAGGAAUGUAGGAACUAUUUGCAAGAGAAAAGAAGGCUACAACUUGGUGCUAGGGAUGCACAUGUUGUUUAUCCAUAUUUAAUACAGAUGCAGUCAAAAGAUCCAAACUUUUUGCCAUGUUUUGGAUGUGGCUGAGGAUGGACGUCUGGAAAAUGUCUUUUGGGUAGAUGCAAGUAGGGCUGCAUAUGAGUCUUAUUGGGAUGUCAUCACAUUUGACACUACAUACUUAACAAACAAGUAUAAAAUGCCUUUCGCUCCUUUUAUUGGCGUAAAUCAUCAUGGAUAAUUUGUUCUAUUAGGUUGUGGUCUUCUUUCUGUUUGGUUAUUUCAAUCUUGGCUCUGUUGUAUGUCAUACAAACCAUCAAAUGCUAUCAUCACUGACCAAUGCAAAAUACUAUUGAAGCGGUUUUUCCUCAAACUCGUCAUAGAUGGUGUAUAUGGCAUAUCAUGAAGAAGAUUCCUGGAAAGCUUAGUGGGUAUGGAAAGUAUGAAAACAUUAAAUAUACUUUUUUUGAAAUCUGGUUUGUGAUUCCUUGAAAAAAAUGAUUUUGACAAAGCUUGGGCAGAGAUGAUCAAUAAAUAUGAUCUUCAGGAAAAUGAAUGGCUUGCAGGAUUAUAUGAUAAUAAAAAUCUACGGGUACCAGCAUAUGUAAAAGAUACAUUUUGGGCAGGAACAUCUUCAACACAAAGGAGUGAGAGUAUGAUUUUUUUUUUGACGGCCAUGUCAGUGCAAGAUCAACUCUGAAGCAAUUUGUGGAGUAACAUGAAAAUGCAUUAAGAGACAAGGUAGAGAAAGAAAACAAGGCUGAUUCUAAGUCGUUCCAAGAGGAAAUUCCAUGCAUUACUCUCUUUGACUUCGAGAAGCAAUUUCAAGCAGCAUAUACCAAUGCAAAGUUUCAAGAGUUUCAAGAGUAAUUGAGAGGUAAAAUCUAUUGCUAUCCAUCUCUGCUGAACAAACAAGGGUCACUUUUCACAUCUGGAGUCAGAGGACCGUGAGAUUUUUUUGGAGGGGAGGAUGGCGAGAUUAAAGAGAAAUGGAUUACUUCAGAGUUCACGGUCUUGUUCAACCAAGGGGAAUGUAAUAUGCAGUUUGAAUUUCGAGGCAUCUUGUGUAGCUACAUUAUUUCUGUGCUUGCUCUCAUGAAGAUUAGAGAAAGGAUUUUACGGGCAAAAACGCAUUUAUUAAAUGCUCCUAUGAUGAUAUGCUGAAUACACCUGUUGUGCAGCGUUACGAUGAACUGUGCAAGCGUUCUCACGAAGUGGCAGAGAAAACUAGGGGCUUUGGCACACAAAAAAGAAGUAAAUAAAUAGUUUGCCGACCAACUAAAAAACAAGGUUGUAAAAACUCGCGUAGCGCCUCGUUUCCUGUCUCUCGCCUCCUCGAGUCCCCGCGAGAUGUAAAUUACACCGGCGAGUCCUACGCAUGCGCGCGUGCGUCUCCUCGGCUAUCGCUGCAGCAAGUACGCGGCGACUGCUCGGGCGUCGGGCGCGAUGAAUGCACAGCGACGCCAUCACGGGAAACGGUAGUACUCCACUGUACAAGAACCUCACGAGAUCAACNNNNNNNNNNNNNNNNNNNNNNNNNNNNNNNNNNNNNNNNNNNNNNNNNNNNNNNNNNNNNNNNNNNNNNNNNNNNNNNNNNNNNNNNNNNNNNNNNNNNNNNNNNNNNNNNNNNNNNNNNNNNNNNNNNNNNNNNNNNNNNNNNNNNNNNNNNNNNNNNNNNNNNNNNNNNNNNNNNNNNNNNNNNNNNNNNNNNNNNNNNNNNNNNNNNNNNNNCGCAAUGACCUUCCCUUUGCGAUGGGCAACAUCGCUCCCAACGACGGGCCGUCGUCGCCGACUGCGUCGGCCAUCGUCGCGCAGGCCGUGUUUGGGUCGCACGUCGUCAAGAUAGACGGCUACUCCCGCAUCAAGGGGCUUGGCAAUGGCACAUGCAUCAAGUCCGAGACUUUCACCAUCAGAGGCCAUCCCUAGUGUAUGCGCUACUACCCAGACGGCGAACGGACUAAAGACGCAGAUUGGAUAUCCACCUAUCUGUGCCUUGAUGAGACUGAUGCUAGUGAAGUUAAAGCAGGGUACAAGAUAAGUUUGCUUGACCAAAACAGGCAACCAGUGGCAAAGUACAGCUUUUGCAGCAGCGAGAGACACACAUUCACCGCGAAAAAUCCCUCAUGGGGCUUCGCUCAAUUCAUGAAGAGGAAGAACUUGGAGGAAUCCCCUUACCUUAGGGAUGACGUUUUCAGCAUCAGAGCAUCACCAACAACCGCGCUAAACUAGCGCCGCGCCUUAAAUUAGGCCGUUUUAGCGCGCGCGUAACACGGCGGGUGGCUCCACCGGGCGCGCAAAAACGGCGCGCGCGGCAUAUGCAGUUCAGCGCGCUGGCCAAAAUGCAAUCGCGCGCCGUUUAUUUGCUGCACCCGCUCCCGCGCGCUGGACUCUAGCGUGCUCGCUCUCCCACUUCCUCUCCCACUUUCACUCCCCAUCCGGCCGCGCCGCAGCCGCCGCCCGCGCGCCCGGCGAUCGUUCAAGCGCUUCCCCGGCCUAUCCCCGCGCCGCCGCGCUUCCGCCCCAUCCCCUCCUAGUCCCGCCGGCCCUCGCGCGCCUCCGUCGUCCGAGGAACAGCGCCUGAGCGAUCGCUGUCGCGCCGCGCCCGCAAGGUGUUCGACAAAACGCCUACAAGGUAUGUAUUGCUCAAACUUCAUGAAUUUGGUGCAUGUUUUGAAUUGUAGUUUUUAUAGUAUAGUAAUGAACAUUGUAGAUGAGUUCGUCGUAUGAUUCUUCCAAGAAGAAUUUGAUAUGGAAGAGGAGGAGGAUCUUGCAAUGAUCAUAGCUAUGCAUAUCAAUAAAAAAACCGAAGCACGGUGGUUCGGUUAUGGGUCGGGAGAAAAUUUGGAGAGAUAGGAUUGAUGACCAUAACAGAUUGAUGAAGAACUAUUUCUUGGAGAAUCCCACAUACCCGGAGUCGUAUUUUCGUCGCCGGUUUAGGAUGAGCACCGACUUGUUCAGGUGCAUUGCAGAGAAACUAGCGAGCCAUGACCGGUUUUUUCAGCAAAGGAGGAAUGCCGCCGGAGAGCUCGGGCAUAGCACCUUUCUGAAGGUGACAGCCGCUUUGCGUAUGUUGGCAUACGGUAUCCCGGCCGAUCUAGUUGAUGAUCACUUGGCUAUGGGUGAGAGCCAAGCCAUCAUGUGUGUCAAGCGCUUUGCAGUGGGAAUUGUGCAAGUGUUUAGCGAGGAGUAUUUGAGAUCUCCCACUGCUGAAGACGCCGCAAGGCUAUUGGCGAUGAACAAAUCGCGCGGCUUUCCUGGCAUGCUUGGCUCAAUAGAUUGCAUGCAUUGGAGUUGGAAGAAUUGUCCAAAGGUAUGGCAUGGGCAAUUCCACGGCCAAAAAAAGAGUUUCACUAUAAUCCUUAAAGCGGUGGCCGAUCAGGAGACUUGGAUUUGGCAUGCAUUCUUUGGAAUGCCUGGAUCUUUGAAUGACAUCAAUGUUGUCAACCGGUCACCACUGAUGAAUAAGAUUGCAAACGGUGAGUUGCCACCGAUGCAGUUUGUAGCAAAUGGUUGUACGUACAACUAUGACUAUUAUCUAGCGGAUGGCAUCUAUCCAAAGUGCCAAACCUUCGUGAAGCCGUUGAAAAAGUCGAAAGGUAAGAAAAAUCUUGAUUUGCACAAUGCUCAGGCGGCGGCUAGAAAAGAUGUGGAGAGAGCAUUUGGGAUUUUGCAAGCCUAAUUUGCUAUUGUGAGAGGACUGGCUAGAUUUUGGGAUCAAAAAUGCUUUGGUACAUCAUGCACGCUUGUGUGAUCACACACAACAUGAUCAUCGAGAAUGAGCGUGGCCAAGAUUUAGACUACUCACAGUAUGAGCUCUUGGGACAUUCCGUGCGAGUGCGACGGAGGGCUGAAAGGGUAGCCCGUUUUAUUGCCUCCUAUCAGCCAUUCGGCGUCCCGCAACGCACAAUGAACUUCAGAAGGAUCUGAUUGAAGAGUGGUGGGCAUGGCAUGGAUGACAAAGAGCAUGAUUUCUGCAUUCGACAUUAUAUAGUUCAUGAACUAUUUGUUGUGUUUAUUGCAUUAUUUCUUGUACUGAACGAUAAAUUAUUUGUUUGAGUUGUAAUGAUAACGAAAUUGAACUAUUUAUUGUUAAUUUAUUUUGUUUGUUUGAUCAUUUUUGCUCUUCUUUUUCAAAAUGUAUAUGUGGUUUGUGCGUGCUGCGCGCGUUGUAUUUUUGCGCGCUGCUAGAGCGGCGCGCGCGCUGCAUUAUAGCACGGCCGUUGGAGCUAGCGCUGGCGGCCACGCUAAACCAGCAAAAGCGCGCGCGGCAAAUAGGUUUUUUGCGCGCGGCACGAAGCGCGACUGUUGGAGAUGCUCUCAGGUGGGAUGUCUCCGUGUCAAAGGAGAUCUUCACCGAGCCAAUCCCACCGCACGUGGUCGUGCCACCGUCCAACAUGCACCAACAUCUUGGACAACUGCUCUUGGCCGGCGAGGCGGCCGAUGUUACCUUCGAGGUUGGCGAGGAGACAUUAGCUGCGCACAGGUGCAUACUCGCAGCUCGGUCACCGGUCUUCAGGGCCCAGCUCCUUGGCCCCAUGAAGGAGAAGACCGCAACUCAAGUGCUGAUCGACGACAUGGAAGCCAGGGUGUUCAAGGCGUUGCUCCACUUCAUCUACACAGACUCGUUGCCCGCCAUGGACGAAGGCGGUGCGGCGGAGAUUGCUCAGCAUCUACUGGUGGCGGCUGACAGGUAUGAUAUGGAGAGGCUGAAGCUGAUCUGUGAGGGGAAGCUGUGUGAUCACAUCUGCAAAAGCACGGUGGCAACCACGCUAGCACUGGCUGAGCAGCACGGUUGUGGUGCUCUCAAGAAGGCAUGCGUCAAGUUCCUGAUGUCUCCGGGUAACCUGAAGGCGGUCAUGCAAUCUGAUGGAUGUGAGCACGUGAGGAGCAGUUGCCCGGCUGUUCUGGACGAACUGCUCGCCAAGCUUGCUCCAUGAUCUCUUUGAGUAAACUCACAAGAACUCGAUAUUUGUCAUGCUAUUAAUAUUUUUAGAAGUGAUGAUAUCUACUACUGGUAUCUGUGAAGCGCUGUUAAUUCUAUUAAAAUUAAGGUUGCUUGCGUUGCUGCAUCUAUUUGAUUCAAACAGCCUUUUCCAGAUAGUGCCAUAGUGGCAAAGCUUUAUAAAAUUUUAAAUAUAAGCAAAAAUUUGAAAACCGAGAGAAAAUUCUGUUUAUUCUGAAGAAAUUAUUGCAGAGUUCUCAAAAUUAGUGGAAGCAUUUAGAAAUUCUAAGGAAUGUCCUACAAAAAUUUGGCGCAUGGAAUGUCCUCAAAUUUAAUAAGUUAGCAGAUAUUUACAAUAUGUUUUAAUUGUAAUUUCAUACUAAGGGUAGUAACAACGUGGUGCGAUGGUGUUUAAUUUAAAUGUGAUAUAAGUCAUUAUUACAUAGUCAUGGUCAAAAGUGUGUGAGUCAAAAAAUUAUUUAAAACAUCUUGCAUACCCCAAGUGGGGUUGGUCGAGUCUGACUGCUUGGCCCGUCUCCAAGGCCGCCGGGCACGUAAGGCGGUGUCUGUGGCCGGUCAGGGAUGUCGCGACUCCAGGGGGCCUUCCGCCACAAGGUGGAGGACGACGGCGGAGGGGACGGUGGCCUCGUAUGCCAUGCCUACGAGGUCAUUGUCUGAUACUUCACCUAAUUUUUAGUUUAGUUUACUUUAGUUUUCAUUAGGUUAAUUGAAACUUUGUUAAGUUUCAUUAUUUGGUUGAAAUAUAUCAAAAAUUAACAAAUUUAAUCUGUUUUAGCAUAGAUUUUAUCCAUUUUUAUGCUCGAUCCGUUUGAAAGAGGACAAACAUUUGAUGUGUACGAUUGGAUGCGUACGUCCAAAGUUGUUUUCACUUUCAGUUUCACAAAAAAAUUAGCAGCAACUGAUAACACCCAAAUUCAGUGAAUUUGAGUUAUUUUGAUUUGCGCUUGGACCAAAGUCUGAAAUAUUCACUUGAAGUCAAAUAAAUAUUUGAUUUUAAAAAAAUACAAAAUAUUUGAAUUCAUGUGUAUCAUUGAAUGAAAUUGCUGAAAUAUUUUGGCCAAAAGGUAAAUAUUUCAGUGAUUGCUGAAAUUAAUGAAAUUCAGUAAUAUCACCGAGAUCUCACUGGAAGUGAAAACCAUGCUCCCAACUUGUUGCCCGCGGACAUUUGAUCCCCUCAGAAUGUUGAUCCGUCGCUGGAAUUGGCCACGAUAGUAUCUCUCUAUGAUGGUACUCCCCGCGCCCACGCGUACCCCUCUCGGACAAGCUCGAUAUUCUUCUGGGCCAGCCUAUGUGACGCCAUCAAUUAAAUCAUACACUAAUCAUACACGCAAAUGUGUACGAUCAAGAUCAGGGACUCACGAGAAGAUAUCACAACACAACUCUAGACACAAACUGAAAUAAUACAAGCUUUAUAUUACAAGCCAGGGGCCUCGAGGGCUCGAAUACAUAAGCUCGACACACAAGAGUGAAACAAUAUCUGAGUACAGACAUAAGUUAAACAAGGGUGCCUUAAGAAGGCUAGCACAAAAGCAACACGGCCGAAGAGGCAAGGCCUCCUGCCUGGGACCCCCUAAACUACUCCUGGUCGUUGGUGGCCUCCACGUAGUAGUAUCCGUCGGCGGUGGCAUCUGGCUCCAGGGAUCCACCAUCUGGUUGCAACAACCGGAAAGAAGAAGGAAGGGAGAAAAGGGGUAGCAAAGCAACCGUGAGUACUCAUCCAAAAUACUCGCAAGCAUCAGAUCUAUACUAAGUAUGCACUGGUAUCAAAUGGAAGAUUUGUAUCUGUGGACUGAAUUGCAGAAUGCCAGAAUAGAUGGGGAAGGCCUAGCCUAUCGAAGACUAGCAUCUUCAAGCAGCUCCAAGCAUCUUGCAGCAUGUAGGAGAGUAGAUAAUAGCAGUUUAUAAUUAAAAAGCAUGUUGUAGCAUUAACGCCCAGAGAUCCUUCCCCGACUCCCUGCGAGAAAGCAAUCCCGGGGCCACAUAUCUCAAGUAUCCAUUUCUCAUUGUAAAAGAUCAGGAUAUAAGUCUGAACGUCUGUUACCGUGAACACGGCUAUUAAUAGAUAAUCUUCCCUGCAGGGGUGCACCAUGUUUUCCAACAUGCUCGAUUACCCUGGCCAGACACACUUUCCUGGGUCAUGCCCGACCUCAGAAGAUCAAUGAUAACCCACAAGUAUAGGGUAUCAAUUGUAGCCUCUUUCGAUAAGUAAGAGUUUCGAACCCAAUGAGGAGCUAAAGGUAGAACAAAUAUUCCCUCAAGUUCUAUCAACCACCAAUACAACUCUAUGCAUGCUUAACAUUUGCUUUACCUAAAACUAGAAUGAAACUAGAAGGACUUUGUAGGUGUUGUUGGAUAGAUUUGCAAGAAUAUAAAGAGCACGUAAAUAUAAACUAGGGGCAGUUUAGGUAAAGAAGCAACAAAGUUAGUAUAGAGAGUGUGGAAAAGUGGUGGUAAGAGUUGUGAAAUUGUCCCUAAGCAAUUGACUACUUUACUAGACCGGUAGCAAGUUUUAUGUGGGAGAGGCCACUGCUAGCAUGUUAUCCCUGACUUGGAAUUCUAUGCACUUAUGAUUGGAACUAUUAGCAAGCAUCCGCAACUACUAACGUUCAUUAAGAUAAAACCCAACCAUAGCAUUAAGAUAUAUUGGUCCCCCUUCAAUCCCGUAUGCAUCAAUUUCUAUGCUAGGUUGAAGCUUCUAUCACUCUUGCCCUCCAAUACAUAGUCUUAUCAACAUACAGCUAACCCUAUGGUGUGAUCCACGCACACGCUCAUAUGAUGGGCACCAAAGGACAGCAACAUAACCACAAGCAAAUUAAAUCAAUCAUAGCAAUUCACCAAUUACCGAUAGAACAACGAAAAUCUACUCAGACAUCAUAGGAUGGCAACACAUCAUUGGAUAAUAAUAUGAAGCAUAAAGCACCAUGUUCAAGUAGAGGGUACAACAGGUUGCGGGAGAGUGGACCGCUGAAUAUAGAUGGGGGAAGGUGCUGGAGAUGUUGGUGAAGAUGACGGCGGUGUUGGUGUAGAUCGCGGUGAUGAUGAUGGCCCCGGCGGUGUUCCGGCGCCGCCGGGAGAGAGGGGGAGAGAGCCCCCCUUCUUCUUCUUCUUCCUUGACCUUCUCCAUAGAUGGGAGAAGGGUUUCCCCUCUCGUCCAUGGUCUCCAUGGCGUGGGAGGGGUGAUUGCCCCUCCGAGAUUGGAUUUGUCUCUCUGUCUCUCUCUUUGUUUUUGCAUUCCCAGAUUCUGCCCUUUCACCAUUUCUUAUAUUCCUGGAGAUCCGUAACUCUAAUUGGAUUGAAACCUUCAACAUGAUUUGUUUCCAGAUAUUAGCUUUCUUGCGGCAAAAGAAGAGCAGCAACUGCCUUACGAGGUGUCCACGAGGGUCAGGGGUGCGUCCACCCCCCUGAGGCGCGCUCCCUGCCUCGUGGGCCCCUCGAGAAUCAUCUCGCGUUGAUUCUUCUUCCCGAAAAUCAUAAAUAUUCCAAAAAUAUUCUCCGUCCGUUUUUAUCUCGUUUAGACUCCGUUUGAUAUGUGUUUUCUGCGGAACAUAAAACAUGCAACAAACAGGAACUGGUACUGGGCACUGGAUCAAUAUGUUAGUCCCAAAAAUAGUAUAAAAAGUUGCCAAAAGUAUAUGAAAGUUGAAUAAUAUUGACAUGGAACAAUCAAAAUCUAUAGAUACGAUGGAGACGUAUCAGCAUCCCCAAGCUUAAUUCCUGCUCGUCCUCGAGUAGGUAAAUGAUAAAAAAUGAUGUGGAAUGCUACCUAGCAUAAUCUUGAUCAUGUAAUCUAAUCAUGGCAGGAAUAUUAAGACACGAGUGAUUCAAAGCAAUAGUCUAUCAUUUGACAUAAAAGAAUUUAAUACUCGGGCAUCCCAACAAACAAUCAUGUCUUUCAAAAUAUCAAUGCUAAAGAACGUUAUCCCUACAAAAUCAUAUAGUCUUGUAUGAUCCUUUUUCUUAACACAAGGUACCCCUCAUGCUCAUCCCGGUGUCAGCCAAGCAAUUGGUUCAUAAUUUUUAACGUGCUUCAGCUUUUUCAACCCUCACGCAAUACAUGAGCGCAAGCCAUGGAUAUAGCACUACAGGUGGAAUAGAAUAUGAUGGUGGAGGUUGUUUGGAGAAGACAAAAGGGAGAAAGUCUCACAUCGACGCGGCUAAUCAAUGGGCUAUGGAGAUGCCCAUCAAUUGAUGUCAAUGCGAGGAGUAGAGAUUGCCAUGCAACGGAUGCACUAGAGCUAUAAGUGUAUGAAAGCUCAAACUGAAACUAAGUGGGUGUGCAUCCAACUUGCUUCCUCAUGAAGACCUCGGGCAUUUGAGGAAGCCCAUCAUCGGAAUAUACAAGCCAAGUUCUACAAUGAAAGUUCCCACUCGAGAGACUCUCUAUAUGAAGAACAUGGUGCUAUUUUGAAGCACAAGUGUGGUAAAAGGAUAGUAACAAUGCCCCUUCUCUCUUUUUCUCUCAUUUUUUUAUUUUUUUAUUGUUUUAAUUUUUUUAAUUUUUUGAUGGGCUUCUUUGGCUUUUUUUUAUUUGGGCUUCUUUGGCCUCUUUUAUUUUUCAUAAAGUCUGGAGACUCAUCCUGAUUUGUGGGGGAAUCAUAGUCUCCAUCAUCCUUUCCUCACUGGAGCAAUGCUCUAAUAAUGAUGAUCAUCACACUUUAUUUACUUACAACUCAAUAUUACAACUCGAUACUAGAACAAAAUAUGACUCUAUAUGAAUGCCUCUGGCAAUGUACCAGGAUGUGCAAUGAUCUAGCAUAGUAAAGAUAUCAAAAAACGGACAAGCCAUAAAAACAUCAUGCUAGCUGUCUUACGAUCAUGCAAAGCAAUAUGACAAUGAAUGCUCAACUCAUGUAUAUGAUGAUGAUGGAAGUUGCAUGGCAAUAUAUCUCGUAAUGUCUAUGAAAAUACCAUGAUACGUAAGUAUGGUGGCUGUUUUGAGGAAGAUAUAAGGAGGCUUAUGUGUGAUAGAGCCUAUCGUAUCACGGGGUUUGGAUGCACCGGCAAAUUUUGCACCAACUCUCGAGGUGAGAAAGGGCAAUGCACAGUACAAUAGAGGCUAGAAAAUUGCGGAAAGGUAAGAGUGCGUAUAAUCCAUGGACUCACAUUAGUCAUAAAGAACUCAUAUACUUAUUGCAAAAGUUUAUUAGCCCUUGAAGCAAAGUACUACUACGCAUGCUCCUAGGGGGGAGGUUGGUAGAAAUUAACCAUCGCGUGCCCCCAACCUUCACGCAAAGAUAAACAAUCAAAAUACAAUGCGCGCCAAUUUAGUUACAUCACUACUAGAAAAAGGGCUAUAGAUGGGAUUGACACUAAUGGCGCACCAGACAAGUGGUGCGUCAUUAGUAUAUACUAAUGGCGCACCACCCUCUGAUGCGCCAUUAAAGUUGAAACUACUAAUGGCGCACCUGGCUGACGGUGCGCCAUUAGUAUCAAAAAAAAAUUUAACUAGUGCGCCUAUCCAAACAUACUAAUGGCGCAUCCACAGGCAGUGCGCCAUUACUAGUUGUAACUAGUAAUGGCGCACCUUCCAGAGAGUGCGCCACUAAUGUUGUUUUUUUAUUAUUUUUUUAUUCCUUUUUUUGCAAGACUACUAAUGGCGCACUCGCACGCGGUGCGCCAUUACUAGUUUAAACUAGUAAUGGCGCACCGUGGUGUAGAGCGCCAUUAGUAUGUUUUUUUUGCAAAACUACUAAUGGCGCGCCACCAGGGGGUGCGCCAUUAGUAACCUGGAUUACUAAUGGCGCAUUUGUGGUUGGUGCGCCAUUAGUAAGUGGGCAGCAACAAGAUAUUUUGGACAGCCUCUCCUCCCACACUCACUUUCUCCCCACUUCAUUCUCUCCACUGCCUCCUUGUCUCGGGUGCCUCCUCUUUUUCACCUCAUUUCCACCAUAAAUUCAUUGAAAUUAAGUGGUUAAGUUACCUUGUUCUGCUAGGUAAGUAAGGGCGGAAGCUAUAUUUAUGUUGUUCUCCCUACAACAAUGUGCACGUGCACUUUUUAUGGCCUAGCUAGAUCUAUGUAUGUUCAUGGUGUUGCAUAUGUUUGUGGUUUUGCAUAUGUGUUUGUGUUUGGAGGUGUACCGGUAUUUGAAAUGCCAUAGUUGCCAAUAUUUUCCCGGAAUGUUGAUUUAUUUCCGUUUCGGUGAGAAUUUUGGCAUUAAGCAUUCUUUUUUGUCCUAUUUUUAGGGAAAGUCGUGCCAAAUUUUUUCUUGGUUCUAAAAUGUCGUUUUGCUCUACCCCGCAGGCGACCAUGGUCCGCACGAUGACCGAAGGCAUCGUGAAUAGGUUUUUGAGGUCCACGAAGGCCGAGAUGCUUCAAAAGAACGAGAUGGAGAUAAGAUGUCCGUGUCGAAGAUGCAAGCUGAAUAGCCUUAUUGCGGACCCGGAUUCCGGGCAGGUGCGGGACCACCUGCUCUUGCGUGGUUUCAUGGAUGGCUAUCGGUGGCAAGGUGAUGAAGAUGACUACGAAGUCGUCCAUGGGGGCCGGGCAAGAAAUGAGGAAGGGCAGAAAGACAACCACCGCUGCUCGUGCGGGCGAGAAGACGAAGAAUCCCCAGGAGAUGAUCACGACGGUGAUGCUGUACACAGUCAUCAUGUAGAAGAAGAUGCAGGACAUGAUGAUGAUGCUAGCGGAGCAGACGAAGCUGGACCAUCGAUGGGCUGGGUGCAGGACCCUCAUAUUCAAGAGCUGCUUCUCAAGCAGACGGAUAAUGCAAGAGCUGCCGCCCGAGAGAAAGCCAAGAUGGAUCAACUUGAGUUAGACGCGGUUACUCCAUUGUAUGAAGGAUGCAGGCUCGAGGAUACCCGCCUAAAAGUAACGCUCAUGGCUCUGGAGAUGAAGGUAAAACACAAAAUGACCGACGCAUGCUUCGACGAGAACAUGUCAUUCUGGCACGAACGUCUUCCCAAGGGGAACAAGUGCCCGACCAGUUUGGAGGAGGCGAAGAAAAUCGUGUGUCCUCUGGAUUUACCGCACGUGAAAUACCAUGUGUGCAUGAACAAUUGCAUCAUUUAUCGGGACGAGCACGCGGAGUCUACCAUAUGUCCGGUGUGCGGUGUCACUCGAUACAAGAAGAGGAAGAAAGCUCCUCGAAAAGUGGUGUGGUACUUUCCGAUCACUCCUCGUCUGCAGCGGUAUUUCACGGACCCUAAGGUAGCAAAGCUCCUGCGUUGGCACGCGGAUAGGGAGGAGAAGAAGCGAGAAGAUGACGCAAAUGAUCCGGAGAUAGAUAAAAAAUACAAGAUGCUGAGUCACCCUAAGGAUGCGAGCCAGUGGCAAGCGUUGAACUUCGAAUACCCAGAAUUUGGGAACGAUAGAAGGAACAUCGUGCUGGGCGCGAGCACCGAUGGAGUCAAUCCAUUUGGCAGCCAGAGAAGCACACAUAGCACCUGGCCUGUGUUCGUGUGGAUGUACAACCUUCCCCCCUGAUUGUGCAUGAAGAGGAAGUACAUUCACAUGAGUAUGCUAAUUGAAGGGCCAAAACAACCAGGGAACGACAUCAAUCUGUAUCUGGGGCUGCUGAAAGAGGAGAUUGACACGCUAUGGAAAACGCCAGCCAAUACGUGGGACGCCGCAGAGAAAGAAUAUUUCCCUAUGAGAGCCGCACUGCUCACGAUGGUGCACGACUAUCUCGGUUACGGAUAUCUUGCGGGGCAGGUAGUCCACGGAUUUUCUGGAUGCGUAAGGUGCAUGGAUGACACAACGUAUCGCCAGCUAGAUAGAGAUCCCGGGUCUUUGAAAACCGUGUUCAUGGGACAUCGAAGGUGGCUUCGCGACGAUGACCCGUGGAGGAAACGCAAGGAUCUGUUCGAUGGUGAAACCGAACCCCGAAAACGCCCGUGUACGAGGAGCGGCGAGGAAAUAGACAAGCUGUUGAAAAAUUGGAAAGACUGCCCACUGCCGGGAAAGAAGCAAAAGGCGCCAGAGCCGCUGCUGAAGGUAUGGAAAACGAGGUCUGUUUUCUGGGACUUGCCGUACUGGAAGAUCCACUGUGUGCCUCACAGCCUUGAUGUCAUGCAUAUCACGAAGAACGUGGGCGAGAGUCUGCUUGGUACCCUGCUCAACAUGCCAGAGAGGACCAAAGAUGGGCCGAAAGCAAGGGCAGACUUGAAAUCAAUGGGCAUCAGGCAGGAGCUUCACGCUAUAUAUGAUGAUGAUGAUGAUGAUGAUGAUGAUGAUGAGGCGAAGCAGGACACAGAAAGUCGUUGCAAAGGAAAAAAGGCCAAGAAGACCGGAAAUGACUACCCUCCCGCGUGCUUCACUCUAAGUCAGGAGGAGAUUGAGCAGUUUUUCACCUGCCUCCUAGGAGUAAAACUUCCUUACGGUUACGCGGGGAAGAUAAGCAGAUACCUAGACCUAGCGAAGCAGAAGUUCAGCGUGAUGAAGUCUCACGACUGUCACGUGCUGAUGACGCAGAUACUUCCAGUUGCAAUCCGUGGGAUCAUGGACGUGCACGUCCGUGAAACGCUAUUUGGCCUAUGCAACUUCUUCGACGUCAUCUCUCGGAAGUGGAUUGGCGCGAGGCAACUCAGAAGGCUACAGGAAGAGAUCAUGGUGAUACUAUGCGAGCUUGAGAUGUACUUCCCGCCCGCAUUCUUCGACGUUAUGGUGCAUCUGCUGGUCCAUAUAGUGGAGGAUAUCAUCCAACUCGGGCCGACGUUCCUGCACAGCAUGAUGCCGUUCGAAAGGAUGAAUGGUGUCAUCAAAGGAUGCGUUCGCAACAUGUCACGUCUAGAGGGAAGCAUAGCCAGGGGCUUUCUGACUGAAGAGUGCAUCUCCUACUGCACGAAUUAUCUAGGCAUCGAGAACCCCGUUGGUCUGCCCGUCAACAGGCACCUCGGCAGGCUCGCUGGAUGGGGUCACCGCGAGGGUCGCCGCGAAAUGCAUGUCGACUUCGAGGGUCGACUCGCCGACUUUGAAAGAGCAAACCUAGUCGCGCUACAACACAUAGACGUGGUCGAUCCUUGGGUGGUAGAGCACAAAACCUUUAUUAAGAAGACGUACAAUGACCGAGGCCAAUAGAGGACGGACGGAGAUAUACUCAAAGAGCACAACUCAUGUUUCACGCGUUGGUUCAAGUAGAAGCUUCUGUCGUACCCUUUACAUGAGGAUUCUUCCGCGGAAGAACAACUCAUAUUCGCCUUGUCACAGGGCGCCGAGCACAACCUGAUGACCUAUGAGGCGUACCAUAUCAACAGCUACACAUUCUACACCGAGGCCAAGGACAUGAAGAGCGAUGGUUAUCAGAACUCUGGGGUAACAAUGGAAUCCUACACCGGUAACGACAAGGACAGAUACUACGGAAGGAUCGAGGAGAUCUGGGAGCUGAGCUACGCUGGAGAGAAGGUCCCGAUGUUCCGUGUCAGAUGGGCCAAGAACGUCAUAAAAGAAGACCGGUAUUUCACCACCAUGGUUAUACCCGAAGCCAAAUCCAAGACCGCGGGCGCAAACGUCACCGCGAAAAAUGAGCCAUGGGUACUGGCUUCCCAAGUGGACCAAUGCUUCUUCAUUACCGACCCGCCAAAGCCCAGUCGUGUUGUCGUGAGGAGAGGCAAAAGGAAGAUCAUCGGAAUGGAUGGAGUAGCCAAUGAGCAAGACUUCGACAAGUACGGCGACCCGAGGAUCGAACAUGACGACGAUGAUGAAGUAGCAGCAUACACCACAAGAAGAAGCAGGACCACGUUACCUAAAGGACGUCCGUUCCAUAGAAGAACUCCAUUUGCGAAAAAGAAGGGCAAGAAGAUUGUGAACAGAUAGCUAGCUAAGAUCGAUUGUAUUUAAAUCGUAGACUUCAUUUCUCGAUUAUAUUUCAUGGGCACUUUUUGAACUAUCAUGAAUAUUUUUUAAUUUCAUGGACACUCGAUCUCGAUCCUCCUCCAUCUCGAUCGCUAUCCCACCUCGCCAGAUCCGGUCCACCGGCCGCCGCCGCCGACCGCCCGCACCCUCUCGAUUCCCCUACUCAACCGCCGCCGCCGACCCCCCGCACCCCUCCCCUACUCAACCGCCGCCGCCGACCCCCCGCACCCNNNNNNNNNNNNNNNNNNNNNNNNNNNNNNNNNNNNNNNNNNNNNNNNNNNNNNNNNNNNNNNNNNNNNNNNNNNNNNNNNNNNNNNNNNNNNNNNNNNNNNNNNNNNNNNNNNNNNNNNNNNNNNNNNNNNNNNNNNNNNNNNNNNNNNNNNNNNNNNNNNNNNNNNNNNNNNNNNNNNNNNNNNNNNNNNNNNNNNNNNNNNNNNNNNNNNNNNNNNNNNNNNNNNNNNNNNNNNNNNNNNNNNNNNNNNNNNNNNNNNNNNNNNNNNNNNNNNNNNNNNNNNNNNNNNNNNNNNNNNNNNNNNNNNNNNNNNNNNNNNNNNNNNNNNNNNNNNNNNNNNNNNNNNNNNNNNNNNNNNNNNNNNNNNNNNNNNNNNNNNNNNNNNNNNNNNNNNNNNNNNNNNNNNNNNNNNNNNNNNNNNNNNNNNNNNNNNNNNNNNNNNNNNNNNNNNNNNNNNNNNNNNNNNNNNNNNNNNNNNNNNNNNNNNNNNNNNNNNNNNNNNNNNNNNNNNNNNNNNNNNNNNNNNNNNNNNNNNNNNNNNNNNNNNNNNNNNNNNNNNNNNNNNNNNNNNNNNNNNNNNNNNNNNNNNNNNNNNNNNNNNNNNNNNNNNNNNNNNNNNNNNNNNNNNNNNNNNNNNNNNNNNNNNNNNNNNNNNNNNNNNNNNNNNNNNNNNNNNNNNNNNNNNNNNNNNNNNNNNNNNNNNNNNNNNNNNNNNNNNNNNNNNNNNNNNNNNNNNNNNNNNNNNNNNNNNNNNNNNNNNNNNNNNNNNNNNNNNNNNNNNNNNNNNNNNNNNNNNNNNNNNNNNNNNNNNNNNNNNNNNNNNNNNNNNNNNNNNNNNNNNNNNNNNNNNNNNNNNNNNNNNNNNNNNNNNNNNNNNNNNNNNNNNNNNNNNNNNNNNNNNNNNNNNNNNNNNNNNNNNNNNNNNNNNNNNNNNNNNNNNNNNNNNNNNNNNNNNNNNNNNNNNNNNNNNNNNNNNCGUCCACACCACACCACCGACGCCUCCCUCUCCCCAUCCUCCCCUUCCUCCCCUCCGACCCCACCCCACUCUCGCCAGAGCAGCGCCGCAGGGCCGACACCAACCUCACCCUCGCCCGCGUGCGCCGCAACCUCCGCCUUGCCAAGUCCGGAGCUGCUCGUGGAGGAGACGUGGCUGGAGGCGAUCUCCGUGGCUGGAGGCGAUCGCCGGCCCACCGCCGGAUCUCCCUGACGCCGGCCGACCGUAGUUGAUACCCCUCAUCCCCUGAUCAAGCCUUCUUCAGAGAGAGAGAGUGAGGUACCUCAUCCCCUUCUGUAUUUUACACUACACAUACACAUAAUUUUGCAGUAUAUCAAUGUGAUUUUCCAGUACAUCUCCAUCCAUCUGAAUUUGACUCAUAUGCAUAAUUUUGCAGUACAUUAUGAUUUCGGCUAGAUGCAUAUGAGUUCAUAAUUUUGCAGUACACAUUAUCGGGCUUCCUUCUCUCACUAGAUGUAGUGCACAAGUAGAUGAACUGAUGAACUCAUACACAUAAUUUUGCAUAUAAUUUGUUCAACUAUGUCAUUAUGAUUGAUAGAAUGUAAUUAUUGAAGAAUUAAGAGGAUCGGAACCAUUGCUUCUCUUUUUGAGAGACAUGCUAACAAGAAAGGGAAGACAUGCUAACAGACGCGCUCCACUAUGCUGUUAGGGUUAAGAUUUUUUAGUCCCCGCCCCCGACUCUGCUGCUGAAAUUACCGUUGAAAUCGAGGUAAAAUCACUGUUGAACUGGGUGUAAAAUCACUACUGUUGAUAUUCAAAUUUAAACUUGAAAAUGAAAAUUGAAUUGGAGAAUUAAAUCACUGUUUUUUAGUCCCCAUUUCUGAACCUAUGCUAACCUUGCAAGCAGCAUAACAGGCAAUGUACUCCAAAAUACUAUAAGAACUGGAGUAAAAGAUGACUGCAUCUCACAGAAUAUAAGAAAUGGGGACUCUUGGCUAAGUAUGGCAAUGCCACAGAGUAUAAGAAGUACUCCUGCAUCUUACACAAUGAUAGGUCUAAUUUAUGCUACUCAACGAAAGAAGAAGAAAAAUGCACUGGACAUACACUGAAGAAAAAUGCACUGUAUCAUUGGGUAAUUGUCCAUGGUUUAUACCUGAAAAUAAGUUUAUCUCACGGCAUGAAUGUAAGUAUCUGUUCCGCAUUCAUGGGCUAUCUACCCAAGGUAAACCUAGAAAAUGAGUUAUAUCCAGGACAAGCCACUGUCAAUUAACACUAUAUACACUGCCAACUGUAUUUAGUUAACAUUACACUGCCACUACUAUUCAGCACAAACGUUUGAUCAUCUCACUCUACUUACUGUCAAUUGACACUGUAUAACUGUCAGCUCCAUUCACUAGCAGCAGCCAGCACUUCUGAAUCUAAUCUUUCUUGGGCAAGCUCGGCUACUUAUUGUUAGUCAUUCACUAAAAGAUCCUCAACAGACUGCAUGCAUCUAGUAUUAAAUUUCUUGGACGGAUCAUCUCUUUUAGCAAAGGACUGUAAUAAUUAACUAACUGAAAAUUUGACAUUCUGGACUAUGCUUGGCUCUGGUUUUGUGAAAUCUCAUCUCUUUUCUAGUGCCAUGACUAGUCAUGAAUUUUAUUUUACUUUCCCCACUUUAUAACAUUCAGAAAUUGUUUACUAGCUCAAGCUUCUCCUUUGCACUUUAUCACUUCAAUCUGCUGCUACCUCAAGCUUCUCGUUUACACUUGUGCCAAGUAGCAUUUUUUCCUUGUAUAAUUAUAUGGUGGUUGACUGAGCUGCUACUUUUUCCUUGUAGAAGAUCGCAGGUCGAGUGGGAGGGAUCCAGUUGCAACGACACCGAAUCACUAGCAAGGCAGCUGCCUAGAAUAAUAGGUUGACUCACCUAUAUAUACUACUAUCUUGCAUCUCUCUCUUGUUUCUUCUUCUAUAUACUACUAUCUGGCAUCUCCAAUUUUUAAGUAAUCUUGCAUAUGUUAGAAACUACAUAUAUGGUCUCCGGUUUUCUUACCUCUACUCUAAAACACCAACGCAUCAACAAAAGAAGAUGGUAUUUUUGUUACGCUUUCAGUUCGUGUCAGCAGGGAGAUAUAAUGUUUUACAAUCUUUCUGGUUAUAUUGGAGUUAGGUUUUUUGAAUAUGAGUAGCAGUGACUUGGAUAUACCUUAUGGAGUUGUAACAGUUCCUCUUGGUGCUUAGGUGCAUUUUCUUUGUGUAACUUGGUUUAAAAAUGUGAUUUGGUCUUUUGUGGCAUUUGGAUGCCUAAAUCCCAUUUUCUUAAUCAUAUUGCUUGGAAACUUUUGGUUAUCUCCUCUCAGUGAUGAAAUAAUUUAUAUGUACUGCACUUUUUUCAUAAUUAGGUAAUAACGUUGGUUACAGUUUUGGUAGUUCAAACUGAAUGUAUCUCAUUUUGUAGACAGAUUAUUUUCUGGAAUAUCAUAUAUUCAAAUUUGUAAUGAAUGAUGGCUUCUACCUGAAUUGGUAGACUCUGUGGUGUUAGUUUGUUCUAAAUACAGUAAGAUAAUUUUAACAACUGUAGAACAUGUUGAGAUUUGCAACUUUUUUGUGACAUCAACCAACAGUCCUGUCACUGGGUUAUCCUAUUUUAUAUUUUUAAUUACUAACUUAAGUUUGAGUAAACAGUGGCAGUGAAGUCCUCAUAAUAAUCAGGCGGAUGUUAACUUUCUGAUGUCCCCAGAAGUUAACUAAGAUUGUGGUGCUAGUAGAGGCACAUUGUGGCCUUUUCAUCCAUAUGAAAGUAGAGGCACAUUGUGGUGCUAGUUUGCUGGGUUUUGUCUCCGACCAUCGUGUCGUGAUGAUAUUGCAGGUACCCCGAGAGGCCCUUGAGUUUGCCGGAAUGUCGAUUAACUUCCGUUCUGGCAAAUUCGGGUACUCCAUAUGUCCUAUUUUCAGCAAAGGUCAUGCUGAAAUUUUCCGUGAAUUUUAGCAUGACUUUGCUAAAAAUAGGACAUAUGGGGUACUUGUGACUAAUGCAUGGGCCGGGGUAUCUUAGUAGUUAAUUAGGUAGGAUCAAGUGCCCCGGCGUACUUGUGACUAAUGCAUGGCUUUUAGUGUGCCUCGGUGUCGAUAAAAACCGAAAUGAUGAAAGGUUAGGCUUUUAGGGUGCCUCGGCGUCGAAAAACCCUCAAUGAUAAAAGCUUAGAUUUUAGGAUGCCUCGGUGUCGACAAACCCUAAAUGAUGAGACCAUGAUCUUGUUCCUUGACAAUAACCAACUUUUUGACCAAACUUUGUUUCUAUUUAAAGAGAAACAUGGCCCACAAUGAUGAGGCCGGGGGUUCGGGCGGCAAGGCAUUCUGGGAGCUGUCCCAGGAGAUGGAGGAACAACCUCACUUGUAUGAGGCCGCCGCCUUCCCCACCGAUCCUGAGACCACGGAUGGUGCCGCCGAGGAUGACCACACUGAUGCCACCAGUGAUGGUGCCGCCGAGGAUGCCACCACUGAUGAUGGCAGCGCACGCACAGAUGGCAGCCAACCGAAGAGGCAAUGGAAGGACCGGCGCCCGAUCGUGCUCCGCACCCUCAAGGAGGAAGUUACUGAAGUGGACUCCAACGGGAAUCCAACGGCGCCCGAACGAAUAGUCAAGGGGUACUCGCUUCAGCUCGGGUGCAUUGUCCAGAGCACCGUCUCGAUCAACACCGAGAACCUGAGGCAUCCUGACCGAGGGAAUUUGCGCAACCUCUUCUUCACGAAGCUGCACGAACGAUACAAGUUCCCCGCUGAAUUUGAAAACACAAGCCUCAAAGGGAAUAAAGUGAACAAUGCUGCCCUCACGAAGAUGAGCAAGGCCCUGUCUACUUGGAAAAGCAAUGUGAAGAGAAUGAUCGAGAAAGGUGAGAGUUAUCAGAAGAUCAAGGAGAAAAAUCCUUCAAUCACCGAAGAUGACUACAACGACUUCAAGAUCAAUUGCUCGAGCACCGCAAGCUCCCAAUCAAGUGAGUGGGGAAAACAAAUGCGGGAGCUGAACAUAGGGAAACACACACUCAGUCCCGGCGGUUACAGAGUGGCGGAGCCUAUAUGGGACAAGGAGGAGGCGGACCGUGCCGAGCAAGGCCUACCGCCCCUCUUCGAUAAAUACGGUGACAAGCAGACCAGGAACUUUGUCAGGGCCCGGUACAAGAAGGACCCGAAAACAAAGGAGCUUACCACGGAUCCGAAGACCAGGCAGCUUGAGCUUGUUCUGGUAAGGAAUACACCCCCGCGUAAUUAGCUCCAUAUGGUUGCAUUCUAAUUAAUGAAGCCAAAUUUCUAAAUGGUUCACAUUCCUUCCGCAGGUGACUGAAAGCAGUAGCGCGGGGUCGACUAAGAGCAACCCUUGGGACACCACUCUAAAUAGGGGGUUGCAUGUAAUGAAGAACAAGGAUAAGCUCAGUAAGCCGACGUCAGCUGGUCGUGUGGCCGGCAAAGGCUUGUGGACAAAAUGGGGGUCAUACUAUACCGCUGGUGUGCGGAAGGAGAAAAAGACCAGCUCGGAAAGCCAGGCGCGAGAGGUUCAAGAACUCAAGGCACAGGUGGCGCGGAUUCCAGAGAUUGUCCAAGAGCAAGUGGAACAACGACUCGGAGCGACGAUCACCGCCAUUGUGCCUACCUUGAUCUCGGGGUUGAGUGCGUGGAUUGCGGGCGGCCAACAGGGGCCGCCCCUGAUUCCUAGCUUCACGGCCAGCAACUCGCAUAAUGCGAUGGCGGGGCCAUUGGUGCCUCCGGCGGAGGCGACAUUGGUGUCUCCGACGCCGGCACGGGAGCUUAAUGCACCCGGGUGUACGCCGGCCGACACCUCUGCAGCAAGCGGCACCUCCGUCAACUGGACGCUCGCCGUUGGCGGUGCGUCGACAUUAGCCGAGCUCGACGCCAUCAUCACGGUAACUAAUUAAGCCUCUCUCGGCCGAGGACUUCAUCUCCUUGCCUUUGACUGGGCAUCCCUGACGCCCUACAUGUUUUCGCAGGGCGCCGUCGACAUUCCGUGCACUCUCCUCCACUUCGUGAACAACGAGUUGGUCGAUGUCGCCAAGGGAAAAAUCGUUCAACCGGGCAACCCCUUGUUCCACGGUACCCAGAUGCCACCCAACUUGUUUAGGGUUCAACUGGUUCGGGUGCUGCCAGGCUGCGAUGACUUGUUACCUCCGAUUCGACCCGUCGGGGCCGACGAUGAUGACGUGAUGACCCUCAGCGCCUGCCUGAGUUGGCCCCUGCUUUGGCCGAAGAGCCAGAUUCGUUUGGGGGCGGGGGACACCACCCCAAAGACAACACCGCCAGUCGUGCCGGCGCCAAGUCGGCCCCAUGGCAAGACCGCAGCAACGGUGCCGGACAUCCCUAUGCCACUGGAUCCAAACAUGCAUAUGGCACAGGAUCAGAACGACGAUGACAACGACGAUGAUACAUUUGGCAACGUCGAUCAGUACUUUGCCGAUCAUGGGUACGAUGGCGACUUCAUGGGGCCUCCUUCUCAAGAACCAAACCCAACAAAAGACGUGUGCGAUCUAGCUCGUACCGCGGAGAAGCCAAGUUGCAACAGGCGCCGUCUGGCGUUCAGCUCUCAGGAGACGCCUUCAGCUACCGACUUCAUCGAGCCUCAGAUAGGCGAGGUGCGAAAUAUUAUCAGCCCCAACACACUCAAGAAGGCGGUCUGUGAGCAGAACUCGGUCCCAUUACAGGAGAAGAAGAAGGCACGCAAAAGAAAGACUAAGAAGGGUGCGAGCCAGCCGGCACCGAGUACGAUCCGUGCUUAGGACGGGCCACCUUCACCGCAGGAUAUCUCGAGGAGGGUGCAUGUGGCGGGUAGGGCGAUGCUACCGACAAAUAUGCUCAAUGCUGCAACCGGUGCUAUGCGGAGUCUGCAUGACAGUGUUCUUUCUUUGGAGAAGCGGCGUCUCAGGGAGAAGGAUGUGGCAUACCCAGUUUUCGCGGCCAAGGUGCCAGAGGGCAAGGGCUUUGUGGAUAACUCUAUCGGGCGUACGAUCGUCCUGCGUUUUGAUGACAUCCACGCUAUGUUGAACCUUCAUCCGCUGCACUACACCUUCAUUCGGCUAUUUUCGCUGAGUAUGGAGAUGCGGAUCAUUCGCGACAAGACCCCGGACAUCGUGAUAGUCGACCCCUUCUACAUGUGUGCCAAGAUCUUGGGCACCGCUGGGGACCGGCAAGUCGCGAGUUCUUACCUCGAAGGCGUCAUUCUGGCAAACCAAGAUAAGGAUAACUUCCUCGUGCCUUACUUUCCCGAGUAAGUCCUCCCCUCAACCGUCCCGUAACAUAUGAAUUCUUACAUUUCGAUCGUUUUUCUUUUAACAUUCCGUGUUUUCUGCAGUGACACACGUUGCACGCUCAUCCUCCUAAGCCCCAAAUAUUCCAUGGCCACGUAUUUCGACCCGGACCAUCAGUCGAACAUAGACUACACAAAUGUCAAGAAGGUUCUUGAUGAUGUUCUCGCCGGCUACGCCAAAUCUGGAGGCACCUUCACCAGGCCUAUUCGUAAGUACGGCAAGCACGUGUUCUCCCACAAUACGAUGUUCUGCUGCGUCAAGCAGCCGCCUGGCAGUCAGAAGGGUGCCUACUAUGCCAUCCAUCACAUGCGGGCGAUCGUACGGGACCAUCAUCAACUUCUGCUACCGAGUAAACUCAAAGAUUGGGCCGCGAGCGUGUCGGCAAUCCAGGACGCGGACCUCCGACAAGAAUUCUUUCGCAUCCAGUCGGAGUUUGCGGAAAUCAUCCAUCAAGAUGUCCUUCGUACCUCGGGGCAGUUCUACCUCAGAAAUCAACCGUCCAACAGUGACAUCGACACAAUGCUACAAAUGCAGGCUGACAACGACCAUUAUUUCAUGACUCCCACGAUAGACGGCGGCUUCAUCCACGCUCCGGUCCCUUGAGUCGAGUCGAAAGCAGUGAUGCUGUGUCUAGUUCUGAAACAUCGAUUGGCUCAUGUUGUAAUUAAACUUUAAUGAACUUGUAGUAUGUCUCUUUGGUUUCGAGAGUCGUUCAACUUAGAUGUAAUCGAUGCUAUUAAUGUNNNNNNNNNNNNNNNNNNNNNNNNNNNNNNNNNNNNNNNNNNNNNNNNNNNNNNNNNNNNNNNNNNNNNNNNNNNNNNNNNNNNNNNNNNNNNNNNNNNNNNNNNNNNNNNNNNNNNNNNNNNNNNNNNNNNNNNNNNNNNNNNNNNNNNNNNNNNNNNNNNNNNNNNNNNNNNNNNNNNNNNNNNNNNNNNNNNNNNNNNNNNNNNNNNNNNNNNNNNNNNNNNNNNNNNNNNNNNNNNNNNNNNNNNNNNNNNNNNNNNNNNNNNNNNNNNNNNNNNNNNNNNNNNNNNNNNNNNNNNNNNNNNNNNNNNNNNNNNNNNNNNNNNNNNNNNNNNNNNNNNNNNNNNNNNNNNNNNNNNNNNNNNNNNNNNNNNNNNNNNNNNNNNNNNNNNNNNNNNNNNNNNNNNNNNNNNNNNNNNNNNNNNNNNNNNNNNNNNNNNNNNNNNNNNNNNNNNNNNNNNNNNNNNNNNNNNNNNNNNNNNNNNNNNNNNNNNNNNNNNNNNNNNNNNNNNNNNNNNNNNNNNNNNNNNNNNNNNNNNNNNNNNNNNNNNNNNNNNNNNNNNNNNNNNNNNNNNNNNNNNNNNNNNNNNNNNNNNNNNNNNNNNNNNNNNNNNNNNNNNNNNNNNNNNNNNNNNNNNNNNNNNNNNNNNNNNNNNNNNNNNNNNNNNNNNNNNNNNNNNNNNNNNNNNNNNNNNNNNNNNNNNNNNNNNNNNNNNNNNNNNNNNNNNNNNNNNNNNNNNNNNNNNNNNNNNAGUGGUGCGCCAUUAGUAUACCAGAUACUAAUGGCGCACCACUGGUGCGCCAUUAGUAAAAAUUACUAAUGGCGUGCUAGUAAUGGCGCACCAGUGAUGCGCCAUUAAUGGCCAAAUUAGGUGCGCCAUUAGUAGCGGUUUUUCUAGUACUGCAUAGUUAGGAGACCAUACGUACAUGCUUCGGGAAUCACAAACCUUAACACCAAUAUCCUUACUAAACACAACCAUUUACUAGAACCUCCCACAUAUUAUGAUCUCUGUAUCGCAAAACUAUUGCGAGGAAUCAAACAUAUCAUAUUCAGUGAUCUACAAGUUUUAUGUAGGAUUUUAUGACUAACCAUGUGAAUGACCAAUUCCUGUCAUCUCUCUAAAUAGAUAUAAGUGAAGAAAGAGAGUUUAAUUCUUUCUACAAAAGAUAUGCCCACGCUCUAACAAAUAUAAGUGAAGCAAAAGAGCAUUCUACAAAUGGCGGUUUUCUAUGUGAAGAGAAACAGGCAAUCCAAACUUCAAAUGAUAUAAGUGAAGCACAUGAAGCAUUAUAUAAAGCCAUACUCAAAAGAUUUAAGUGAAGUGCAAAGAGCAUUCUAUAAAUCAACCAAGGACUAUCUCGUACCAGCAUGGUGCAUAAAAGAAAAUUGAAAACUAAAUGCAAAAGACGCUCCAAGAUUUGCACAUAUCGCAUGAAUGAAACGAAUCCGAAAACAUACCGAUACUUGUUGAAGAAAGAUGGGAUGCCUUCCGGGGCAUCCCCAAGCUUAGACACUUGAGUCUCCUUGAAUAUUUACUUGGGGUGUCUUGGGCAACCCCAAGCUUGAGCUCUUGCCUCUCCUCCUUUUCCUCAUAUCGAGACCUCCUCGAUCUUCAAACACUUCAUCCACACAAAACUUCAACAGAAAACUCGGUAAGAUCUGUUAGUAUAAUAAAGAAAAUCACUACUCUAAGUACUGUUGUAAACCAAUUGAUAUUUUGUUUUUGCAUUGUAGCUACUGUAAUAUAACUUUUCCAUGGCUUAAUCCACUGAUAGAAAUUGAUAGUUUCAUCAGAACAAGCAAACUAUGCAUCAAAAACAGAAUCUGUCUUAAACAGGACAGUCUGUUGUAAUCUGAACAUUCACCAUACUUAUGGUACCCCAAAAUUUCUGCAAAACUUAGGAAAAAUUAACAAUUUGUAUAGAAAGACAUUACAAAAAGUUUCAGAACCGUUUGACGUUCCAGUAAAAAAAGUAAAAUCACGCACUACAGCCAAAGUUUCUGUCCUGCACCGCACAAACUAACAAGCAUUGUAAACAUCCUAAAGGCAAACCUUGGCACAUUAUUUAUUAGUAUAAAAUGGAAUUGUACAAGGGGAUAAUUAUUUUUGAUGAAAAUUUUUUGUAUUCACAAAGUUUUCGUGAGCUUGAACAAAGUUCAAGGAGCUCCCCCACUUCAACAAUGCUUGUCAUUCUCACUUUCACUUUCCUUUUUGAAAAGUCUUGGGUUCCCCUCUUUAUUUUUUUUGUUUCUAAACUAUAUGAAAGCACUCAACAGAAAUAAAUGACUCUCUAAAACUUCCAGGUUGUCUCCCUGGCAGCGUUUUUCUUUAAAUCCAUUAAGCUAGGCAUAUAGUGCUCAAGUAAUGGAUCCACCGGAUCCCAAGGUAUAUCAAAGCCAAUUUUAAUUAACAUUGAUUUGUAAUUUAGUAGUGAGCACAAAGUAACAUAUAUCAUGCAACAACGAAGUCUAACUCUCUUCCUAUGCAUAGGCAUGUCAUAAAAGAACAAUUCAUGCACACCAAGUAAAGGCCAAUGCAUAGUAUAAGCAGUUUCUUGCAAUUUUAUCAUAUUGGAAACAUAGAGAGGUGGAGAUAUAGUUCCUCUCUCAUAAUAAUUGCAAGUAGGAGCAGCAAGCAUAUUAUAUCUAUCAAAAUCAUCAUGUGUAGUAGUAAAACGCAACCCGUCAAUAUAAUCCUUAAUAAGGACAAACUUCUCUGAUAUAGUGUAGUUUGGAGUUUAUAUGAAUUUUUAAAGAGUUAAACAUUUUCUGGAUUUAUUAUUAAAUGUAAAACGGAGUUCUUGCAUUAGCAUGAUGUCAUCAUGAUGUCAACAGGGUCAACAGUCAACUCUGACUGGGUUGACUGUUCAAAGGGGCAGUGGGGCCCAAACGUCAUUCUGUACUAAAUAAUUAAUAGCUAAUUUGCUAACUAAUCAGACUAAUUAGGUCAGGUUAAUUAACAAUUAAUUAAUUAAGUAAGUAAUUAUUAUUUUAACUAAACCUUUUUAACAGGGGUGUGGUCCCCACCUAUCUGUGGCAUAGGAGGCCACUAGAGGGCUAACGGGGAUGGGCGACGGGCGCUGCCCCGGGGCAUGGGCUGGCCUGGGCGCAGCCUGCUGGGGCUGCGGUGAGGACGCCGGACCCAGGCGCGGGGCGGGUGUGUGAACGCACAGUCAAGGAAGCAGGGAGGCGUGGGCGGCAGGGUGCCACCGGGCGAUGGCCGCUGCGGCCGGCAACGGGCAGGGGCUGGCGGGGGCGGCCGGGCAUGGGGCAUGCCCCGGGCGCGGCGACAAGCAGGGGAGCCGCCGCGCCGGUGGACUAAGGCGAGAGCAGGCAAGGCGAGCGAGUUGGGCGGCUAGCGCAGCGGGUGCUGGCAAGCGGGCGCAGCGGGCUACAAACAGCGCAGCAGGGGCGGCAGGAGCGAGAGGCCAGAGGCGAGCCGCAAGCCGUGGCGGCAGCAAGGGGGCGGCUACGGCAGAGUUUAGGCCACGGUGCGACGGCGGGUACAGCUAGCUACGACCAAAAUUGAGCGAUCUAGAGGGAGGGGAGGGGAAGAUGCUCACGAUGGUGUAGGGGAGAAGCUUGGGAAGGCGCGGAGUGACGUGCAGCGGUGGCAAACUCCGGUGAGAUCCGGGUCAGGGCCAGAGAAGAAGGGGGCAUGUUGUCGAUGCAUUGCUCCCCGACUCGGUCUGCUCCUUGGAUUCGACAAGGACGAUGAGGGCCCCUCGGACGAGGUGGAGUGGCACGGGGACGGCGGUGGCCACAAUGGUAACGAUGGCUCGGCGACUAUGGCACACGGCAAGGUUGGGGUGCAGCGGAUCUGGGGGAGAGUGGGAGCGAGGGGGGUUAGGGUUCGAGAGGAGGGAUGCCGGGGACUAGUAGACGAGGGGGAGCGAGGGAUGGCUGCGACGCACAGCCUCGAGUGGCGGAUGGGCGCCACGGCCACCCCAGCCUCCUAUAGCGAGAAGAAGAGGACGUGUGGGGGUGGUUGGGCUGGUUUUUGCUAAAUGGGCCGGGUUGUCCAAUAGUUUAGGUCUGUUGCUUUCUCUCCUACUUUUUUUUGGUUACUGUUAUACAUUAUUUUCACAUUUAUUUUAGUUUCGUUAAAUCUAAAACUAGCUCCAUAAAUAGAGUUAUAAAAUAACCAACAACCACAAAAUGUUUCACACAUAAUUAAAAUAGUUUGACAUUUUAGAAAUUAUGAAAGGCAUUUAUUUAAUUGUUUUAGCUACACUUUUAUUUAUUUGAGUGCACUUAAAUAAUUUAUACAAGUGUGGUUUCUUCACUGAUAUUACCUAUGAAUUAUUUGCCACAGUUUGAACAAUUUAGAUUUGGCAUUUUGAAAACUUUAAAUUUUGACAUUAAUUUAAAUUUGAAUUUGGACCGAAUUCGAACCAACACGAGUUUAACAACAGUAAUCAUGAUGACGUGGCAUCAUUAGCAGGGAAUUACUAUAGCUUAGUUAUCCGGGCGUCACAAUUCUCCUCCACUACAAGAAAUCUCAUCCCGAGAUUUAAGGGGUGGAGGAAGGGGGAAAGACUCCAGAAGAACGGAGUUCAACACAAGAUAGGUAUCUAGGAGCUAUCUUAGUGAACGUGGCAUAGAGGCAUCUCUCGAGUAGAAAUUCAAGAAAGUAAUCGAGAGCAAGGUAAGAAGGUGCAAUAAGAAGCUUCAUGUUGUUAAUCAACCGUUCGUUGCAUGAAACAGAGGGUGAAGGGGGUUCGGAGCAAUGGGAAUAAGUAUUGCGUCUGAUACCAGAAUAGAUCACUAGGAAUGUGGCUCAUGAAUUACAUACGAAGCCAAGCACGAGGAAUAACUUAGGAAGCAGGGAUGUAUAUGAGAGUCAGGUUUCGACCCUGUGGAACUGUGGGUUAUGGGCCCACCAUGUGGGUUUAAAAGCGGGAAGGGUGCUAACAUUUGCACGGUCAUGAUAGCAAGGCCGGUUAGAGGACAACCUGUCAGUUAUGUUGGCAACAACGUUGGUACCAAGGGCAAGGGACGAAGAGAACUAUUUUCCUGCUCGUUAAGACGAGGCGGACCAAUAGGCAAAGUUCUCGUCCAUUGAUGGCUACCGGAAUGUCAUCAACAAUAGUAACAAGGCCUUACUGACAGAGUUUGUACACCGAGAUGUUUACAUAAGCAGGGAAUUAUCACUGGUCAGGUAUGUUAGGUUACAAGAAAGGUUAAACAAAACACUGGAAAGGGAAGUGUAGACUCGAAUCAGUUAUCGGUGUUCUCGAGUGUCUAACAACUCAGAACCCGUGGAAAACUUGAAUCAACGAGAAAUAAUAGUUGACGAAGAACUCAUAAGAAGUUAUGUAGUUCCGUGAUAUUCUUGAGAUACCAGAGGGUAAUACUCGAAGGUAGAACAGGAUAGAGGUUGGACAGGUGAAAUGAUCUACAGAAGACAAGUACUUCAACUUGUCCGAGAAAUGAAAUCAAAGGAGAACAAUCAUGGUCAGAACCACGGUUGCAUUGGACCAAACAUAGAUACAAGAUGAACUUAUCACAAGAGGAUUAUUAUUAUAACAUGAAGCUUCCAUGAUAGGAUCUACAUCGUGUCCAUGGGCAUGAACACAAAGUUCAAGGUCGACUCUCACUUCUCCAAUGCAUAACCUUCCAUGCACUUCUCGCAUUCGAAGAAGUUGUAGCAUUGAAAUUUUACCUGAAGAAGAGCCAGUAGAGUAUAACCCGCAUAACUUUCGAGUUCACACGGAUUUAGAAAAGACGUAGAUUCAACCCAAAGGGGCAUCUUAGGAACCUAUUCCACAAACUUCAGGAGUAAAUAUCUCAAGCUCGGAAGUAUAGCAUUGUUGAGGCAGCAGAGGAUAUAAUUUACCAAAGGCAUUAGGUUCCCGAGGAACAGGCUCACAAGGUUACUGAAUAUGAAGGACACUGUCGGAUAAAAACCAACAAAGGAUCUAGUGGUCCACAAGGAAUCUGAUGUGAGCAUUGAUACUCAACCAUAAGAAGAAAGAAUGCAAGGAUAGACAACUGACUAAUUCUAAGCUCGAAUGCAAAGGGAAUUAUGAUUUCCAAAAUGGGGGAUCGGAAGCAGAGGCUCUGAUCAAAUACAAUUAAUUAGAAUAGACAAAGAUGGACAAUCAACCAAGGUUUGAUUUUUCGAACACCAGCUCAUGUCCGGGGUGACAUCUGAGCAGAAGGGAAGAAUUCUAGUUGUGAUUGAUGAUUGCAAGCAUUCACUAAUAUAUCGAAUCAAAUGUUCAAAAUGACGAUGACAAAGGAUACUACUGAAUAUUACCAGACAUAUGGAAAGUAUCCAUAAUGCAAGCAGAAAAGUAUUUGCAGUGCAAUAGUUGGAGAGGAUUAUCGGAAGAUCGGACAGUAUUUCAAGGCAUCUUGUAAUAACAAUAGCAACUGGGGAUGAAGGUAUGAAUGACAAUGGUAGGUAGUUAUGUUGGGGAACGUUGCAUAAAAUAAAAAAAAAUCCUACGUUCACCAAGAUCAAUCUAUGAGUUCAUCUAGCAACGAGAGAGGGGAGUGCAUCUACAUACCCAUGUAGAUCGCGAGUGGAAGCGUUCAAGAGAACGGGGUUGAGGGAGUCGUACUCGUAGUGAUCCAAAUCAUCAGAGAUCCUAGCGCCGAACGGACGGCACCUCCGCGUUCAACACACGUACGGUCAGCAUGACAUCUCCUCCUUCUUGAUCCAGCAAGGGGGAAGGAGAGGUUGAUGAAGAUCCAGCAGCACGAUGGCGUGGUGGUGGAUGCAGCAGAGUUCCGGCAGGGCUUCGCCAAGCAACUACGGGAGGAGGAGGUGUAGCAAAGGGGGAAGGAAGGCACCAAUACUUUAGGGUGCGGCUGCCCUCCCCUCCCCCUCCUUUAUAUAGGCCCCUGGGGGGGGCCGGCCCUGGAGAUGGGAUCUCCCAAGGGGGAGGCGGCCAAGGGGGGUGGAGUGCCCCCCAAGGCAAGUGGAGGCGCCCCCCACCCUAGGGUUUCCAACCCGAGGCGCAGGGGGGCCCAAGGGGGGGCGCACCAGCCCACUAGGGGAUGGUCCCCUCCCCACUUCAGCCAACGGGGCCCUCCGGGAUAGGUGGCCCCACCCGGUGGACCCCCGGGACCCUUCCGGUGGUCCCGGUACAAUACCGGUGAUCCCCGAAACUCUCCCGAUGACCGAAACUGCACUUCCUAUAUAUAAUUCUUUACCUCCGGACCAUUCCGGAACUCCUCGUGACGUCCGGGAUCUCAUCCGGGACUCCGAACAACUUUCGGUUUGCUGCAUACUCAUAUCUCUACAACCCUAGCGUCACCGAACCUUCAGUGUGUAGACCCUACGGGUUCGGGAGACACGUAGACAUGACCGAGACGGCUCUCCGGUCAAUAACCAACAGUGGGAUCUGGAUACCCAUGUUGGCUCCCACAUGCUCCUCGAUGAUCUCAUCGGAUGAACCACGAUGUCGACGAUUCAAUCAACCCCGCAUACAAUUCCCUUUGUCAAUCGGUAUGUUACUUGCCCGAGACUCGGUCGUCGGUAUCCCAAUACCUCGUUCAGUCUCAUUACCGGCAAGUCACUUUACUCGUACCGUAAUGCAUGAUCCCGUGACCAGACACUUGGUCACAUUGAGCUCAUUAUGAUGAUGCAUUACUGAGUGGGCCCAGAGAUACCUCUCCGUCAUACGGAGUGACAAAUCCCAGUCUCGAUCUGUGUCAACCCAACAGACACUUUCAGAGAUACCUGUAGUGCACCUUUAUAGUCACCCAGUUAUGUUGUGACGUUUGGUACACCCAAAGCACUCCUACGUUAUACGGGAGUUACACGAUCUCAUGGUCUAAGGAAAAGAUACUUGACAUUGGAAAAGCUCUAGCAAACGAACUACACGAUCUUGUGCUAUGCUUAGGAUUGGGUCUUGUCCAUCACAUCAUUCUCCCAAUGAUGUGAUCCCGUUAUCAACGACAUCCAAUGUCCAUAGUCAGGAAACCAUGACUAUCUGUUGAUCAACGAGCUAGUCAACUGGAGGCUCACUAGGGACAUAUUAUGGUCCAUGUAUUCACACGUGUAUUACGAUUUCCGGAUAAUACAAUUGUAGCAUGAAUAAAAGACAAUUAUUAUGAACAAGGAAAUAUAAUAAUAAUCCUUUUAUUAUUGCCUCUAGGGCAUAUUUCCAACAGUCUCCCACUUGCACUAGAGUCAAUAAUCUAGUUACAUUGUGAUGAAUCGAACGCCCAUAGAGUUCUGGUAUUGAUCAUGUUUUGCUCGCGGAAGAGGUUUAGUCAACGGAUCUGCGACAUUCAGAUCCGUAUGUACUUUGCAAAUACCUAUGUCUCCAUCUUGAACAUUUUCACGGAUGGAGUUGAAACGACGAUUGAUGUGCCUGGUCUUCUUGUGAAACCUGGGCUCCUUGGCAAGGGCAAUAGCUCCAGUGUUGUCACAGAAGAGAGUGAUUGGCCCGGACGCAUUGGGUAUGACUCCUAGGUCGGUGAUGAACUCCUUCAUCCAUAUUGCUUCAUGCGGUGCCUCCGAGGCUGCCAUGUACUCCGCUUCACAUGUAGAUCCCGCCACGAUGCUCUCCUUACAACUGCACCAGCUUACUGCUCCAUGAUUCAACAUAUACACGUAUCCGGUUUGUGACAUAGAGUCAUCCAGAUCUGUGUCGAAGCUAGCGUCGACGUAACCCUUUACGACGAGCUCUUCGUCACCUCCAUAAACGAGAAACAUGUCCUUUGUCCUUUCCAGGUACUUCAGGAUAUUAUUGACCGCUGUCCAGUGUUCCUUGCCGGGAUUACUUUGGUACCUUCCUACCAAACUUACGGCAAGGUUUACAUCAGGUCUGGUACACAGCAUGGCAUACAUAAUAGAUCCUAUGGGUGAAGCAUAGGGGAUGACACUCAUCUCUUCUUUAUCUUUUGCCGUGGUCGGGCAUUGAGCCGAGCUCAAUCUCACACCUUGCAAUACAACCAAGAACCCUUUCUUGGAUUGAUCCAUUUUGAACUUCUUAAAUAUCUUAUCAAGGUUUGUGCUUUGUGAAAGACCUAUGAGGCGUCUCGAUCUAUCCCUAUAGAUCUCGAUGCCUAAUAUGUAAGCAGCUUCUCCAAGGUCCUUCAUUGAAAAACACUUAUUCAAGUAGGCCUUAAUGUUGUCCAAAAUUCUAUAUCAUUUUCCAUCAAAAGUAUGUCAUCUACAUAUAAUAUGAGAAAUGCUACAGAGCUCCCACUCACUUUCUUGUAAACGCAGGCUUCUCCAUAAGUCUGCAUAAACCCAAACGCUUUGAUCAUCUCAUCAAAGCGAAUGUUCCAACUCCGAGAUGCUUGCACCAUCCCAUAAAUGGAUCGCUGGAGCUUGCAUACUUUGUUAGCAUUCUUAGGAUCGACAAAACCUUCCGGCUGCAUCAUAUACAGUUCUUCCUUAAGAUAGCCGUUAAGGAAUGCCGUUUUGACGUCCAUCUGCCAUAUCUCAUAAUCAUAGUAUGCGGCAAUUGCUAACAUGAUUCAGACGGACUUCAGCUUUGCUACGGGAGAGAAAGUCUCAUCGUAGUCAACCCCUUGAACUUGUCGAUAACCCUUAGCGACAAGUCGAGCUUUAUAGAUGGUAAUAUUAUCAUCCGCGUCCGUCUUCUUCUUAAAGAUCCAUUUGUUUUCUAUCGCUCGUCGAUCAUCGGGUAAGUCUGUCAAAGUCCAUACUUUGUUUUCAUACAUGCAUUCUAUCUCGGAUUGCAUGGCUUCAAGCCAUUUGUUGGAAUCUGGGCCUGCUAUCGCUUCUUCAUAGUUCGAAGGUUCACCGUUGUCUAACAACAUGAUUUCCAGGACAGGGUUGCCAUACCACUCUGGUGUGGAACGUGUCCUUGUGGACCUACGAAGUUCAGUAGAUACUUGAUUCGAAGUACCUUGAUUAUCAUCAUUAAUUUCCUCUCCAGUCAGUGUAGGCACCACAGGAACAUUUUCCUGAGCUGCACUACUUUCUGGUUCAAGAGGUAGUACUUCAUCGAGUUCUACUUUCCUCCCACUUACUCCUUUCGAGAGAAACUCUUUUUCCAGAAAGGAUCCGUUCUUGGCAACAAAGAUCUUGCCUUCGGAUCUAAGGUAGAAGGUAUACCCAAUGGUUUCCUUAGGGUAUCCUAUGAAGACGCAUUUUUCCGACUUAGGUUCGAGCUUUCCAGGUUGAAGUUUCUUGACAUAAGCAUCGCAUCCCCAAACAUUUAGAAACGACAGCUUAGGUUUCUUCCCAAACCAUAAUUCAUACGGUGUCGUCUCAACGGAUUUUUACGGAGCCCUAUUUAAAGUGAAUGUAGCUGUCUCUAGAGCAUAUCCCCAAAAUGAUAGCGGUAAAUCGGUAAGAGACAUCAUAGAUCGUACCAUAUCGAAUAGAGUGCGAUUACGACGUUUGGACACACCAUUACGCUGAGGUGUUCCAGGCGGCGUGAGUUGUGAAACGAUUCCACAUUUUCUUAAGUGUGUACCAAAUUCGUGACUUAAAUAUUCUCCUCCACGAUCUGAUCGUAAGAAUUUUAUCUUUCGGUCACGUUGAUUCUCUACCUCAUUCUGAAAUUCUUUGAACUUUUCAAAGGUCUCAGACUUGUGUUUCAUCAAGUAGACAUACCCAUAUCUACUUAAGUCAUUAGUGAGAGUGAGAACAUAACGAUAUCCUCCGCGAGCCUCAACGCUCAUUGGACCGCACACAUCGGUAUGUAUGAUUUCCAAUAAGUUGGUUGCUCGCUCCAUUGUUCUGGAGAACGGAGUCUUGGUCAUUCUGCCCAUGAGGCAUGGUUCGCAUGUGUCAAAUGAUUCAUAAUCGAGAGACUCUAAAAGUCCAUCAGCAUGGAGCUUCUUCAUGCGCUUGACACCAAUGUGACCAAGGCAGCAGUGCCACAAGUAUGUGGGACUAUCGUUAUCAACUUUACAUCUUUUGGUAUUCACACUAUGAAUAUGUGUAACAUUACAUUCGAGAUUCAUUAAUAAUAAACCAUUGACCAUCGGGGCAUGACCAUAAAACAUAUCUCUCAUAUAAAUAGAACAACCAUUAUUCUCGGAUUUAAAUGAGUAGCCACCUCGUAUCAAACGAGAUCCAGAUACAAUGUUCAUGCUCAAACUUGGCACUAAAUAACAAUUAUUGAGGUUUAAAACUAAUCCCAUGGAUAAAUGUAGAGGUAGCGUGCCGACGGUGAUCACAUCGACCUUGGAACCAUUCCUGACGCGCAUCGUCACCUCGUCCUUCGCCAAUCUCCGCUUAUUCUGCAGCUCCUGCUGUGAGUUACAAAUAUGAGCAACGGCACCGGUAUCAAAUACCCAGGAGUUACUACGAGUACAGGUAAGGUAUACAUCAAUUACAUGUAUAUCACAUAUACCUUUAGUAUUGUCGGCCUUCUUGUCCGCUAAGUAUUUGGGGCAGUUCCACUUCCAGUGACCCUUCCCUUUGCAAUAAAAGCACUCAGUCUCAGGCUUGGGUCCAUUCUUUGACUUCUUCCCGGCAACUGGCUUACCGGGUGCGGCAACAUCCUUGCCGUCCUUCUUGAAGUUCUUCUUACCCUUGCCUUUCUUGAACUUGGUGGUUUUAUUGACCAUCAACACUUGAUGUUCUUUCUUGAUUUCUACCUCUGCCGACUUCAGCAUUGAAAAUACUUCAGGAAUAGUUUUCACCAUCCCCUGCAUAUUGUAGUUCAUCACAAAGCUCUUGUAGCUCGGUGGGAGCGAGUGAAGGAUUCUUUCAAUGACCGCCUCGUCCAGGAGGUUAAUGUCCAGCUGGGACAGGCGGUUGUGCAACCCAGACAUUUUGAGUAUGUGCUCACUGACAGAACUAUUUUCCUCCAUCUUACAACUAUAGAACUUGUCGGAGACUUCAUAUCUCUCGACCCGAGCAUGAGCUUGGAAAACCAUUUUCAGCUCCUCGAACAUCUCAUAUGCUCCGUCUUGCUCAAAACGCUUUUGGAGCCCCGAUUCUAAGCUGUAAAGCAUGCCGCACUGAACGAGGGAGUAAUCAUCAGCACGUGACUGCCAAGCAUUCAUAACGUCUUGGUUCUCUGGGAUGGGUGCUUCACCUAGCGGUCCUUCUAGGACAUAUGCUUUCUUGGCAGCUAUGAGGAUGAUCCUCAGGUUCCGGACCUAGUCCGUAUAGUUGCUACCAUCAUCUUUCAGCUUGAUUUUCUCUAGGAACGCGUUGAAGUUCAUGUUGGCAUGAGCGUUGGCCAUUUGAUCUACAAGACAUAUUUUGCAAAGACUUUAGACUAAGUUCAUGAUAAUUAAGUUCAUCUAAUCAAAUUAUUUAAUGAACUCCCACUCAGAUUAGACAUCCCUCUAGUCAUCUAAGUGUUACACGAUCCGAGUCGACUAGGCCGUGUCCGAUGAUCACGUGAGACGGAUUAGUCAUCAUCGGUGAACAUCUCCAUGUUGAUCGUAUCUUCCAUACGACUCAUGUUCGACCUUUCGGUCCCUGUGUUCCGAGGCCAUGUCUGUACAUGCUAGGCUUGUCAAGUUAACCUAAGUGUUUUGCAUGUGUAAAACUGUCUUACACCCGUUGUAUGUGAACGUAGGAAUCUAUCACACCCGAUCAUCACGUGGUGCUUCGAAACGAUGAACUUUAGCAACGGCGCACAGUUAGGGAGAACACUUUCUUUAAAUUAUUAUAAGGGAUCAUCUUAUUUACUACCGUCAUUCUAAGUAAACAAGAUGCACAAACAUAAUAAACAUCACAUGCAAUUAUAUAGUAAUGACAUGAUAUGGCCAAUAUCAUAUAGCUCCUUUGAUCUCCAUCUUCGGGGCUCCAUGAUCAUCUUCGUCACCGGCAUGACACCAUGAUCUCCAUCAUCGUGUCUCUAUGAAGUUGCUCGCCAACUAUUACUUCUACUACUAUGGCUAACGGUUUAGCAAUAAAAUAAAGUAAUUACAUGGCGUUAAAUCAUUGACACGCAGGUCAUACAAUAAUUAAGACAACUCCUAUGGCUCCUGCCGGUUGUCAUACUCAUCGACAUGCAAGUCGUGAUUCCUAUUACAAGAACAUGAUCUCAUACAUCACAAUAUAUCAUUCAUCAUUCAUCACAACUUUUGGCCAUAUCACAUCACAAGGCAAUUGCUACAAAAACAAGUUAGACGUCCUCUAAUUGUUGUUGCAUCUUUUACGUGGCUGCAAUAGGGUUCUAGCAAGAAUGUUUUCUUACCUACGAAAAAGCCAUAAUAUGAUUUGUCAACUUCUAUUUACCCUUCAUAAGGACCCUUUUCAUCGAAUCCGCUCCAACUAAAGUGGGAGAGACAGACACUCACUAGCCACCUUAUGCAACUAGUGCAUGUCAGUCGGUGGAACCUGUCUCACGUAAGUGUACGUGUAAGGUCGGUCCGGGCCGCUUCAUCCCACAAUAUCGCUGAAGCAAAAUAAGACUAGUAGCUAGGAGUGGGCAUAAAAACCGAGGAACCAAAGACCGAACCGAAGCCAAAACUGAAAAAACCGAAAUUUCGGUUUUUAGUAGUGGUAAUGAAAAAUUCGGUUUUUACUUUUGUUAACCGAACUAACUUUGAUCGGUUCAGUCUUACACUGGUAACCGAACACGCAAGCACUACAGCGCACGUCGCUAAAAGGACGCGCCAGGUAGCAACUACGAGUGUGCACGUGCGGUCGGAAUAUCACUUCCAUGGGCCCAGCCAACUACCUGCAUGCAUGCACGUUUUUUUGGGCUUUUUAUGUGGCACUGCGUGGCCCAUGUUCUCUUCCUGUACGCCGGAAACUAGCAGGACGUGCUGUCCUUGUGGGUUUAGUUCCACCUCGGCUGGCUACGUGAAGGAACACAUGAUGCUUGGCUAUAUAAAAGACUUGGUUGCUAGAGGUAUCAGGUGUGCACGAUGUUGCGCUAAUACUUCGGUAUGUACGGUAGAAACCGAAUACCAAACCGAAUUAUCGGUUGACCAGAGUUUCGGUUUUCUAGUUUUCUGAUUCAUUUUCGGUGAGCAUUUUGUCUAAUCGAAAUUCAAAAAAUACGAAAAUAUAUUAACCGAACUUUCGGUUUCUACCUAAUGCCCAGGCCUACUAGUAGUGGCAAGCAAGUUGACAACAUCUAUGCCCACAACAGAUUUGUGUUCUACUCGUGCAAUAAAGAACUACGCAUAGACCUAGCUCAUGAUGCCACUGUUGGGGAACGUUGCAUAAAAUAAAAAAAACCCUACGUUCACCAAGAUCAAUCUAUGAGUUCAUCUAGCAACGAGAGAGGGGAGUGCAUCUACAUACCCUUGUAGAUCGCUAGCGGAAGCGUUCAAGAGAACGGGGUUGAGGGAGUCGUACUCGUCGUGAUCCAAAUCACCAGAGAUCCUAGCGCUGAACGGACGGCACCUCCGCGUUCAACACACGUACGGUCAGCGUGACGUCUCCUCCUUCUUUAUCCAGCAAGGGGGAAGGAGAGGUUGAUGAAGAUCCAGCAGCACGACGGCGUGGUGGUGGAGCAGCAAAGUUCUGGCAGGGCUUCGCCAAGCAACUACGGGAGGAGGAGGUGUAGCAAAGGAGGAAGGGAGGCACCAAGACUUCAGGGUGCGGCUGCCCUCCCCUCCCCCUCCUUUAUAUAGGCCCCCUCGGGGGCGCCGGCCCUGGAGAUGGGAUCUCCCAAGGGGGCGACGGCCAAGGGGGGUGGAGUGCCCCCCAAGGCAAGUGGAGGCGCCCCCCCCCCCCACCCUAGGGUUUCCAACCCUAGGCGCAGGGGGGGCCAAGGGGGGCGCACCAGCCCACUAGGGGCUGGUCCCCUCCCCACUUCAGCCCACGGAGCCCUCCGGGAUAGGUGGCCCCACCCGGUGGACCCCCGGGACCCUUCCGGUGGUCCCGGUACAAUACCGGUGACCCCCGAAACUCUCCCGAUGGCCGAAACUGCACUUCCUAUAUAUAAUUCUUUACCUCGGGACCAUUCCAUAACUCCUCGUGACGUCCGGGAUCUCAUCCGGGACUCCGAACAACUUUCCGUUUGCUGCAUACUCAUAUCUCUACAACCCUAGCAUCACCCAACCUUAAGUGUGUAGACCCUACGGGUUCGGGAGACACGUAGACAUGACCGAGACGGCUCUCCGGUUAAUAACCAAUAGCAGGAUCUGGAUACCCAUGUUGGCUCCCACAUGCUCCUCGAUGAUCUCAUCGGAUGAACCACAAUGUCGAGGAUUCAAUCAACCCCGCAUACAAUUCCCUUUGUCAAUCGGUAUGUUACUUGCCCGAGACUCGGUUGUCGGUAUCCCAAUACCUCGUUCAGUCUCGUUACCGGCAAGUCACUUUACUCAUACCGUAAUGCAUGAUCACGUGACCAGACACUUGGUCACAUUGAUCUCAUUAUGAUGAUGCAUUACUGAGUGGGCCCAGAGAUACCUCUCCGUCAUACGGAGUGACAAAUCCCAGUCUCGAUCCGUGUCAACCCAACAGACACUUUCGGAGAUACCUGUAGUGCACCUUUAUAGUCACCCAGUUACGUUGUGACGUUUGGUACACCCAAAGCACUCCUACGGUAUCCGGGAGUUACACGAUCUCAUGGUCUAAGGAAAAGAUACUUGACAUUGGGAAAGCUCUAGCAAACGAACUACACGAUCUUGUGCUAUGCUUAGGAUUGGGUCUUGUCCAUCACAUCAUUCUCCCAAUGAUGUGAUCCCGUUUUCAACGACAUCCAAUGUCCAUAGUCAGGAAACCAUGACUAUCUGUUGAUCAACGAGCUAGUCAACUAGAGGCUCACUAGGGACAUAUUGUGGUCUAUGUAUUCACACGUGUAUUACGAUUUCCGGAUAAUACAAUUAUAGCAUGAAGAAAAGACAAUUAUCAUGAACAAGGAAAUAUAAUAAUAAUCCUUUUAUUAUUGCCUCUAGGGCAUAUUUCCAACAAGUUACCCAUAAGGAUUUAUUGGUGGUAGGGAUCGCAACGGCAAAGGGCGCAAGGGUCUCUAGAAAACUUCGGAGAGUAUCUUCAGAAUCUUCCGGUGCACCAAAUAAUCAUCUGGAGUGAGGGGCUCUCCGGUGAUAGUAUUUACGAGAACCUAGAGUUAGAGUUAGCAAAAUCAUUUAACCCAAAUAGAAGAGAGAUUAGAUUCCCAGAGUAUAGACGAGGAGUAAAAGGUCCUAAUACUACCCAAUGGCGAUGUGGGCCCGUAAACCGCACAGCCAUGUUAGUAAAAGUUUUUCAGUGGCUAGACUCAACUUCGGCCAAGGAGUUGGAAAGGGGGGUUCCUACGGGCAGUCGGCUCUGAUACCAACUUGUGACGUCCCUGAUUCAAUCGUACACUAAUCAUGCACGCAAAUGUGUAAGAUCAAGAGCAAGGACUUACAGGAAGAAAUCACAACACAACUCUAGACACGAAUUGAAAUAAUACAAGCUUUAUAUUACAAGCCAGGGGCCUCGAGGGCUCGAAUACAUAAGCUCGACACACAAGAGUCAGCAGAAACAACAAUAUUUGAGUACAGACAUAAGUUAAACAAGGGUGCCUUAAGAAGGCUAGCACAAAAGCAACACGAUCGAAGAGGCAAGGCCUCCUGCCUGGGACCCCCUAAACUACUCCUGGUCGUCGGUGGCCUCCACGUAGUAGUAUCCGUCGGUGGUGGCAUCUGGCUCCAUGGAUUCACCAUCUGGUUGCAACAACCGGAAAGAAGAAAGAAGGGGGAAAAGGGGUAGCAAAGCAACCAUGAGUACUCAUCCAAAGUACUCACAAGCAUCAGAUCUAUACUAAGUAUGCAUUGGUAUCAAAUGGAAGCUUUGUAUCUAUAGACUGACCUGUAGAAUGCCAGAAUAGAGGGGGGAAGGCCUAGCCUAUCAAAGACUUCUUCAAGCGGCUCCAAGCAUCUUGCACCAUGUAGGAGAGUAAAGAAUAGCAGUUUAUAAUUAGCAAGCAUGAUGUAGCAUUAACGCCCAGAGAUCCUUCAUUGACUCUCUGCGAGAAAGCAAUCCUGGGGCCACAUGUCUCAAGUAUCCAUUUCUAGUUGUAAAAGACCAGGAUAUAAGUCUGAACUUGCCGGAAGAACCAUACCCAGCUCGGAAACUUCUAACCCUCCACAACUUCCAUGGGAAGUGGGAUGAUUUUAUUGUUCCCAUCCACACCAAUAGCAGACAGGAUUUGCCCUUUGUACUGACCUGUCAGGACUGUACCAUCCACAAACAUAACUGGAGGACAAUGCUGGAAAGCUUCGAUGCACAUAGCGAAAGAGAAGAAUAAUCAUUUCAACACCUUGAAAUCUGGUAUACUCGGCAACCUCGUGUGUUGUACAUUCACAUAUCAUAUGAGUCGGGAUUCCUCUCCUUCAGUAUGUCAAGGGACGGACAACAUUAUCAUAUGAGUCAAAGAACGUCCCAAACCUUCCCUUCAUAGCCUUCUGCUUAGCCCUCCAAGCCUUCCCAUAAGGAAUGACAUCAUUCCAUCUGAUCUUCACUACUGUUUGGAUAUCUUUUGCUUCCAUAUCAUUCUUCUCUACUAUCUCAGUAUACAUGAGUUGCGCAAUGAGAGUUGAAGUCUGGUUGUCAUACUUCGACACAUGCCCAUGCACCUUCCUAGGACAACAUGUUUCAACACAUUUCAUGGUAUAAUUUGUUGGACUUGAUAUGUGUGUCCGAAAAACCCUCUGUGUAGACAUGGCCCACUUUAUCACCGCAUAAUUUAAUUUUUUUCUUUGUAUCAAACAUAGCCCUAUCUGGACUUGGUUCAGAUUAUACUGCCAUGAAGUCUCAUGUCCAUCGUUGAUCGUAAGGCCAGUGGAUAUGUCCUGGUCCCAUGCAGAAGGAAUCGGUACCUCCACUUCAUCCUCGGAAUUUUCAGAAUCCAGAUCCUCCGCCCAUCCAUCCUCGUCCUCUUCCUCCAUCACCCUCUAUAUUUCAUCCCCUUCCUCAUCCCCAUCGGCAAAACCAGAACCAGAUAAUAUUAUCGAUUGGCUACUCUACCCAGUAUCAUGACCACAAACAUUGUGUGGCACGUAGUCCGACUCUUUCUCGGGUUGGCUAGCAUCCACAUCGGGUGGCUGUGACCCGGAUAAAUCAAUCUCAUUAGCCACUUGACUGCCUUGUCCGGGUUCAUACCCCCUAUGGAGUUGUAUGGUAUUCCCUCCUUCGCCACAAUUUGCACAAGGGCAUAUGGGUGGAUUCUUUGGUCUCGGCAACGUCUUAACAUUGUCAACCAAUGAUGGCUCCUAUCUAUCGACAUCAACUCACACUUGACAUUUUUACAGGAUUUGGUCCACAAUGCAUGAAUACUGACGGAACAUACUUGAGGAUCCAGCCCGAAACUAGUUGUCAACCAGUACUUCAACUGUCUAAUGUCCAGUCUGUCCGGGUCUGCUAGUGUCAUUACGCCAUUUUUAAACUCGCUAAGAUCAACCCCCAACUCAUUAUAUCAAACAUUACUAGCGCCGUAGUAAACAAUCAAAUUUACUGAUUCAUACUUCACCUGUCAGACAUUGUCAUCUUCUCAUUAAUCACAACGAACACUAAUAUUACCCGCUACACUAACUAUGCGCUAAAAUGCCACCACAUACAAAUUAACACUACAAUUCGCAAUAUGACCUAUCUACACUAAUUAAACUAUAUAAUUCAGAGAAAAUUUGUGAGGACAUGGUUAUACCUUCGACGCGUGUGUCCCCGGUUUGUUGCUCCUCUCUUCAACUCAGCACCACCGGCCACCUCGCGGAGUAUUUGCACCACCGGACAACGAUAGCACAACCGCCGCCCCCUCGACGACCAGAGGUUCAACUCCGGAUACAACCCAAGCCGCACCUCCUCCUCACCACCUCCUCCUCCACACCUGCUGCUCCUCCUCACCACCACCUACUUCCCAACCGCACCUCCUCCACCCCACCAUGGCUCCUCCUCCCCAAACGCUCAAAUAACUAUCCAAUAGUAAUAAAACACUGUAGGCCGUGGGAGAUUGAAAUGACCUACCAAUUAUGUGCCUUAGAUGUGAAAACGUGGGGAAAUGGAGGAGAUCGGCGCGGGGUGGCGAGCUACAUAGAGAAGAAUGAGAGAGAGAGAGAGAGAAACAUAGGCGAGCAAGACGAGAGGAAGGAGAUGACCCCGUCGGUGGCUUAUCCAGACCUUUUCGGUCGAGUGGUGGUCGAAAAGCUUAUCGGCUGCGGGCUAGCGAAAUCGGCCCACUUCGAUCGCGCGUAGGCCGAAGCUACUAUUUUCGGCUGCCCUCCCACCGACGCCAACUCUUCGGCCCAUGUUAGCCCAUCUUCGGUCAACUCCAGGCUGAAAUAUCGUUUUCGGCCAACUACGGACCGAAAAGACCCUUUUCGGCCCCCACCAGGCCGACAGGGUCAUACUUUUGAAUAUAUUUUUUCCAUUCAGUGCUAUAGUUUCUGAAUUUGCUAUAAAAAAAGUCAUAGUUUUGAAAAAAAAUCGUCUCUGACUUGCCUUUUUUUCUACUGCAUAAGGAGAACAGUGUAGGUCCCUGACUUCACUCGUGCAAGUCACAGGAUCCGGCUCCGAAACUUUCCCCAAUCCUCAAACCUCAGCUAGCUCACGAACACGAAAAUCAUCGGCGACAGAGGAGAUUUUGGAUCGGUGCGGCGGUGCGGCUGAGCAAGGGCAGCGGCUGGGUUGAGGUACGGCUCCGAUCCACGCCCCUUCCUCCCCGGUCUCCUCCCUCCCUCCCUCAUUUGUUUCCCGGCGGCGCGUGCGGAUAGCGGGGAGCUCAAGCUGCGCGGAACGCGGAGUUCUCCGGCGGCGGGGCACGCAUCUUCCCGUAACGGGGAGCGCCACUCCUAUUCCGUCGAGCGUGGCGGGGAUCACAUCUUGCUCUGCUCUGCUCUCUGCUCUCUGCUCUCUCUCUGCUCUCUGCUGUCUGCUCUCUGCUCUCUGCUCUCUCUCUGCUCUCUCUCUCUCUCUCUCUCAGUAUGUGGCCUAACUUCCGUCUCUGACGAUUUUCCUGCAGCUAGCACGGAGAAGCAACAAUGCUGGUGGCACCGAGCCGGCGAGGAGAAGCAGCAGCGCACUCUUCGUCUGCGGUGGACAACAUCGCCCCCAGCGGCGGGUCUUCGCCUGCUGCGUCGGCCAUCGUCGCGCCGGCUGUGUCCGGGUCGCACGUCGUCAAGAUAGACGGCUACUCCCGCAUCAAGGGGCUUGGCAACGGCAAAUGCAUCGCGUCGGAGUCUUUCACCAUCGGAGGCCAUCGAUGGUGUAUGCACUUCUACCCAGACGGCGAUCGGACUGAAGACGCAGAUUGGAUAUCCAUUUUUCUGUGCCAUACAGAUCGAACUGAUGCUAGUGAAGUCAAAGCAGAGUUCAAGAUCAGUUUGCUUGACCAGGACAGGCAACCAGUGGCAUUGCACGGCAGAUGCAUACACACCUUCUCCAGCAAAGAUUAUACGUGCGGCUUCCGUUGGUUCAUCAAAAGAAAGGACUUGGAGGAAUCCACUUACCUUAAGGAUGAUGUUUUCAGCAUCAGGUUCGAUGUCACCGUCUCAAAGGAGAUCUUCACCGAGCUAAUCCUGCCGCAUGUGGUCGUGCCACCGUCCAACAUGCACCAGCAUCUUGGACAACUGCUCCUGGCCGGCGAGGCGGCCGAUGUUACCUUCGAGGUCGGAGGCGAGACAUUUGCCGCGCACAGGUGCAUACUCGCAGCUCGUUCGUCGGUCUUCAAGGCGGAGCUCCUCGGCCCCAUGAAGGAGAAGACCGCAACUCGCGUUCUGAUCGACGACAUGGAAGCCAUGGUGUUCAAGGCUUUGCUCCACUUCAUCUACACCGAUUCGCUGCCCGCGAUCGGCGAGGGCGACACGGCGGCCAUUGCUCAGCAUUUGCUGGUUGUUGGAGUUCUAUCCAUAUGAUCAAUCACAUCAAAUCACGAUAAACACGCACACGAAAAACUGAUAGCCAAGGCCUUUGUCGUGCCCUUAUUUUUCCUCUUUAUUACUUUCUGAUUUUUCUCCACGGUGUUACAAAAGACUCACGCCCAAGUGCAUAUAUAUAUAUAUAUAUAUAUAUAUAUAUAUAUAUAUAUAUAUGCAGAUAGCCGCCGACUCAACAGCUCCUAAACCUACACGUGCUAGGACUCCUAGUUCUACUUAGACUAGAACACAGCCUAACCAAUCUACGGCCGGGUGAUAAUCCUAGUCGGACUCAACCUGCGAGACUAGUACUCACGACAUGACAUGAAGUCCUACAUGGACACGUACUCAACUCCUAUCACGCGUUCUACAACCAAGACAUCAAGCCGGACUAACUAGUCUACUACUGACAAGAUUACUGCUAACAAUCUUCCCUUAAUCUUGACACUCCGUCUUCCGUGCUUCUCUGGUCUUGGCUCGUUGUAGAUCACCCCUUGUCGCUCAUCCGCUCGCACCACGACAAGUCAAAUUGACGAUCUUGAUUGCUCGCAACAAUCUCCCCUCCAAUUUUGACUUGGCCAAUUUACGGACCACCUCAAAUAUGUCUUGGACUACCCAGCCUCGCCAGUAACCUGUGGAACACACCACCGGGUGGAUUACACCAUCCACCCUAGCGAGAUACAUGCCGGCUCCUUGUGGAUCACACCACCCUGUGGACUACACCGCCCACUCCAGCCUCAUGUAGAGACAUGGCCUCAUUGAAGAGACUCACCUUCACUGGUUUACCGCCCCCACAUAGUUGAACUUGAUCCUCUCGUCGAGACAUAUAGACGACCUGGGCUUCAUCUUCAACGCCACCUCACAGAGACGAGCACUUGGACAUGACGACGACUGACGACCAACUGACCGACCGACCGACCGUGCUAACCCGCACGACUCCUUGACUCUAACUCCCGCAGAUGACGAUCUUGACGACUUCCCGGCACCGCAUCACCGCACCACCGCCCCGUCAACGAUCUCCAUCCACCGCCUUGCCGACGACAUCCCGCCGUCUUCUUCCAUGUCGCUCCGCCGAACGACAAUCUCCCGAUCCUCCGCAUCGCUGCAGCAUCCAGCGAUAACAUUGCCCUCCGCUCCUCGUCGCUGCACCACCCAGCGACCAUAUCGGCCGCCCCGAGGCGCUAGUAGGUCGCCACCCCGGGGCAAGCACGGCUUCAAAUCGACCUAGCUCUUAUACCAAUUGUUGGAGUUCUAUCCACAUGAUCGAUCACAUCAAAUCACGAUAAAUACACACACGAAAAACUGAUAGCCAAAGGCCCUUGUCGUGCCCUUAUUUUUCCUCUUUAUUACUUUCUGAUUUUUCUCCACGGUGUUACAAAAGACUCACGGCCAAGUGCAUAUAUAUAUAUAUAUAUGCAGGUAGCCGCCGACUCAACACCUCCUAAACCUACACGUGCUAGGACUCCUAGUUCUACUUAGACUAGAACACAGCCUAACCAAUCUACGGCGAGGUGAUAAUCCUAGUCGGACUCAACCUGCUAGACUAGUACUCCCGACAUGACAUGAAGUCCUACAUGGACACGUACUCAACUCCUAUCACGCGUCUACAACCAAGACAUCAAGCCGGACUAACUAGUCUACUACUGACAAGAUUACUGCUAACACGGGUAGCGGCUGACAGGUAUGAUAUGGAAAGGCUGAAGCUGAUCUGCGAGGCGAAGCUGUGCGAUCACAUCUGCAAAAGCACGGUGGUGACUACGCUGGCGUUGGCGGAGCAGCAUGGCUGUGGUGCUCUUAAGAAGGCAUGCUUGAAGUUUCUGACGUCUGAAGGUAACCUCAAGGCAGUGAUGGCAUCUGAUGGAUAUGAGCACCUGAGCAGCAGUUGCCCAUCUGUUCUCUAUGAACUGGUCGCCAAGCUUGCUCCUUGAUCUCUAUUGAGUCUAAAACUCACAAGAUCUGGAUAUUUAUUCUGCUAUUUAUAUUUUUAGAAGUGAUGGUAAUCCCACUACUGGUAGUCUGUUAAAGACAGUAAAGUCUAUGUGAAAACCAAUGCUGCUUGCAUUUGCUGCAUCUGUUUGAGCCCAGUCGUAUUUUCUACAAAUAUGGGAACGCUUUAUAAAAUUCUGAACAUAAAUUUAGAAAACUGAAAAUGUGAGAAAUUGUUGUUUAAUCUUUGUGUUCUGAAAAUUAGAGGAAAGAUUCGGAAAUCCUAAGGAUGAAUCUCGGGAAAAGGAAAAUCCUCAAUUUUUUAAUUAUUAGAGUUUCCAAUUUGCGGUACUUACCACACGGUGGCACGGUGCUUAAUUCAAAUGUGAGGUUAUGAAUUGUUAUUACAUUGCUUUAUUCAGAACUAUAGUGGCUGCGCAAAUGCGCUGGCAAUAAAUUUAUUGUUUUUCACACAUAGAAAACGUUUACUAAUUUCGUCUGGGCAACACAUUUAUUUGUUUCUUAACACAUCAAAAUUGUUUACAUAUAGGAAGAUGAUUUAUGUACAUUAUGUGCUUUAGUACAAUGUACUAUAUCCAGAUCAUAUCUUGGCCUAGAACCGGACCAAUCAACCAAAUAUAGAUGCACUCUCCAUCACUCACUUUUACCCAAGGGCUAAUAGGCUGAUUAGACAUUCCCAAUACCUUCCUUAUCUUCUCAUGAAUCCAAGGAAACAAACGAUGCCAACUUAUAAAUGUAGGUGUCAAUAUUAUUCUAUGCGCCCUUGCGAGGGCCAAUUCCCCGAAACUCGUUUUCUUGUGUGAGAUGAGACUUCCAGCAACAAAAGUUGAAAAGUUAAGAUGGCGAUUGGGUCUCCGAGGCUUUAGUGGAUUGUGAUGGCCGAGGAGGACUUGGUCUUUUUUGGGAUGAGACACUGCAAGUAACAAUUCUGGAAGCGUGUAAUCGCUUCAUUGAUGUUAGGAUCUUUGAUCCAGGAGUUGACAAUACUUGGAGAACAACAUUCGUCUACAGCGAACCCAGGGUAGAGAAUAGAAGGAACAUGUGGGAUCAUCUCACGCGGCUCCGCGGCCGAUCUAAUGAGCCAUGGUUGGUCUGCGGAGACUAUAAUGAAUGUGUGUGGCAGCACGAGCAUCUCUCGUGCAUGCAACGAGGUUCAGCACAAAUGGAAGCCUUCCGAGACUGUCUAGAAGUAUGUGAGAUCAGAGAUCUGGGUUUUUCCGGCGUCCCAUACACGUACAAUAAUAACCAGUAUGGAGCCCGUAAUGUCCAAGUCGCCUUGACAGAGCCUGCACAGAUGAAGCGUGGCGCGAACUGUUUCCGAAGGCGCGGGUGAAGCAUCUUAUAUCGCCCGUCUCUGACCACCUACCACUGCUGAUUGAGGUGGAGGUACAGGAGCCGACGCGAUGCAAGAACAGCGGUGGCUGGUAUGAAAUCAUGUGGGAGAGGCAUGCGGCCCUCCCGAGUAUCAUUGCAAAGGCAUGGGCGAAGAAGAAGGCUAAGGAUUUGGGCGAGGUGGCGCAGAAUCUUCAAAAUAUGAUGUGUGAAUUACGUGAAUGGAGCAAACAACACUUCGGCCAUGUUUCAAAACAGAUAGAAGUACUUAGAGCUGAACUGGAGGACUUACAGUUGAAGAGGGCAGAAAGAUCAAUCAUUCGAGAGAAGAUGUUUGUCCUUGACGAGCUCCUAUACCGUGAGGAAAUGAUGUGGCUGCAGCGCUCUCGAAUCAAUUGGCUGAAAGAAGGUGAUAGAAACACUCAGUACUUUCACCGAAAAUCAGUUUGGCGUGCUAGGAAAAAUUAUAUUCGUGUCUACGGAAGACUGAUGGCACGUGGACUGAAACACCCACUGAUAUGGAACGUAUGGCUCAGUCCUACUUCCAAGAGUUGUUCACGAAGGAUCCAACAUUAUCAGCGGAUGAGUUGCUGGGAUGCAUUAAAUCAAAGGUAACACAGCAAAUGAAUGAUACUCUAAAUGCACCCUAUACAGAGAAAAAGGUGGCAGAUGCCUUGUUUCAAAUUGGUCCCAUAAAAGCUCCGGGACUAGAUGGGUUUCCGGCGCGAUUUUUUCAACGCAAUUGGCAGGUUUUGAAAGAAGAGGUAACAAUGGCUGUUUUCGAAUUUUUUGCAACUGGACAUAUGCCAGAGGGGGUAAAUGAUACGGCAAUUGUUCUUAUUCCCAAAGUUCCUACUCCUACGGAUCUGAAAGAUUUUAGACCAAUUAGUCUUUGUAAUGUGAUUUACAAGGUGGUGUCAAAGUGUAUGGUUAACAGACUCGUCCUUUGCUAACAGAGCUCAUAUCAGAGAAUCAAAGCGCCUUCAUCCCUGGGCGUUUGAUCACAGCCUUCGAGUGUAUACAUCACAUCCAAUCAGUGAACCAAGCACAAUCUUAUUGUGCUUACAAACUGGACCUAUCGAAGGCAUACGAUCGGGUGGAUUGGGAUUUUUUGGAGAAGGCCCUACUCAAAUGGGGCUUCUCAGCAGCGUGGGUCGACCGCAUCAUGGAAUGUAUUCGGUUGGUCAGAUACUCGGUGAAGUUCAAUGGUAAAUUGUUGAGUAAAUUUUCUCCAACAUGUGGCCUUAGACAAGGUGAUCCGUUAUCCCCUUUUUUAUUUCUUGUUGUGGCUGAUGCCUUGUCUGCACUGUUACAUAAAGCUACUCGGGAGGAAGGGUUGGAGGCGAUGCAAAUUUGUAGAAGGGCUCCUGAGAUCUCUCACUUAUUAUUCGCGGAUGAUACCUUGUUAUUCUUCCGUGCGAGACCAGAAGUGGCAAAAAUUGUCAAGAAGGUGUUGAACACUUAUGCUGAUUCGACAGGACAACUAAUCAACCCGUCCAAGUGCUCCAUCUUAUUUGCUGACAAUUGCCCUCCUGAAGUUACUAAUGAGAUCAGGAGUAUUCUCAGUGUCUCUCAAGAAGUGUUCGAGCCAAAAUAUUUAGGCUUACCAGUACCUGAGGGAAGAAUGAGCAAAGGCUUAUUACAACCAAUCGAGGCAAAGCUAAGCAAACAACUUGUUGACUGGAGCGAGAGAUACAUGUCAAUGACGAGUAAGGAAGUGUUAAUUAAGGCAGUGGCCCAAGCAAUACCCACAUACGCGAUGAGCGUUUUUAAAUUGCCUUUGUCAGUGUGCGAUGACCUGUCUAAAUUGAUUAGGAAAUAUUGGUGGGGUGUGGAAGAAGGAAAGAGGAAGAUGGCUUGCCUUUCUUGGGAUAAAAUGAUGUUACCAAAAUCCAUGGGGGCAUGGGAUUCGGGGAUAUGAGAGUUUUUAACCAGGCUUUAUUAGCAAAGCAAGCAUGGAGGUUAAUAGAGCACCCGGAGAGCUUAGUUGCAAGGCUACUGAAAGCAAAAUACUUCCCUUCAGGAGAUCUAGUUGAUACUGUGUUUGCUAGCAAUGCGUCUGCAGUAUGGCGUGGAAUUGAGCAUGGUCUGGAACUAGUUAAAAAGGGCAUGAUUUGGCGUGUGGGUAAUGGCCAGAAUAUUCGUAUAUGGAGGGAUCCUUGGGUCCCGAGAGGGCCUUCCCUGAGGCCGAUCACUCCUAAUGAGGUGCAGAUUGAAAAAGGUGUCUGACCUACUGGAUACCAAUGGGAGAUGGAACGUUGAUUUGCUUAACAAACACUUCUUCCCGGCUGACACCCAUAUCAUUCGGUCAAUAAAAACAUCACCUAGUAACGGUGAUGAUUUCAUAGCGUGGUACCCAGGGAAGCAUGGAACAUUUUAUGUCAUUUAGCUAUGCAUGAUCACGUACAACAGUUUAAUGGUGGGGCGUGCAGCUCAAGACCAGAAGGUGAACGGCCUUGUUGGAACCUUAUCUGCCAGGCCGAUGUACCUCACAAAAUGUGCACCUUCGCGUGGAAGGUCGCAGUGGGCGCGCUUCCAACAAAUGGAUGCAAACUGAAAAGACACAUUGGUGUUCUGCACAGUGUAGUAUUUGUGGUGCAGAGGAGGAAGACUCCUUCCAUUCUUUGAUAAUUUGCCCUCAUGCAAGAAACCUUUGGGAGGAGGUGAGCAGCGAGUGGCCUCUUCCGAGGAAUGACGAUCUGUUGUACACUGGAUCAGAAUGGUUGUUUAGCAUCUUAACCAAUCAGCAGGAGGAAGUAAGGGCAAUGAUAAUCAUGCUGUUAUGGAGAGUGUGGAGCUUGCGCAAUGAUAUAGUUCACGGCCAGGAGGUUCCGCCGGCGCAGGUGUCUCGAUCAGUGUACCUCGUCAGCUACCUAUCUUCAUACGCUCAAGCGCAAAAGCAAGGUGUUCAAGAAAUUAUAAAGGGCAAGUCUCCAUUGUUUGUCCCUCCGAUACACUAGUAGAAAAAGGGUCAAAUGUUCAGCUUAUUAGUGCCGGUUCCAACGGCUAGCCGGGCCACUCUCAUUAGUACCGGUUCUUGCCUAACUUUUAGCACCGGUUCGUGCCACGAACCGGUACUAAUGACAGUGGUGGCAGGAUGUUGUCAGUCUGGGCCCCUCCAGCACCUUUAGUACCGGUUCGUGCUACGAACCGGUACUAAAAGUCGCCCUAUAUAAACCCUUCGUCCACCCGAGCUCGCUUCUUCCCCCUUUUCCCUCUCCUCUGUUCUUCCCUUCCUCUCGAGCUCAUCACAAAUGUUGCCCAAAUUUUGUCAAGAUUUGAAGGCCUCCCAUACAUUCAAAUGAUCACAAAGGUUAGCAACUUUGUCCUUUCAUCUCUCAUUGCUAGAUUAGCUCUUGCAAUGGUUUAUAUAGUGAUUAAUUUGUGGGUUUUAGUAAUUUGGGAGGAAUUAUAUGUGGUAGUAUUUGAUUUAUAUGCAAUCUGAGGUCAAAAUAACACUUAGUUUGCAUAUUUAGGUGUGGUUUACUUAGUGUCUUCUAAAUCUCCGUCGUAACCACCGUCGAUCGCCCGCACCGUCCCGUCGCCGGCACCACCUUGUGGUGAGCCUCUUAUUCAUGAAUUUUUUAUAUAAAAAAUUGAUGUUUGUGUGAUUUGGAUAUAUAGUUACUCGUAUAAUUAUCUUACCCGUAUGUUGUUUGUUAUACAUAGUGUUAUGGUUUUGAUAUCCGUCCCCGUCGGCCCUCGUCCUUGUUAUGAUUCGGAUGUGGUAUGUUAUUUUUUAAAACUAUUUAUUGCAUUUCGUGUUUAUGAAAAAUUAUGCCCAUCAAGUUGACAUAGAUAUUUUUAUCUAGAAUGUAUGUGAACCGGAAAUUCCAAUCGACCCUAUUGUCGAGAGGUUAAAUUUAGUUGAAAGAAAAAACGAGUAUUUGAAAGAAAAAUUGAAAAGAAUUGAGGGGGAGAAGAUGGAAUUGGAGUUUCAUGUUGCCGAUGUCGUCGAUGAUCACAAGAUCAAGAUGGAGAAAAUGCAUUUGAAGAUUAGAAAGAUUAGAAAAUAUGCCAUUGAUAGUGAGGCUUGGUAUCAUUAUGUUGUUGGAUCAACUAUUACCUUAGUUGCGAUCUUGAUCGCAUUUGUUGUUGCAUUUAAGUGCUUUAGCUAGAGAGUUAUUUGUUUGUUGCAUUUAAGUGUUGUAUGAACUUUAUACAUGAACUUGUAUUAAUUUGGUCUUUUCGGUGUUGUGUAAUAAAGAUGAGCCGACAAUGGAUGUACGAUGACCGAUGCUCUCCCGAGUUCAUUAAUAGCGUGCAAUGGUUUUAUGCCUUGUCCAUGUGCUGGCUGUAAGAAUGAUCAUAUACUCUAAGUCAAGAACCAUUCACGUCCAACUGUUUGAGUCCGGUUUCAUGCCCCACUAUAAUGUUUGGACCAAGCAUGGAGAAAGAGGGGUUAUGGUGGAAGACAAUGAAGAAGAAAAGGACGAGGACAGCUAUCCUGGCCAUGGGUUCCCUGAAUACGAUGAUACAACAAUGGGGGGAGAAGUUGAGCCGGCAAUGCGGGAAGAAGCUGAAGAAGAGACAUCAGAUGAGUCCGCCGAUGAUCUAGGUCGGGCCAUUGCCGAUGCAAAGAGAAACUGCGCAAGUGAUUUGGAGAAGAAGAAGUUGCAGCGCAUGUUAGAGGAUCAAAAAAAAUUAUUGUACCCGAGUUGCGAAGCUGACAAGAAAAAGUUGGGCACCACACUGAAAUUGCUGCAAUGAAAGGCAGAGAAUGGUGUAUCUAUCAAGGGAUUUGGAAAGUUGCUGGUAAUGAUAAAGAAUAUGCUUUCAAAGGACAACGAAUUGUCCGAAAGUACGUACGAAGCAAAGAAGGUUGUCUGUCCUCUAGGGUUAGAGGUGCAAAAGAUACAUGCAUGCCCUAAUGACUGCAUCCUCUACCGCGGUGAAUAUGAGGAUUUGAACGUUUGCCCAGUACGCGGUGCAUUGCGCUAUAAGAUCAGCCGCGAUGACCCUGAUGAUGUCGAAGGCGAGCACCCCAGGAAGAAGAUUCCUGCCAAGGUGAUGUGGUAUGCUCCUAUAAUACCACGGUUGAAACGUUUGUUCCAAAAUAAAGAGCAUGCCAAGGCGAUGCGAUGGGACAGAGAAGACCGUAAGAAAGACGGAAAGUUGAGAGUACCCGCUGACGGUUCGUAGUGGAGAAAAAUUGAGAGAAAGUACAUGGAGGAGUUUGCAGGUGACGCGAGGAACGUAUGGUUUGGUCUAAGCGCAGAUGUCAUUAAUCCUUUUGGGGAGAAGAGCAGCAACCAUAGCAUCUGGCCGACCAUAGCACCUAGACUCUAUAUUUGUAUAACCUUCCUCCUUGGUUGUGCAUGAAGCGGAAGUUCAUUAUGAUGCCAGUGCUCAUCGAAGGCCCUAAGCAACCUAGCAACGAUAUUGAUGUGUACCUAAGGCCAUUAGUUGAAGAACUCUUACGGAUGUGGAAUAGAAUAGGUGUACGUGCGUGGGAUGAGCACGCACAGGAAGAAUUUGACCUAAAGACGUUGCUGUUCGUGACCAUCAAUGAUUGGCCUACUCUUAGUAACCUUUCAGGACAGACAAACAAGGGAUACCGCGCAUGCACACACUAUUUGGAUGAUACCGAUAGUAUAUAUUUGGAUAAUUGUAGGAAGAAUGUGUACCUGGGACAUCGUCAACUUUUUCUGAGCAGGCAUCCCAUAAGAAAGAAAGGCAAGAAUUUCAAAGGUGAGGCGGAUCACCCGACGAAGCCUCGCCACCGUACUGGUGCUGAUGUACAUGAUAUGGUCAAGGAUUUGAAGGUAGUCUUUGGAAAGGGUCCUGGCGGACAACCUGUUCCGAAUGACGCUGAUGGACGCGCACCCAUGUUGAAGAAGAAAUCUAUAUUUUGGGACCUGCCUUAUUGGAAAGACCUAGAGGUCCGCUCCGCAAUCGACGUGAUGCACGUGACGAAGAAUCUUUGCGCGACCCUGCUUGGCUUCUUGGGCGUGUAUGGGAAGACAAAAGAUACACCUGAGUCACGGGAGGACCAACAACGUAUGCAUGGAAAAGACGACAUACAUCAGGGUCAUGCCAGCUACGCUCUUACCAAAGAAGAGAAGGAAAUCUCAUUUGAAUGCCUACUUAGUAUUAAGGUAUCGUCUGGCUUCUCGUCGAAUAUAAAGGGAAUUAUAAAUGUGCUAGAGAAAAAAUUCCAGAACCUAAAGUCUCAUGACUGCCACGUGAUUAUGAUGCAACUGCUUCCGGUUGCAUUGAGGGGGCUUCUACCGGAAAACGUUCGAUUAGCCAUUGUGAAGCUAUGUGCAUUCCUUAAUGCAAUCUCUCAUAAGGUAAUCGAUCCAGAAAUCAUACCAAGGUUAGAGAAUGAUUUGGUGCAAUGUCUUGUCAGUUUUGAGUUGGUGUUUCCACCAUCCUUUUUCAACAUCAUGAUGCACGUCCUAGUUCGCUUAUGCGAAGAGAUUAACGUUUUGGGUCCUGUAUUUCUACAUAAUAUGUUCCCCUUUGUGAGGUUCAUGGAGUCUUAAAGAAAUAUGUUCAUAACCGUUCUAGGCUAGAAGGAAGCAUCUUCAAGGGCCAUGAAAAUGAGGAGGUCAUUGAGUUUUGUAUUGACUAUAUUCCUAAGCUUAAGCCGACUGGUGUUCCUGAAUCGCGGCAUAAGGGCGGACUGGAUGAAAAAGGCACACUAGGAGGGAAUCAAAUAAUAUGUAUGGACGGACAUUCUCUCACUAAAGCACACUACAAAGUUCUACAGAAUUCCACCUUGGUGGCUCCAUAUAUGGACGAACACAAGAAUUUUCUAUGCUCCAAACACCCAGAGCGGUCUGCUGACUGGAUUACACGUGAACAAACGAGGACUUUCGCCAGCUGGUUGCAGACACAUGCCAUGCAUGACCCCUCUAUUGAAGAUGACGUGUACUCGUUGUCCCAGUUACCAUCUUCGAAUAUAAUGACUUUCAAAGGGUACGAGAUAAAUGGGAAUACAUUUUACACGAUCGCCCAAGAUAAGAAGAGCACCAACCAAAACAAUGGUGUCCGCUUUGAUGCAGCAACCAAGACGGGAAAGGAAACAUAUUAUGGUUACAUAGAGGACAUAUGGGAACUUGACUAUGGACGUGGUUUGAAGGUCCCUCUGUUUCGGUGCAAAUGGGUCAAUAUGACACGAGGCGGGGUAACGGAAAACCCGUAGUACGAAAUGACAACAAUGGAUCUCAACAAUCUUGCGUAUGCAGACGAAUCAUUCGUCCUAGCCAAUGAUGUGGCAUAGGUUUUCUAUGUGAAUGACAUGUCUACCAAGCCAAGAAAAAGAAAAUAUAAGGAAGCGAAUGCAUCAUACAAUAAGCCAAAGCGCCACAUAGUUCUUUCUGGGAAAAGAAACAUCGUUGGAGUGGAUGACAAGACAGACAUGUUAGAAGAUUAUGAAAAGUUUGAUGAAAUUGCUCCAUUCACAGUGAAUAUUGACCCGAGCAUCCAGUUAAAUGAUGAAGAUUGUCCAUGGCUACGGCGCAAAGGGACACACGCGAAGAAAAAGUUUCACACCCAAAGAUCUAGAAUGUGAUCGGCUUCACUAUGAUCACUUUCUUCUGUGUUUCACACCCAGGAGGGAAUCUCUGUAAUAGUUAGGAUAGUUAUGUGUUUUGGCAUUUGAAAUGCGAAUUUUUUUUAUUUGCAAACAAAUUCUUUCAUGCAUUUACUGAUUUUUUCAGCUAAAUGACCCUAAAAUUAAAAAACACUUCAAAUAAACUUCGAAAAGGUUGAAAGUUGACAUGGUAUCAUAAUUUCACCCGCAUAGCAUGUGCAAAAAAGUAGAGAGGGUUACGGCAAAAAUUGGAUGCACUUCAUGUACAAAAUGGACAAUCUCUUUCGAAGUAUCAGGGUUUCGGAUGAAAACUCGUCUGUUACAAAUGCAUUUCAUUUUUUAAAUAACCUAAGCAUUACCAAAUUGAAUAUAAUGAUAAAACACACUAAUAUUAAACAUAAAAAAAGAAUCACUGAAAAAUCUAUUUAUAAAGUUAAGUUAUUCACAAACUAGUGAUUUACACAAAUUUCAAAUAAUUCAAAAUUUAAACUAUUCAAAUUUGAAAACUACUAGCACUAACAGAAAGUUUGUAAUUUUUUGUACCUAAAGAAAAAAUAUUCACAAAGAAACUCUAAAUACAGCAAAAAACAACUCAGCAAUAAAUAAAAGAAAAUAAAUAAAGAAAAAAGAAAAUAAAAAAUAAAAAAUAAAAAAUAAAAAAGCCCGCCUACUGGGCCACAGCAGCCUGCAUACGACUAGAAACCCAACCUUUUAUUGGGCCAGGAUGUAGGCCCGCAAGGCCUAGUUGGCCCAAAGGGCAGAACGGAACAGGUAAGCCCAGAAGGCCUGCUUUGGAGAGGAGCUCGAAGGAGCAGCCGCGGCUGGGUUUAUAAACCAGUGCGGCUGCCCAUCGCUAGGCGAGGUGGGACUAAACUUUGCGCCCCUCGCCUGGCAGCGCACCCCCCUUUAGUUUCGGGUCAUGGCUCCAACCGGUACUAAAGGGGGGGGGGGUCUUUAGUACCGGCUGGAGCCACCACCCGGUACUAAAGGCCUGCCCUUCCCGCCGCUUGCCCUGGCCAAAACAGUCCUAUAGUAUCAGUUGGUGGCUCCAACCGUACUAAAGGUGCCUCCUACAUAAGAAAACACUUAAAAAAAUUCUGUUUCUCAUCUCCCACUUCUCUCUGCCGCCGCCCCGUCCCGCGUCGUCGCCGUCCUUGUCCCGCGCCAUCGCUGCCCUCGUCGCGCCGUCCCGCGCCGNNNNNNNNNNNNNNNNNNNNNNNNNNNNNNNNNNNNNNNNNNNNNNNNNNNNNNNNNNNNNNNNNNNNNNNNNNNNNNNNNNNNNNNNNNNNNNNNNNNNNNNNNNNNNNNNNNNNNNNNNNNNNNNNNNNNNNNNNNNNNNNNNNNNNNNNNNNNNNNNNNNNNNNNNNNNNNNNNNNNNNNNNNNNNNNNNNNNNNNNNNNNNNNNNNNNNNNNNNNNNNNNNNNNNNNNNNNNNNNNNNNNNNNNNNNNNNNNNNNNNNNNNNNNNNNNNNNNNNNNNNNNNNNNNNNNNNNNNNNNNNNNNNNNNNNNNNNNNNNNNNNNNNNNNNNNNNNNNNNNNNNNNNNNNNNNNNNNNNNNNNNNNNNNNNNNNNNNNNNNNNNNNNNNNNNNNNNNNNNNNNNNNNGCCGUCGCCGUCCCCAUCGCGUCGCCGCCCCGUCCCGCGCCGUCGCCGUCGCCGUCGCCUCGACCUCGCCCGCGCGCGCUGUGAGCCCCUCCCCCGGCCUCUACUCCCUCCAAUACACCGCGCCGCCGCCGGCGCUGGCCGCACGCACACACACACACACACUGCACGCGCACAAACACACACACUACGUACACACGCGCGCGCACACACACACACACAUUUUUUUCUGUUUUUAGUUUUUAGUUUUUUCUGUUUUUUUUGUUUUUGUACAAAGUAUUAGAUAAACUAAUUAAUUAGAUUAGAUUAAUGUCAAAUAGUAUAUAGAAAUGUUAGUUAUAAUAUAAUGUCAAAGGUUUUUUCUAUUUUUUCUGUUUUUAUACAAAUGUUAUAAAUUUUAGUAUAUAGAAAUGUUAGAAAUUUUAGAAAUGUUAAUUUUAGCUAGAUGAAUUAGAUUAAUUUCAAAUUGUUAGAGGAUGAUCGAUGUUUUUUUAGUUUCCUAUAAUUUUAGUUAUAGGAGGGCAGGGCUUGGGCAAAGUUCAUCAAGGUGACUCCAGGCAAAUGGUGAGAAAAAUUAUUUUGGUAUCGACCCAAGGUAAGUAAUUAAGUAGUACUAGUUAGCUAUCAUCUCUUUAAUUCUUAUUUCAAUACCAUUAAUUAAUUAUCAUGCUUGAUCAAUUAUUAUCUGAUUAAAUUUCAUUCUCGUAAAGGCCCUGAAGCAGGCGCCGGGGACUGAAGUGUGUGCAUACUACGUUUGCGAGGGACAAGCUCCUACCAACAGAGCGCAUACGAGCACUUCAAGAAGAAAUAGCGGGACUUUUGCUCGACCAGGUCAUAGAUCCCAAAGGAGAAUACUAUUACCCACUACCACCCCCAUGAACCACUCCCAAUUGUCAUCGUGCUCCGAAGGCACCAAGGCAACAUGUAGGAGAAAUUGUAUAUAUAUACAUGUGUAUGUGUGAAUAAUGGUGGUUGUGAGAUAUUCUAUAUAUAUAUAUAUAUAUAUAUAUAUAUAUAUAUAUAUAUAUAAUUUCUACGAGAAAUUCUAUUUAUAUAUAUGCAUAACGUGUACAAUAUGUAGUAUCGUAAAAUACCAGCAAACAAAAAAAAUUCAAUGAAAAACACAAAAUUAAAGGAAAAAUAAAAAAUAAAACCAACCCCCCAAAUAUUGUAGUACCGGUUCGUGUUACCAACCGGUACUAAAUGUCUCCCCGCCCCCGGUGCUGGCUCGUGCCACGUGGGGACACUUUAGUGGCGGUUCGUGCCGAACCGGUACUAAAGGGGGGACCUUUAGUCCCCACUCUUUAGUGCCGGUUGCAGAACCGGCACUAAAGACCCUUACAAAUCGGUGAUACAUCCCGAUUCUGCACUAGUGAUACCUCACGUCACGACGCCAGUAGUCAGCCGGCCGUGGCCCUUCCCACCUCAAGGCUGGGUGGCUCUGUCGGUUGCUGACACCUUUGUAAAGGAUACAGGCGAGGCUAGUGCAGGUAUGAUCUUAAGGAACACAGAUGGGUCAGUCAUUUUCUCAGCAUACAGAUAUAUUUUCCAUUGCAAGGACGCCCUUGAAGCUGAGAUUAGUGCCAUCUUAGAAGGAUUGUCCUUGAGCUUGGAGCGGUCUGAUCGGCCUAUCGUAAUCCACUCUGAAUCUCCGGUUGCUAUUGCUGCCCGAACGGAUGAUUCACUUAAUAGCUCUGCCUAUGGACACUUGAUGAGAGAAGUCAAGAAGCUUUUACAGCUUUGUGGGUUUAUUCCGCUGAAAGUUACUCGUAAUUAAAAUAGAGUUGCUCUUAGUCUAGCUAAUGUGGGGGAGGUAGCACCGCUUGUUGGUUGCACCAAGCUUCAGACUGUGUGAAUUUUUUUUUAUUAGCAGACCGUAACACUAUUUCUAAGGAAUAAAAUACCCACUAUUUCCCGCAAAAAAGAAAUAUUAUUCUAUGCAUGUGCACACAAACAUUUCUUCAACUAUACACUCGUCCUCAGGCUAGUCACAGUGGGGAGGAACUUAGGAGUAACAUCACACACUCCAAUACAACUUUGCUUAUGUGGCACAUAUUUAAUGAAGAGAGAGGUGCUUGUGGUAACUAGCUAAGUUACCGGAACAUCACACACUCCAAGAAACAAUGAGUCUAUAACCUAAUAAAUACAUCGUUGCAUGACACUACAUAGAUGUUCCUACCCACUAUGGAGGUAGUAACAUAGUCUAGGGAAGUGUGAAGUUACUAGCUUAUGUUCUUGCCCAUUGUGACCAGCCUCAGUAUCAUGUGUUCUUCAACUGGAGUGACUAAUACUACUUUUGUCUCGUUCAUUGGACCAAAUGUUUCAGACCAUAACCUAGCCCGCCCAUCGAUCUCCUCCCGACCACAAUGGCAAAAUGAGAAGAUAUGGCAGGCAUCUAGAUUCUUCAUCUUUGGUCGUGCAAUAGAUUUUGACAGAGUUUCGGGAAAAUCCACCACCAACAGAUGGUUUCCACCAAGUAAAACAUCAAGGCGGCUAGAUUAUGAGGAACAAGAAGAUCACUAGAUCAGCAAGCGUGGAAGAUAAUAGGUAGAAUUUCUAGAUAUAUGAAAUACAUGUAUUUUUCAAAUAGAAUAUUCUAUACAUGUUAAUUUUUUUAGAGUAAAUGGCAACAUAAAAGGUGGGCCUAGUUUCUAUCACAUACUAAUGCAUGUUGAUUCUAGAGUAGUAACAAUUUUGUGAGUCAAUAAAGAAGCAUGUUUCUUACUGAGAAGAGCCAUUAGUGGAUCAUGGCUAUACAUUACUAAUUUUUCAAAUUGAUUAUGGAAAGGAUAUUUAUUCACUCAUCUGAUAAUCUCACCGCUAUAUGCAAAUUUGCAUUGGUUGAUGUUCUCAGGUUCAGUUCUACACUCAUAACACUGACUAGGUAGGAACAAAAGGAAAUAUUACCGGAGACUGAAGGCGCAAUGGCCUAACACCACAACACUACAACACUCAAGGGAUCACAUAGUUUUGGUGACUAUAAAUUAUAAACUAAAUGAACAAUUUAGAAAGAGCAUUAGACACAAACAUAAACUAUAAUUCAUCUUAUAGCUAAGAUAAAAAUAAGAAGUAAGUAUGAAACAAAAAUAUCACAUAACGAGGACAAUGCAAACACAACAGUGGAAGAAAUGACCCGAUAGGAGUGUAGGUUCCCAGGAUUUUUGUAAACCAUGAUGAGUAAAUGGACCGUUGUGAGUGACGAUGUGAAAUCGUUGAAAAUAACCCUCGUUCAAUCACCCUGGAUCUAUUUUGAUUGGUGGGUGAAGGUUGAGUUAACAUAUGUAUAUUAAUUGUUUAUACUAAAUAUUUUUGCUUUUCAUACUUAUAUCUCAUUCUCUCAAAAUUUAAUGUUAACUAGUAUCAUAUUAUAUUCAACAAAAUUAACAUGUCAUAUGAAAGAUAAAAAUUAGGCUAUUAUAAUUUUAUUACAUAAUUUCAAUGUUAAUGAUGGAAAAUGCACACCAAAGUUUAAGCAUAUAUCAUGAGGAUAAUGAGGUUCGUUGUUCCUUUUUUUAAUAUUUACUGUGGAUCAAAGCUCCAAAACCCUUAAUUAAAUAAAAGAACUGUACAAAAGUCCUAAGUACAACCAAAAAUAGACCUACCUUAGCCUACCUAAAGUUACAUGAGGGUGUUAAUCCAAGCCAACAGCUUCUGCUUGGUGCUAUCUCUAAGCCUAUGUGCAAGAAGAUUAAUGUCAAAAUAUCCCCAUAGAUUGCGCCACUAGAUGACUAUCAAAUAUAUAUGUAUGUCUUGGUUAUUUUUGUUGUAAAUGUUUGUUAAUAGCUCUAAAGCUAGCAGAGGUUUCUAGUGUGCAUGAUUGUCUAUUUUUUAUGCAAAUAAAUAGAAGUGAUAAUUAUCAAUGUAAUAAGUAGAAAACCCUAGAAUAUUAUCAAUAAGGAAUUUUUCCAUGAAUGGUUACCUUUCUCGUUUGUUGGCUCUUUUAUUGAAAAAGAUGGCUUUCAUAUUCCUGGAUUCAACAAGCACCAAGCAUGACAUGCCCAAUUUUACACUUGGUCUUGAAGUAGCAUUAGUGAGCUCAACUCGCAUGAAAUACAUAUACCCCCUCCCCUCCCCCUCUAAUAGUGAGGUGGAUAACCAACUAUAUUUGAGAAAAACUACAAGUUGCUCACUGGUCAUAUAAACCGCAAUUCCCCCACAGCACCACUCUAUCCCCGAUGGAGCACACUGUGAGGGAGAGGUCUUUCCCCUGAUUUUCUUCUCAAGAAUGAGAUAGACCUUUUUUUUAUCCAAGAAUAUGGAGAUAGACUUAUGUGUGGUGGGGUUCACGGGACGGCAUUGGUGGGUAAUUUCGCCGGCUUUAAAGUAGAUCUAAUGGCCGUAAUUUUCCGAUGGACAAAAUUAAUGACUAGACAUUUGAUGCAUACGAUUGGAUGGUCGAUAUUUCACCCGCGGUUCAUGGACACGUCCGAAGUUAUUUUCAGUUUUUAGUUUCACAAAAAUUUCAGCACCAACCAAAAUCACCAAAAUUCAGUGUGUUUCAGUUAUUUUGAUUUGCGUUCAGCGGAAGACCAAAAUAUUAACUUGAAAUCAAACAAAUAUUUGAAUGUUUUUUUAAAAAAUUGUGAAAUAUUUGAGUGCAUGUGUACUAUUGAAAUUGCUGGAAUAGUUUGGCUGAAAGGUAAAUAUUUCAGUGACAGCUGAAAUUAAUGAAAUUCGGUAAAUUUCAUUGAAAUCUCAAUGGAAGUGAAAACCAUACUCUGCAUCCACUGCUCCAUCGCCGAGGAGAGCAUCGAGAGGGAGAGGUCUUUCCCCUGAUUUUCUUCUCGAGAAGGAGAUAGACCAUCUUUUUUAUCGAAGAAUAUGGAGAUAGACUUAUGUAAUGGUAGGGUUCGCGGGAUGGCAUUGGUGGGUAAUUUCGGUGGCUUUAAAGUAGAUCUAAUGGCUGUAAUUUUCUGAGGCACAAAAUUAAUGGCUAGAUUAUUCUGAUUUUUGUUGGAUUUUGUAGCAUAUUUCUCUUUUUUCUAGUUUACCCGCUACAUUCUUUUAUAUAUAAAUACGGUGAAGCUAAAUUACAGUCGACUGCGUGGUCAGAUAUCGAUCACACCUCCCGUGUGGAUUCCAUUGUCAGGGAACAAAACACAUCUCCUCGUCUACAGGAGUAAAUGGCCCCCAUAGGAUUCGAACCGUGGCCGCUUCGCCCGAACAGGAGGUCAAUAACCACCCCGCCAACGAUUCGUUUGUGUCUUAUUUAUUAAUCCAAGUACUUCAUUUGACCUUGUAUCAAUAGUAAAUGCGAGUGAAAACGAAAAGGAAAAAAACAGCUAGUGGGAUUUGAGCCUACUAGAUGACGUUCCAGGAUCGCGAUCAGCUUGACUAAUUCUCUCUUAUGACUAGGUAUGGGUACUUUUUGUACAUCAUUUAAAAUACGAACUUGAAAAAAACAACUCAUCAACCUAGGUUUUCAUUGACCCUUCUGGCUAUAAAAUAGGUACACAUAAACGACAAACUCAUAUGUACAUGAUUUUUCAUGUGGGAUUUUUUUGUUGAAACACACCCUCGGUAAUUUGUGUGUAAAUAGCACGGCAAGUUAUGCAUCUCAUGCCUCUUAAUUGACUUACAGACGUCAUGUUAACUUUGAUCUGAGAAAUUUAUAUGUAAAUAACAUGCUAACUUACACAUCACAGACCCGAUAACACACUUUUCAAUAAUUUUUGUGCAUAUAACAUGCUAAUUUAUGCACCGUAGACCUUAUAAGUUUGUACAAACACCGUGGUAACUUUGAUCCAAUGAAAAAAUGUUGAUAACAUCCCACGAUAAUUUCUGUGUAAAUAACAUGGUAAUAUACGCAUUGUUUGACUGCAUGUCGUUCGGAUCCGUUUACUAAAAGCGGACGAUCGGAAGUUAGCAAAGCUUAAUAGCACGGUAACUCACACAUCGCAUACCUGAUAACUUAUAUACCCCGGUCCUGGUAACUUUGACGCCUAGGGGGUGAUAAAAUAUCCUUACCCCGGUCCUGGUAACUUUGACGCCUGGGGGGUGAUAAAAUAUUCCCGUGGUAACUUUUAUGUGAAUAGCAUGUUAAGUUGGUGACUCACAAAUCACAAACCUAAUAACUUAUGUAUCACAGUCUUGAUAACUUUGGCAUGGGGAGUGGGGGUUGAUUAAAUAUCCCCCCGGUCGGUAACUUUUGUGUGAAUAGCAUGAUAACUCACACAUCGCAGACUUGAUAACUUAUGUGCACUCACACGUCGUAGACAUGAUAACUUAUGACCCCGGUCCUGGUAACUUUGGCGACCGGGGGGGUGGGGGGUGGGGGGGUUGAUGAAAUAUACGCCCGGUAACUUUUGUGUGAAUAGCAUGAUAACUCACACGCUGCAGACCUGAUAACUUAUGUGCCUCGGUCCUAGUAGCUUUGGGGGGCGGGGGAGGAAGGGGGUGAUGAAAUAUACCCACGGUAACUCACCUGUUGCAGACAUCAUAACUUAUGUACCCCAGUCCUUGGCGACCAGGGGGGAGGGGUUUGCUGAAAUAUACCCCCCGGUAACUCACACACCACAAACCUGACAACUUUUGUACCCUAGUCUUAGUAACUUUGGCAACGGGUGUGGGAUGUGGGAAGGUGUUCAAAAAAAUCCGGGAACUUUCAUGUAAAUAACUUGGAACUGUACACACCUUAUACGUGAUAACUUAUGCAUAAAUACCACAACAACUUUGAUCCGGGGUGGUGGGAGGGGAGAAAGUAGUUUGAAAACAUACCCCUCCCGAUAACUUCCAUACAAAUGUCAUGAUAAUAUACGUAGCAUAGACUUGAUAAUUCAUGUACAAACACCGUGAUAACUUUGACCUUGGGGGAGGAAGUUGUUUGAAAACAUAACUUUGAUAACUUAUGCAUAAAUAGCAUGGUAAUAUAUGAACCACAGACAUGGUAACUCGCACACAAACACCGCGGUAAAUUUGUCCCGGAAAAAAUAGUUAUUGAAAAUGUACCACGGUAACUCAUGUGUAAAUAACAUGAUAAUAGACACAUAUCCGAGCUGAUAACUUACUUAGCCCAGGCCUGGUAACUAUUUGCACGAAAAAAAAGUCAUCAGAACAUAUCAACAUGGGAUUUAGUUUUGUAAGUCUCGUCGCAACUGAUUUUUUAUGUGAAAACGAUUUUUUGAUCAGACUGACGAUUUGACCUAUAACACAUUUUAAAGUUUUGAAAUAUGUAGAAUCAAGGAUGCAUCCAUUUUUUCACCCUUCUAAUGUAUGCAUCCAUGUGCAUGUGAAGAGAAAAUUACAAGAACUACCUUUUAUGUCCCAGUAAUUUCGGUAUAAAUAACAUGAUAACUUAUAUACAACCGCAUGAUAACUCGUGUAGCAAACGCGUGGUAACUUUUGACCCCAAAAAAAAUAUCGUCAAAACAUACCAACAUGGGAUCUAGUUUCGAAGGUCUCGUUGCGACGAAUCUUUUAUGUGAAAACGGUUUUUCAAUCGGACCAACGGUUUGAGCUAUAAAAUAUUUUAAAUUUUCGCAUUGGGAAGAAUCUUUGAUGACAUCAUCAAUUUCGUUUUUUUGCAUGUAUAUGAUUAUGAAAAAACUAACGCCCACACAUGUGGCAUCUUGUACAUCGCCCACACGUCCUCAUCAUCACUCAUUUUGUCACGUAUGAACAGAUGACAUCAGCAGAAUCUUUUUUGUUUUUGGCUUAAAAAUGUUUUAUCUCCUAAUUAAAAAAUUGAAUUAAAAAUAUGUUUUCACCAUUAAAUCCGUCUCGACGAGAUCUUCAAAACUAGACCCCAUGUUGAUAUGUUUCGACGAAAUAUUUUUUUUACCCAAAAGUUGCCAUGAUAUUUACACUGUAGUUGCCGUAGUGCUUAAAUUAAAGUUGCCAUGUGGCAAUUUUAGUUUGUAGAACAUGGCAAUUUUAGUUUUCUUAUGAUGCCAAUUCCAGUACUUUGACCAUGAAAUUUAUUUUUUGUAUGAACCAUGGCAAGUUUAAGUGCAUGUAUCAUGGCAAUUUUAGUUUAUGGUUCAUGAAAAGUCUAGUUUCUUAAUUCCCCGUUUUAUAAUGUGUCAAAAUUUACUUUUAAAUGUAGAAAAAAAAUAGCUGAAACAUAUCAUGGCAACUUUAGUGUAAACAUCAUGACAAUUCAUGUGCAAUAGACAUGACAACUUUUAACGACAAAAAAAUCGUUGAAAUAUAUUGAUACGAGAUCUAGUUUCGAAGAUCUCGACGCGAGGGAUUUAAUGGUGAAAGCGGAUCUUCAAUCGGAUUUUUCAUUUAAAAGAUAAAAUAUUUUAAAAACUAAAAAUCCAAAAAAAUUCCCACAUGCAUUCAUGAGGUGACGUGGCGCAGUCUGCAUGUUAUAGGGCGUGUGGCCAGGUUUGGCUCCCACCACAUGUGUGGGCGUUAGCAUUGUCCUAUGAUUAGUAGCUGCUAAUUAACUGCUAAUGGAUAGUGGACACGUACAGAAAAAAGAAAGAAAAUAAGAUGAAGCUAAUGCAUACAUGCAAGCUAGGGAGAAAUUGUGCGGAUCUGUUGCUUAACUUCAAUACGUGUGGAAGCUAGCACAGUCCAUAUAAAUAAUAGAUACUUUUGGAUUUCUAUUUUUUUAGUAGGUGCCUUAUGCACCUGCGCGGAGGGAUAUAUAUCGAUCUAGGCCAUACAAUUUGCAGCGGGUUGUCAUCGAUCAUGGCCAUGGCCACUAGGGGCUUCUUUUUGAAACGGCGGCGAGCAUGGCCUGCCAAAACGCCACCAGUAGUUAGACUCCUGGUGUUUGCCAACGGAAAUAAAUUAGUGACAUACAUCUCGCGGUGCCUCGUUUCCUGUCUCUCUCGCCUCCUCGAGUCCCCGCGCGACGUAAAUUACGCCGGCGAGUCGUACGCAUGCUUGCGUCUCCUCGUCGCUCGCGGCAGCAAGUAAAUAGUACGCGACGACUGCUCGGGCGUCGGGCAGGAUGAUGAAUGCACAGCGACCAUCACCGUAUACGGUACUCCACUAUAUAAGAACAUCCAUGUGUGGUAUCGCAACUCCAUACCCACAGGACACAUCUCGCUAGCUGCUGUCUCCACUCACAAUGUCCUCUUCGUCCACGGUGGGCAACAUCGCUCCCAACGACGGAUCGUCGUCGCCGCCUGCGUCGGCCAUCGUCGCGCAGGCCAUGUCCGGGUCGCACGUAGUCAAGAUAGACGGCUACUCCCGCACCAAGGGGCUUGGCAAUGGCAAAUACAUCAAGUCCGAGACCUUCACCAUCGGAGGCCAUCCCUGGUGUAUGCGCUACUACCCAGACGGCUGUCAGACUGAAGACGCAGAUUGGAUAUCCAUCUAUCUGCAGCAUAGUACUGAUCCAACUGAUGCUAGUGAAGUCAAAGAAGAGUUCAAGAUGAGUUUGCUUGACCAGGACAGGCAACCGGUGGCAUUGUACAGCAGAUGCAGCAGCCACAUAGGCACAUUCUCCAGACUCCACGAAAGGUGCAGCAUGGGCUUCGCUCAAUUCAUCAAGAGAAAGGAUUUGGAGGAAUCCCUUUACCUUAGGCAUGAUGUUUUCAGCAUCAGGUGCGAUGUCUCCGUGUCAAAGAAGAUCUUCACCGAGCCAAUCCCACCGCACGUCGUCCUGCCACCGUCCAACAUGCACCAGCAUCUCGGACAACUUCUCUUGGCCGGCGAGGCGGCCGAUGUUACCUUCGAGGUCGGCGAGGAGACAUUAGCUGCGCACAGGUGCAUACUCGCAGCUCGGUCACCGGUCUUCAAGGCAGAGCUCCUUGGCCCCAUGAAGGAGAAGACCGCAACUCGAGUGCUGAUCGAUGACAUGGAAGCCAGAGUGUUCAAGGCGUUGCUCCAUUUCAUCGACUCGUUGCCCUCCAUGGACAAAGGCGGCGCGACGGAGAUUGCUCAGCAUUUGCUGGUGGCGGCUGACAGGUAUGAUAUGGAGAGGCUGAAGCUGAUCUGCGAGGGGAGGCUGUGUGAUCACAUUCAGGGGUGGAGUCAGGAUUUGGGUAUGGAGGGGCCAAGCCAAGUAAGAAAAAAAAAAUCCAGUACAAAAAGUAAUCGUAUAGAACAAGGUUUUGCUUAAGUAACAUAAAAAUAUCAUUACAUUUGUAUUAAUUUAAAGUGGCCUCUACGACUGCCAAUAAGAUCAAAAAUAUUAAUAAUUUGAUUAUAAAGUCAAAUCAAUUCUCAAGAUAAAAAGCAACCAAGAUAUAACUUAAUGUAGUAUUAGUUAAGUACUUUUAUAGAGAGUAGAAAAACAUACUUGCGGUUAAGUGGACUCUGAUUUGUAACGUGUGAUUAUGACUUCUGUUUGUUCUGCAAGAUUUACCAUGUCCGGCAUAACCUGAUCAGAAGCGUUAACUGGACUCGGAUUGUCGGAUUUGUAACUUGGACAUCAGCCUCACUAACAAUUUCAGUAGGAUGAGAACUUGAAGCAACUGGCUUAAAAAAGCAUUAAUCUUAACGGGUGUUUGGCUUUGCUUUUCUCUUCGUAGCUGCUGCCUGCUGGAUUGGAAUGGAAAAUCAACAUACUGUAUAAGUUUGACAAUAAAAAAAUAUUGCAUCACAGUUAGGAACUAAUACAAGGUAAUUUGCAUCACAAAAAUAGGAACUGGCCGAGACACAUCACCAGUACACCACUGAAUUCAUGAUAAUUGUGGGACUGGGACAUUUACAAAAUAGGCAUAUCCAGAUCAGAAGCAUCAACUGGACACCACUGAAUCAUAGAUCAUAGAGUCACAAAUUACAGAACCAAAUUACCACAAAAAAAAUCUGGAGUACCAAUUCCACAAUCGACACUGAUACAGGAUGAGAUUCUACAGAGAUUAAACCUUUGCUCUUUCGUUGGUUAAGCGGGAGAAAUUGACAAGUACAGCAGCCAAAUACCUGAAUAUGUGAAUCAGAUCGACUGAUCGAGAGAAGCAUGGCUUGGUCCUGAGAGCAGGGCGAGAAGAGGCGAACGGGCGGUGUCAGCGACAUUAAGGGCGCGAGGCGCGAGGGUGUCGAAAACUGGAACGGCGGCGACUAGUCCCAUGUAGUAUACCCUAAAUACGAAUUACAGACUUACAGUUACGAUGGGCAGGGGACCUAGAGCCGAUGCCCAUCGGCCACUACUAUAGUAGGCCUACUAGUGGGCUUUUUUCACAUGGGCCUUUUUCUUCCUUUUCUCACAUCUGCAAAAGCACGGUGGCGACCACGCUGGCACUGGCUGAGCAGCACGGCUGUGCUGCUCUCAAGAAGGCAUGCUUCAAGUUCCUGAUGUCUCCGGGUAACCUGAAGGUGGUCAUGGAAUCUGAUGGAUAUGAGCACCUCAAGAGCAGUUGCCCAUCUGUUCUGGACGAACUGGUCGCCAAGCUUGCUCCAUGAUCUCUUUGAGUCUAAACUCACAAGACCUGGAUAUUUGGCAUGCUAAUUAUAUUUUCAGAAGUGAUGAUAUCCUACUACUGGUAGUCGUCUGUGAAGGACUGUUCAUUCUAUUAAAAUUAAGGUUGCUUACGUUGCUGCAUCUGCUUGAUUCAAACAAUCUUGAUAGUAGCAAAGCUUUAUAAACAUUAAAAUAUAAAUAGAAGUUUGAAAACUGAGAGAGAAACUUCUGUUUAUUCUGAAGAAAUUAUUGCAGAGUUCUCAAAAUUAGAGGAAGCAUUUAGAAAUUCGAAGGAAUGUCCUCAAAUUUAAUAUGUUAGCAGAUAUUUACAGUCUAUUUUAAUCUUAAUUUCAGACAUGGUGCAAUGGUGUUAAAUUCAAAUGUGAAGUUAUAAGUCAUUAUUACAUAGUAGUCGUGGUCAAAAGUAUGUGUGCCAAAAAAUUAUUUAAAACACAUAUCCCAAGUGGGGACCGCUUGGCCCGGCUCCAAGGCAAUGGCGGGCACGUAAGACGACAUCUGCGGCCGGUCAGGGAUGCCGCCACUCCUGGGGGGCCUUCAGCCACUAGGUGGAGGCCGGCGGAGGUGCAGGUGGCCUCGGAUGCCAUGCCUACGAGGUCACUGUCCGGUGCUUUACCUAGUUUUUAGUUUAGUUCAAUUCUUAUUGGGUUAAUUGAAACUUUGUUAAGUUUCAUUAUUUGCUGAAAAUAUAUCAAAAUUAGAUUUAAUCUGUUUUAGCAUCAAUUUUAUCCAUUUGUAUGCUCGAUCCGUUUGUUUUCACUUUCAGUUUCACAAAAUAUUUAGCACCAGUCGAAAACACCGAAAUUCAGUGAAUUUCAGUUAUUUUGAUUUGCAUUUUGACCAAAGUCGAAAUAUUCACUUGAAGUCAAUUUUUUUUUGAAUUUUUUAAAAUUAUUUUUGAGAAAUAUUUGAAUUCAUAUGUACCACUGAAUGAAAUUGCCCAAAUAUUUUAGCUGAAAUGCAAAUAUUUUAGUGAUUGCUGAAAUUAAUGAAAUUCAGUAAAUAUUAUCGAGAUCUUACUGAAAGUGAAAACCAUGCUCGCAAUGUGUUGUACAUGGACAUUUGAUCCCCUCCGAAUGUUGAUCCGUCGCUGGAGUUGGCCUCAAGGGUAUCUCUCUAUGACGUUAGUCCCCUCGCCCACACGUACCCCUCUCGGACAUGCUUGCUAUUCUUCUGGGCCAGCCUAAAAGCAUCUCUAGCGUAUCCGGCAAAACACCACCUGUAAAAACAGUAUAUAGGUCGAUCCUAAAACGAAUUUACAGUACCGCGAGGCAUCCGAUAGAACAGAUGUCGUAAACCCAUAUCCUAAAAGUUUCUUCUUCUUCUUUUUUCCUCACGCUUCUUCUUCCCUGGAAUGCACGCAUGGAUGAACUCAGAACUCUAGCCGGCCAGAACGGCGCCGUUUCCGGUCUGUCGCCUGCUCCGGCCCGCUGCCUACUCCGGCGAUGCUCCGGCCAGCCGCUGCCGAACUCCUCCGCCUGCUCGCUGCUCGCGCACGACAUUGUCAGCCCCCCUGCUCCGGCGUUGACCGAUUUUACGGGGCUCGAAUCCUCCAUAUAUGACGGAUGGAUGCUCUAAUAUAUGGAAACCCGUAAAAAAAUUACAUAAUAUGAUGUUUUACGGGAGCUGGAUGCGGUUUUUCCAACCUGUGUUUCAUAAAUAUGAAGGUUUGACUGCAGAUCUGGAGCACAAGCUCGAACGGCUCCAUGGCCGCCGAGCUCAGCCUCCACAAACAUGGCCAGCCACUCCCUCUGCUUCCCCGCGGCGCAACGACCCAAGCAUCGACCACCGGAUGUGAACAAUAGGUGACAUAGUCGACCGGGCCGCGCUGGUGAGGCGGGGCCACUCCGAUCGUCGGCCAUCUCCGCCACGGCGCCAGAGGCGAAGGGCGGGGUGAUACAUCUCUAACAUAUCUAUAAUUUUUGAUUGCUCCAUGCUAUUAUAUAUUCUGUUUUGGAUGUUUAAUGGGCUUUAUUAUACAUUUUUAUAUUGAAAGUGCGUUAUAUCGACGAGAGGGGGGUGGAUAGGCGAUUUUUAUGAAUUCUUCACGGAGGAAUUUCAGGGUGAGGAAAUUCCUAAGCGAAGAACUACUUGCAGCGGUAUAACUACUCAGAUGUAAACAUAAUGGAACACAAGCAUGGUCAUCAUGAUGAAAUGAAGACAAGCACAGAGUACAGAAAGCGUAAACACAGGAUAUCACAGGACAAAGACAAACAGACUGAAGAAAUUGAGCUGAGGAAAUUGAGAAAAGUCUUCAGUCAAAGUCUUCAAGCAGAUAUGAACAAGCACAUAACACAGUUAUGAGGAAAUGAAAGAAUUGAGGGAAUAGAUCCAAUAAGCUUGGUGAAGACAAUGAUUUGGUAGACCAGUUCCAACUGCUGUCUCAGUUGUACGUCUGGUCGGAGCGGCUAGGUAUUUAAACCUGAGGAUACACAGUCCUCACCGUAUUCUCCUUGAGCUAAGGUCACACAGGCCUCGCCCAAUCACUCGUGGUAAGUCUUCAGGUGACUUCCAAACCUUCACAAACUCGGUCACUCGGCGAUCCAUAAUUUCCUCUUGGAUGCUCUAGACCAUGACGCCUAACCAUCUGGAAGAAACACAGUCUUCUAAGGUAACAAGCAUCGGAUCCACGCAGGAUCAAUCUCUUCAGUGAUGCUCAAUCACUUUGGGUUUGUAGGUGUUUGGGUUUGGGUUUUCCUCACUUGAUGAUUUUCGUUCAAAGUCCUCGGAGGAUGGAUUGCUCUCAAAUGACAAGUGUCGGUUUCUCUCGGAGUAGCCAACCAGCUAGUGGUUGUAGGGGGGCGGCUAUUUAUAGCCUAGGGAGCAGCCCGACAUGAUAAGACAUAAAUGCCCUUCAAUGAUAUGACCGUUAGGUGGGUAGAUAUUUUGGGACAGCUGGCGCGUAGCACAACAACGGUCGGAAUUUUGAGUAUCAAAUACCUCAGGGCUAUCAUGUUCCUCACUGUGUAGGCAAUCCGCGCUGCCGAAUUCCUAACUCCUCAGUCAGAACAAAUUCCUCAGAGACCAGAAGAACUUCGUCUCUGUCACUGAAGAAAUUGACUGAACUGUAUGAGAUUUCCAUUGGCUUAACUCGAAGGGAUUGGUAGGUAUAGAAUUUUGAGUUGAGCAUCACAUGGAAAAUUUUCCUUAGUAUUUCCUCGACCCCCUUUAACAGUACGGUGUUUCCUAUGACUCAAGAAAGAAAAAAUGAAACUACAAAAACAAAAGUCUUCACGCUUCAUGUUCCUUGAAUGAUUACGAAGUCUUCAUGGUCACACCAAUUUCUUCACUUUCAAAGUCUUCAGAAAGUCUUCAGAAAUCCAAAAUCUUCAGUCGAAGAUAUUCAUUUUUAGGGGUCGACUUUUACUGUAAAUCUCAAACUCCUCAUAGACUUAUAGACAUGUGUACACUCAUAAACACAUUAGUCCCUUAACCUAUAAGUCUUCAAUACACCAAAAUCACUAAGGGGCACUAGAUGCACUUACAAUCUCCCGCUUUUUGGUGAUUGAUGACAAUAUAGGUUAAGUUUUCAACGGGGAUAAACAUAUGAAGUGUAAAUACUGAUACUGAGGAAUUUGAUUGCAAGAUAUAGAAGAACUCCCCCUGAAGAUGUGCAUAGUGAGGAAUUUGCUUUUGAAGCAAUGCACACUUGAAGAGUAGAAUCAUGGAGAUCUCCCCAUGUAUCUUGUAAUUCAUGCAUGCAUUUGACAUAUAAUAUGAAGAUUUUGAAAUGCAUGAUGAAAUAUGGUGACUGAUGUAAUUCCGCAUGCAUGCAUUAAUAUUAAUAAGGAAUAAACAUGCAGAAAAUCACAGCAAAAGUAUCAGGCCACCAUAGAGUUUAAGUUUACAACUCGGUCGAAUAAAGUCUCAGAAGAACGAGAGUUGUAACUUUGCAAAAAAAAACGCCCAUAUAAGUAGACCCGCUUGAAGACUAACUCAAAUUUCUCCCCCUUUGUCAUCGAAUGACCAAAAGGGUCGAAAAAUGAGGACUAACGGCCCUGAAGAAUGUCAUGAUGAUGAAGGAGCGCCAACGAUGUUGGGGUCGUUUGUUGUUGAAGGGCCUGCCGCAGUGUCAUCCAAGUCUUCAUACUCGUCGGUGUCGCAUGGUGAAGAAUAGGAGCUGGCCACCAAGGAAGGAACCUGGACCUUCUUGUAUUUCUUCGGUGGAUGUGCAGACCAGUCAAAAUCCUCCUUGAGACCCAUUUUCUUCAGAUCUUCUUCACCAUAUAGAUGUGACGGAAUUGCCCAGGUGCGACCGAAGACUUCAUGGAGGUAGUAAUGGUUUUUCUUCACUGCAUUAUGUGUAGCAGUCAUGUUGUGAAUAAUAGAACCAAACUGACGCUUAACCCAUUUAUGGUUUUGAUCCACCUUCUGGUGAAGACUAAGAAGAAGCUCAUGGUCAGUCAUCACUCUUGGAGCAGUGGCUUGAGGAUUUGGCUUGGAUGCAUUUGCAGCAGAGUCAUGAGUGGCAGAGUCAUCAUUGGUGGAAUAAGAUGCAGCUUUGCGAAACUGACCAUCCAAUGGACGAAUGCCUUCAUCAAUAACAGCUGGUGCCUUGCCCUUUUCAUCAGCUGAGGAAUAUGUCCGCUUGAGGACUUCAAUUGGGGGCAAGUUGCUGAGGUGAUUCUGAAAGUUAGCCUUGUUGUUAAGUGAAGACCUUGUUCAGAGGAAUCUCAUAAUCCAAGGAGCAUAAGGCUUCAACUCAAACGGAGAGAGUGCAACAUUUGCCAGAGUUCUCAUGAAGAAAUCAUGAUUGUUGACAGGAAUGCCAUGCAUGAUAUUGAAUAGCAGAUUCUUCAUGAUGCCAACAAUUUCCUCAUCAGAUGAGUCGUGGCCUUUGAUAGGACUCAAUGUCUUCGUUAGAAUGUGAUAGAUUGUUCUUGGCACAUAUAGCAAUUUCUUCACGAGGAAUUUUGUCCUUGGGGCUUGACCAGGCUUUAGAGGCUUCAUAAGCACUUGCAUGUAAUGAGCAGUGAGUUCAGGCUCCUGGUACAGGCAGAGAGAUCCUUCAAGGGGUGGACUGAUGGGCAGGGCAUGAAUUAAUUCAGAGGCCGGUGCCUUAUAAUGAGUGUUUUCGGUCAUCCAGUCCAAUACCCACGUGUUGAUAUCAUCAGCAUCACCUGUGACGUGCAGAGUUGCGAAGAACUGAAGAAUAAGCUCUUCAUUCCAAUCAACAAUGUCAGAGAAAAAGUUGACCAGUCCUGCAUCAUGAAGCACACUAAGGAUCGGGGUAAAGCAAGGCAGUGAUUCCAUGUCCACAUGAGGAAUAUGCUCAUGGUCGAAGACUUUGUCCUUGUUGAAGAGCAGUGAGAAAUAAAAAUUGGCCUGGCUGGCAGUCCAGAAACGCUUCCUUCUAAGACGAGCAGAGUCAUAAGGAUUAUAGUCAGUGAGGAAGACAUGCUCGCCGAAGAAGUCAUCAGCCUUGAAUUUUUGUUUCUUCGAGAAGGGAUCCUUUGGCUUUGGCUGAGGAGUAUCAGUUAAUUGCAUCACCACCUCAGGAAUCGCAAUCUCAGGUUCCACAGGGUGAGGAAUUUCAGGUUCUUCUUCAGUGACAGCCUGGGUUUUUAAUUCUUCAUUAACAUUUUCUUCAGCACUAGUGGCUGGAAUCUCUUCAGUGACAGACGGGGUUGCACGAGGUUCUUCAGAUCCCAUUUGUACUUCAGUAUUGACAGCGGACUGAGGAAUUUGUUGCAGAUGUGUGAACAGAGGUGAGUUGGGGUGCUGACUUUCCCAAAAGUCAUCAUUCAGCAUAGGAGUUGUACACCCAAUGUCCACAUCUUCUUCUUCACUCUUUUCCUCAACGCCAGCCUCUUCAGCAGUGAACUGAGGCAUGGCCGAUGAGACUAUUGGGGUUGAAGGGAUUGCAUCCGCUUCAAUUUCUUCAUCCAACUGCUCUGACGAAGCAGCAGAAGGAAUCUCUUCAUCUGGUUCACUUGAAAUCACAUAUUCUUCAUCAAAAGGAACAAGGUCCUUUGAUGGCAUGGAUGAGACCGGAAUAGCAUCAAUUGGAUUCGCAAAAGAGCUGGUCAAUGGCUUCAUCUUUUUCGGAGCUGAAGAAUCUGAUGAAGUUGAUGCUUUCCUUUUCUUCACAGCUGCACACUUUGCAGCCUUGGUCUUCUUCACAUCUGAUGCAGAGGAAGAAUUGGAGUUGAGGUAGGUGCAGGAGGAGCAGAGGAAUUUGGUUCAUUUACUUCAGGCUCAGUGGCAGAAGCUUCAGCUGGCCUAACAGUUUCUUCAUGCGCAACACUAGUGGUUGCCCUGGCAAUUUCUUCAGCGGCUGGAAUGAAGUCAUCAGCCCUGGUACUCUGAGUUUCUUCAGCAGCCUGAUUGUCAUUAGCGGUGUUGGCAUUUUCUUUAGUCGGCUGAGCAGAUGCCUCAGCCUGAGGAUUUUUUUGUUGCGUUGGGGCUGCAAGAUUGGAAGUGAACUUCUUAGUCAAAUUUACAAAUCUGACUUUUUCUCCAAGCUAGUCAGCGCGGUAUACAUCAAAUUCAUCACUGAGUUUCCUGAUCUUAGAUUGAAUUGUGACAAGUUCUUCAGUUGUGUGACGCCCUCGAUUCAAUCAUACACUAAUCAUGCACGCAAAUGUGUACGGUCAAGAUCAAGGACUCACGGGAAGAUAUCACAACACAACUCUAGACACAAUUGAAAAUAAUACAAGCUUUAUAUUACAAGCCAGGUGCCUCGAGGGCUUGAAUACAUCAGCUCGAAUACAAACGAGUCAGUGGAAGCAACAAUAUCUGAGUAUAGACAUGAGUUAAACAAGUAUGCCUUAAGAAGGCUAGAACAAAAGCAACACCGAUCGAAAUGGCAAGGCCUCCUGCCUGGGAGCCUCCUAACUACUCCUGGUCGUCGGCGUCCGUCACGUGGUAGUAGGCACCCUCGGGGUAGUAGUAGUCGUCAAAGGUGGCAUCUGGCUCCUGGACUCCACCAUGUGGUUGCAACAACCAAAAAGAAGAAAGAAGGGGGAAAAGGGGUAGCAAAGCAACCGUGAGUACUCAUCCAAAGUACUCGCAAGCAAGGAUCUACACUACAUAUGCAACAUUAUCAAAGGAAGGCUGUAUAUGUGGACUGGGCUACAGAAAUGCCAGAAUAGAGAGAAGGCCUAGUCCUAUCGAAGACUAGCAUCUUCUGGAAACCACCAUCUUGCAGCAAACAGGAGGGAGUAGAGUAGCAUAAAGUAAAGUAGUAGUAGUGUUAUCAACCUCGGCCAGAGAUCCUUUCUCGACUCCCUGCAAGAAAGCAAUCUCAGAGCCAUACUAUCCAAUUGUCAUCACAAUCCAAUUGUCAUCACAAGUAUCCAGUUCUAGUUGUAUCGAUCGGGAUACAACUCCGAGUGUCCGUUACCAUAGGACAGGCUAUCGAUAGAUGUUUUCUUCCCUGCAGGGGUGCACCAACUUACCCACCACGCUUGAUUAACUCCGGCCGGACACACUUUCCUGGGUCAUGCCCGACCUCGGCCAAACAAUACGCCGCAACCCGACCUAGACUUAAUAGAGAGGUUAGCACGCCGGACUAAACCUAUGCCCCCAGGGGUCAUGGGCCAUAUCCCCGAAAACUCCUGCAUGUUGCGUAUGCGGCCGGUGAGCAGACCUAGCUACCUCCUUAAAAGGGUAGGUGCUUACCAGUCCAACCCGGCGGGCGCCGCUCAGUCGCUGACGUCUAUUAAGCUUCGGCUGAUGUAUACGACGCAGAACGCCCAUACUAUGCCCACGUGAUGGUUAGUGCUAUUAGGCCAGAGGCCCCUCGGAUCAAAUAUCCAAAUCAUAGUGGAUUAGGAACGCGCGGUAACAAGCAGAGACUCACGAAAGAUGUGACCCCGUUGCCCCAUCUCGAGGACUCGCGGCAAGGGCUACGAAUGCCCGGCCAUGCCUCGUAAUUAUCUCACGGGAACCUUCCAGGUUAACCCGACUCCACAUCACUCGCAAUUAUGCUCGUGCGGGUACCCCUCAGGGUCGACCCGUCUUUAGUAACAUGGUUCAGUGUAAAGUCAUAGUAAUCAUAGUAACUGUGUGUCUAAACAUCAAGGGGAAAACCCGAGGAAUCACCCCCGAUGAAUUCCACUCGUUGUAAUCAUCAAGGUGAACGUAAGAGGAAUCACCCCCGAGGUUCACACUUGAGGGGUUGCACGACAAAGUCGUAUCAGAAGUGGUUAAGGCGGAAUCACCCUCGAUAACCACGACCGAAUAGCUACACUACAGGGUUAACAUCAGAAGUGCUGUAGAGGUCUCACCCUCGGCACUCGAUAGUAACCUAGCAGUGUCGAGCAACUAAGGGGAAAGUGAUGUGCGGUGCCGGGGCCUGGUCUUCGAUCCCGUUAAUCGGGUCUUCGAUGAUGAAGUAGGGGCAACAAGGACAAGGUGGGGGUCACUGAUGGAUCACUAACCAACCUAUACUAAGCAGUUUAUGAUAAGCAGGUAAGGUAGAACAACAGAUACAAAAGCAGGCUACGCAUCAGAAUAGGAGCAAUCAAUAACAGUAGCAAAAUCUAAUGCAAGCAUGAGAGAAUGGAAUGGGCGAUAUUGGGAUGAUCAAAGGGGGGGCUUGCCUGGUUGCUCUGGCAAGGAGGGGUCGUCGUCGAUGUAGUCGAUCACAGGGGCAGCAUCGGUCUUAGGGUCUAUCGGAGAGAAGAGGGAGGAGAAAUAGUAAAUAUAAAGCAAACAUAGCAUAACAGGACAACAGGCAGAGCUAGACGUGUUCUAACGCGGUGCUACACGAUACCGGCGAGGCGGGAAGUCAACCGGGAAUGUUUUCCCGGUUUCGGACCUGUGUUAGACAGAUGACCGGAGGGGGAAAGUUCCAUGUUCAGCAUGCUAGGGGCAUGUGACAGAUGAACGGACCGCGUAUUUGGAUUCGUCACGUUUUUCUAAGCCACUUUCAUGUAUAAAGCUUUUUGAUCCGAGCUACAAUUUAUUUUCUAUGAAUUUUUGAAGAUUAAAACAUUUUCUGGAAUUAUUUAAAUUAACAUAAAAGGUUAUUGCACCAGCAUGACGUCAGCAAAGCAUCAGCAGGUCAACCGCAGCUGUUCAGGUCAAACCUGGCAGCUGGGCCCCACUUGUCAUAGAGAGGGGGUUCAGAGCAUCGGGAAUAGAUCAUCUCUCUAACUAUGGCUCGUGACAACACACAAAGCCAAUCUAUAGGAAUAACUUUGGAAGCAGGGAUGUACAGGAGAGUCAAGGUUCGAUCCUGGGACCUGUGGGUUAUGGGCCCACCAUGUGGGUUAAAAGUAGGAAGGGCGCUAACAUCUUGCAUGGUCAUGAUAGCGAGGUAUGUCAAAGAAUAGCAUGCCUGUUAUGUUGGCAACAACGUUGGUACCAAGGGCGAGGGACAAAGAGAACCAUUUUCCUGCUCGUUGAACGAGGCAGACCAAUAGGCAAAGUUCUCGUCCAUCGAUGGUUACCGGAAUGUCAACAGCAAUAAUAACAAGGUCUUACUGACAAAUUGUACACCGAGGUGUUUUCAUAAGCAGGGAACUAUUACUGCUUAGAUCUCAUAAACCACAAGGAAGGUUAAACAAAACAAUGGAAAGAAAAGGUGAUCAUUAGAGCAAUCGACACAUUGGAAAGGAAAAAAAUGUGUUUACACACAGGAAUUAGGAGUAUAUCCUUCCCAAGGGGAAGCGUAGCAGGAUAUACAUGAUAUUACAGCAAGUUCAAAAGCAUUUAGAUAAAGGGGGCGAGGGGAUAAUCAUGAUAUUACCCUUACAACAGUGUUUGGAUAAUAGAUCAAGAAACAUUUGACAAUGUGCUUACAAUGUUCUUGUUGAUAUUCGGAAUACCUCAGUCAUGCUUUGAGGUAGCAUUAACAUGGUGUUACAAGUAGGGGUUGGAGUUGAAGAUCAUAAGAAAUACUCCAUGAACAAUUGCAGUAAUAGCAAGGAGUCCAAAGGUAUAACCAAGACAUGAUGAAACAUGUGUUGGAAAGAAGACAAGGGGGUUGUCAAUGAUAACUCAAAUCAUUGAAGGUCAAGGAUGGUAUUUCUCACCAUGAAAUUUAAUUGUCGUCUCAACGGAAGUCAAAAUGUUGAUGUUGAUCACGACACAUUUGUCAAGAGGUUCUAUGAAGAUGUCAUCGAGGACCGACAACAUCAAGCAACAGGAAGGAUGAAGCGAAAGGCUAUUGGAACCACGGAUACGACACAAGUUCAAAAUCAAGCUUGCUAUUCAAGGCGAAAAGGUAUGACGAGGAAGAUCGACAUAAGCUUAGCUCAUCGUCGAAAAUUGUGCUCUGGGAAGAAAGGACCAAGCAGGACAGUUAAAAUUUAGGACGAUAGUGGUAUAGCUGAUUAUGCUAGGAAUGACUUGAAGGAUUAAUAAACUCAUAAGCAACGAAGAUUAUAUAGAGUUGUUGAAUCGGAGUGCGGAAUUUAUUCACUUAUCAGUGUUCUCGGUUGACGACAACCUAGAACCCAGUAAAAUUGGACUCGGUGAGAAAUAAUAGUUGAUGAAGAACCGAUAAGAAGUUAUGCAGUUCCAUGAUAUUCUUGAGAUACCAGAGUGUAAUACUCGAUGAUAGAUCAACGUAAAGGUUGGACAGGUGCAAUUAAUCUGCAGAAGACAAGUACUUCAACUUGUCCGAGGAAUGGGAUCAAAGAAGAACAAUAUGGUCGAAACCACGUUCGCAAAAGACCAAAUCUCGGAUAUAAGAACUUAUACCAAGGGGACAUUUAAUUUUAAGAGAAGCUUCCAUGAAGAUCUACAUCGUUUCUAUGAGCAUGAACACAAAGUUCAAGGUCGACUCCCACUUCUUCAAUGCAUAACCUCUCAUUUACUUCUCGCUUUUGACAAAGUUGUAGUGUAGAACAUUUUAUCCGACGUAACACCAGUAGAGUAUGACCCAUAGAAAUUUUCGGGUUCACACUAAUUAGGGAAAGCAUUAGUUCAACCUGCCGGGGCAUCUUAGGAACAUUUGCAAAACUUUAGAGGUAAUUAACUCAAGUUCGGAAGCAGAGCAUGGUUGACAAAGUAGAGAAUACAAUUUACCAAAGGCAAUAUGUAUCACGGGAAGAGCGCACAAAAUUUUGAAUGUGAAGGAAACUGCCGGAUAAUAAUCCAACAAAGGAUUCAACGGUCCUCAAUGGAUCUGAUUUGAGUAUCAGUACUCAAUCAGAAGAAGGAAAGAAUGCAAAGGCAUUGGAUUAUAGAAACAUCUGAAUAAUUCGAUGCUUAAUGCAAAGAAAUUAUGAUUUCCAAAUUAGAAGAUCAGAAGCAGACACUCUGGUCAAAAGAUAAGUAAGUUGAAUAGAUAUAGAUCGACAAUCAACUAAGGUUUGGUUUGCCGAGAACCAACUCAUGUCUGGAGUGACGUCUGAGCCGAAAAGAUCAUUUAAAAGGAUCAACUGAUGAUUGCGUGCAUUCGCUCACAUGUUGAAUCAAUAGGAACAAAAUGACGGUGUCAAAUGAUACUAAUGAAUAUUGCUAGACAUAUGAGAAGCAUCCAUAAUGUAAGCAGACAAGUAAUUGUCGAGCAAUAGUUUGAAGAGGAUUCUCAGAAGAUCAAAUAGUAUAUCAGAGAAUCUUAUGAAGCAUACGAACAACUGAGGAUGAACAGAUACUCGAUAAGUGCGAGGAAUUAUCCAUAGGGGUAUUCAUGUGGUAAAGAACUGCAAGGCAGUAAGCUCAAGGGAUUCUCGGGGCAACAGAGAGUAUUUUAGGGCAUCUUGAAAAUAACAAGAGCAACAAGGAAUGAUUGUAUGAAUGACAAGUGUAUGUAGUUAGUCAUAGGGGCUUAUCGGUGGUAGGGAAUUUCAAAAGCGAUGGCACAAGUCUCGAGAGAACAUCGGAGAGUAACUUCGAAGUCUUCUGGUGAAGCACGCGAUCAUCUGGAAUGAAGGGGCUCUCCGGGUGGAAGUGGUUACGAGAUCCUAGAGUCAGAGUGAGCAAAAUCAUUUAACCCGAAUAAGGGAGAGAUCAGAAUCCCAAAGUAAAGAUGAGGAAUAAAAGAUCCUAACACCACCCAGUGGCUACGUGGGCCUGUAAGACACACAUCCAUGUUAGUAAAAGUUUUUCAGUGACUAGACUCAACUUCGGCCAAGGAGUUGGAAAGGGGGCUACCUAGAGGCAGUUGGUUCUGAUACCAACUUGUGACACCCUCGAUUCAAUCGUACACUAAUCAUGCACGCAAAUGUGUAUGGUCAAGAUCAAGGACUCACGAGAAGAUAUCACAACACAACUCUAGACACAAUUUAAAAUAAUACAAGCUUUAUAUUACAAGCCAGGGGCCUCGAGGGCUCGAAUACAUCAGCUCGAAUACAAAUGAGUCAGCAGAAGCAAUAAUAUCUGAGUACAGACAUGAGUUAAACAAGUAUGCCUUAAGAAGGCCAGCACAAAAGCAACAUCGAUUGAAAAGGCAAGGCCUCCUGCCUGGGAGCCUCCUAAUCCUGGUUGUCGGCGUCCGUCAUGUGGUAGUAGGCACCCUCGGGGUAGUAGUAGUCGUCAAAGGUGGCAUCUGGCUCCUGGACUCCACCAUCUAGUCGCAAAAACCAGAGAGAAGAAAGAAGGGGGAAAAGGGGUAGCAAAGCAACCGUGAGUACUCAUCCAAAGUACUCGCAAGCAAGGAUCUACACUACAUAUGCAACAUUAUCAGAGGAAGGUUGUAUAUGUGGACUGGGCUGCAGAAAUGCCAGAAUAGAGAGAAGGCCUAGUCCUAUCGAAGACUAGCAUCUUCUGGAAACCACCUUCUUGCAGCACACAGGAGGGAGUAGAGUAGCAUAAAGUAAAGUAGUAGUAGUGUUAUCAACCUCGGCCAGAGAUCCUUUCUCGACUCCCUGUGAGAAAGCAAUCUUAGAGCCAUACUAUCCAAUUGUCAUCACAAGUAUCCAGUUCUAGUUGUAUCGAUCGGGAUACAACUCCGAGUGUCCGUUAUCAUAGGAUAGGCUAUCGAUAGAUGUUUUCUUCCCAGCAAGGGUGCACCAACUUACCCACCACGCUUGAUUAACUCCGGCCGAACACACAUUCCUGGGUCAUGCCCGGCCUCGGCCAAACAAUACGCCGCAACCCGACCUAGACUUAAUAGAGAUAUCAGCACGCCAGACUAAACCUAUGCCCCCAGGGGUCAUGGGCCAUCUCCCCAAAAACUCCUGCAUGUUGCGUACGCGGCCGGUGAGCAGACCUAGCUACCUCCUUAAAAAAGGUAGGUGCUUACCAGUCCAACCCGGCGCACGCCGCUCAGUCGCUGACAUCUAUUAAGCUUUGGCUGAUGUAUAUGAUGCAGAACGCCCAUACUAUGCCCACGUGAUGGUUGGUGCUAUCAGGCCAGAGGCCCCUCGGAUCAAAUAUCCAAAUCGUAGUGGAUUAGGAACGCGCGGUAACAAGCAGAGACUCACGAAAGAUGUGACCCCGUUGCCCCGCCUCGAGGACUUGCCGCAAGGGCUAAGAAUGCCCGGCCACGCCUCGUAAUUAUCUCACGAGCACCUUCCAGGUUAACCCGACUCCACAUCACUCGCAAUUAUGCUCGCGCGGGUACCCCUCAGGGUCGACCCGUGUUUAGUAACAUGGUUCAGUGUAAAGUCAUAGUAAUCAUAGUAACUGUGUGUCUAAACAUCAAGGGGGAAACCCGAGGAAUCACCCCUGAUGAAUUCCACUCGAUGUAAUCAUCAAGGUGAACGUAAGAGGAAUCACCCCCGAGGUUCACACUUGAGGGGUUGCACGACAGAGUCAUAUCGGAAGUGGUUAAGACGGAAUCACCCUCAAUAACCACGACCAAAUAGCUAUACUACAGGGUUAACAUCAGAAGUGCUGUAGAGGUCUCACCAUCGGCACUCGAUAGUAACCUAGCAGUGUCGAGCAACUAAGGGGAAAGUGAUGUUCGGUGCCGGGGCCUGGUCUUCGAUCCUGUUAAUCGGGUCUUCGAUGAUGAAGCAAGGGCAACAAGGACAAGGUGGGGGUCACUGAUGGAUCACUAACCAACCUAUACUAAGCAGUUUAGGAUAAGCAGGUAAGGUACAACAACAAAAGCAGGCUAUGCAUCAGAAUAGGAGCAAUCAAUAACAGUAGCAAAAUCUAAUGCAAGCAUGAGAGAAUGGAAUGGGCGAUAUCGGGAUGAUCAAAGGGGGGGCUUGCCUGGUUGCUCUAGCAAGGAGGGGUCAUCGUCGACGUAGUCGAUCACAGGGGCAGCAUCGAUCUCGGGGUCUACCGGAGAGAAGAGGGGGGAGAAAUAGUAAAUAUAAAGCAAACAUAGCAUAACAGGACAACAGGCAGAGCUAGACGUGUUCUAACGCGGUGCUACACAAUACCGGCGAGGGGGAAAGUUAGUCGGGAAUGUUCUCCCAGUUUCGGACCUGUGUUAGACUGAUGACUGGAGGGGGAACGUUCCAUGUUCAGCAUGCUAGGGGCAUGUGAUAGAUGAACGGACUGUGUAUUCGGAUUCGUCACGUUUUUUUGAGCAACUUUCAUGUAUAAAGCUUUUUGAUCCGAGCUACGGCUUAUUUUCUAUGAAUUUUCAAAGAUUAAAACAUUUUUCGGAAUUAUUUAAAUUAACAUAAAAUGUUAUUGCACCAGCAUGACAUCAGCAAAGCGUCAGCAGGACAACCGCAGCUGUUCAGGUGAAACCUGGGAGCUGGGACCCACUUGUCAUGGAGAGUGGGUUAACUAACUAACUAACAGGGUUAAUAAACUAGGUGGGGCCCCAUGUCAGUGGCUAAUUAACCGAUUAGAUUAGGUUUUUAACUAAAACCAAGUUAAUUAACUUAACUAAACGGGACGGCCCACUAGUCAGUGGCUGCAGCGCCAAGUCAGCAUAGUUGACCGGGGUCAAGGGGUCAGCUGGGGCCCCUGGGACCCACCGGGCAGUGGCCCUGGGGGUGGCCCCCGGCCGGCCACGUCGGCAUGGCCGGCGUUCAGCCGUCGGCGACACAGAGAGGCAGCGGAGGCGCUCGGGAGGCUGGAUUUCGCCUACAGAGGGCCAAAACGGACGUGGCCGAUGCCGUUCGAACGAGAGCGGCGAGCCGCAGCUAACCGCGGUGGUGGCCGACCACGGGGCGUCCGGAAACGGCGUCGGCGUGGAUCACGGGCGGCGGUGGCCUUCGGUCGCUCGACGGAGAUGGUGCUUCGGGACACGGCUUGCCACGCGGAGCGGCUCCACGGGCAGCUGGUGCUCGCACGCAUCCAUUGCCGUAGUCCAUAGUAGCCGGGAGGCGAUGAGCUCAUCGGAGACGAGCUCACGGCGGCGGCCGGAGCACUGGCCCGGUGAGGACGGCGCCAGGGGGAGCGGGAGGAGUCGCGGGCGCGUGCGGUGGGUGCAGGCGGAGGUGGUGAGCACGACGGGGUGGUCGGCUGCGAGCUCCACGAGCCGUGGCCACGAUGGCGAGCAGCACCGCGGUGACGAACUCGGGCACGACGGGGAGGAGCAGCUACAGGGGGGCAGAAGAGAUGCGCGGCGAGAGGGGAAAGGAGUCGGAGCUCACCGGGAAGGCACAAGGAGGCCCAGCGACAACUUAGUAGCAGCAGGGGGGUGGCCGGAGUGGACGGCGACGGCGACCACCGAAGCGGAGGAAGGUGGCGAUCCAGCGAGGCAGAGGGGCUUCGAGGCCCGUGGCGUGGUUGCGGUCAUCGUGAUAAGCAGGUAAGGUACAACAACAAAAGCAGGCUAUGCAUCAGAAUAGGAGCAAUCAAUAACAGUAGAAAAAUCUAAUGCAAGCAUGAGAGAAUGGAAUGGGCGAUAUCGGGAUGAUCAAAGGGGGGGCUUGCCUGGUUGCUCUAGCAAGGAGGGGUCAUCGUCGACGUAGUCGAUCACAGGGGCAGCAUCGAUCUCGGGGUCUACCGGAGAGAAGAGGGGGGAGAAAUAGUAAAUAUAAAGCAAACAUAGCAUAACAGGACAACAGGCAGAGCUAGACGUGUUCUAACGCGGUGCUACACAAUACCGGCGAGGGGGAAAGUUAGUCGGGAAUGUUCUCCCAGUUUCGGACCUAUGUUAGACUGAUGACUGGAGGGGGAACGUUCCAUGUUCAGCAUGCUAGGGGCAUGUGAUAGAUGAACGGACUGUGUAUUCGGAUUCGUCACGUUUUUUUGAGCAACUUUCAUGUAUAAAGCUUUUUGAUCCGAGCUACGGCUUAUUUUCUAUGAAUUUUCAAAGAUUAAAACAUUUUUCGGAAUUAUUUAAAUUAACAUAAAAUGUUAUUGCACCAGCAUGACAUCAGCAAAGCGUCAGCAGGACAACCGCAGCUGUUCAGGUGAAACCUGGGAGCUGGGACCCACUUGUCAUGGAGAGUGGGUUAACUAACUAACUAACAGGGUUAAUAAACUAGGUGGGGCCCCAUGUCAGUGGCUAAUUAACCGAUUAGAUUAGGUUUUUAACUAAAACCGAGUUAAUUAACUUAACUAAACGGGACGGCCCACUAGUCAGUGGCUGCAGCGCCAAGUCAGCAUAGUUGACCGGGGUCAAGGGGUCAGCUGGGGCCCCUGGGACCCACCGGGCAGUGGCCCUGGGGGUGGCCCCCGUCCGGCCACGUCGGCACGACCGGCGUUCAGCCGUCGGCGACACAGAGAGGCAGCGGAGGCACUCGGGAGGCUGGAUUUCGCCUACAGAGGGCCAAAACGGACGUGGCCGAUGCCGUUCGAACGAGAGCGGCGAGCCGCAGCUAACCGCGGUGGUGGCCGACCACGGGGCGUCCGGAAACGGCGUCGGCGUGGAUCACGGGCGGCGGUAGCCUUCUGUCGCUCGACGGAGAUGGUGCUUCGGGACACGGCUUGCCACGCGGAGCGGCUCCACGGGCAGUUGGUGCUCGCACGCAUCCAUUGCCGUAGUCCAUAGUAGGCGGGAGGCAAUGAGCUCACGGCGGCGGCCGGAGCACUGGCCCGGCUAGGACGGCGCCAGGGGGAGCGGGAGGAGUCGCGGGCGCGUGCAGUGGGUGCAGGCGGAGGUGGUGAGCACGACGGGGUGGUCGGCUGCGAGCUCCACGAGCCGUGGCCACGAUGGCGAGCAGCACCGUGGCGACGAACUCGGGCACGACGGGGAGGAGCAGCUACAGGGGGGGGCAGAAGAGAUGCGCGGCGAGAGGGGAAAGGAGUCGGAGCUCACCGGGAAGGCACAAGGAGGCCCAUCGACAACUUAGUAGCAGCAGGGGGGUGACCGGAGUGGACGGCGACGGCAACCACCGAAGCGGAGGAAGGUGGCGAUCCAGNNNNNNNNNNNNNNNNNNNNNNNNNNNNNNNNNNNNNNNNNNNNNNNNNNNNNNNNNNNNNNNNNNNNNNNNNNNNNNNNNNNNNNNNNNNNNNNNNNNNNNNNNNNNNNNNNNNNNNNNNNNNNNNNNNNNNNNNNNNNNNNNNNNNNNNNNNNNNNNNNNNNNNNNNNNNNNNNNNNNNNNNNNNNNNNNNNNNNNNNNNNNNNNNNNNNNNNNNNNNNNNNNNNNNNNNNNNNNNNNNNNNNNNNNNNNNNNNNNNNNNNNNNNNNNNNNNNNNNNNNNNNNNNNNNNNNNNNNNNNNNNNNNNNNNNNNNNNNNNNNNNNNNNNNNNNNNNNNNNNNNNNNNNNNNNNNNNNNNNNNNNNNNNNNNNNNNNNNNNNNNNNNNNNNNNNNNNNNNNNNNNNNNNNNNNNNNNNNNNNNNNNNNNNNNNNNNNNNNNNNNNNNNNNNNNNNNNNNNNNNNNNNNNNNNNNNNNNNNNNNNNNNNNNNNNGGAGGGGGCGUGGGCCGGCCUAGUUGGGCUAGCUGGCUCGGGCGGGCCGAAGCCCAAGUGGGACAGGGGCCUUUUCCCUUUUAUUUAAACAGAGAAAGAAAGGAAGUUAAUUGGGCAUCCAAAUAUCUUAAGUAAAUUAUGGAACUGGGCCCAUAAAAUCCAAGGCAUUGUUAGUCAGUGCCACAAAUAGUUUGGAGGCCAGGGGAUGUCAUUUACAUUUUUCACAAUUAAAAUGACAUUAAAAAAUGUUGAAGUUGCAAUGAAAUAAUUGCUACUGUCCAUCUUAGCCCAAUGGUGAUGUUGUUUUCCUUAACAAAUACUCCCUCCAUUCGGAAUUACUCGUCCAAAAAAUUAAUUUAUCUAGAUGUAUUUUAGUUGUAGAUACAUCCAUUUUUAUCCAUUUUUAUGACAAGUAAUUCCGAACGGAGGGAGUAAUUGUUAUGGAAUUUUUGAUAAAUGAUGAACGUUUUUCCAGCAACUUUUGAGCAACUUCAAACUUCACUUGAAUUUGAUUUGACUGGAAUUUCAAAUGGGAUAUUGAACAAAGAUGAUUAAACACUAUUUGGAAAAAUGAUUAGUUUAAUCACACAGGGUUACUGUAGCAUGACACUGGGGGUGUUACAAAUCUCCUCCACUACAAGAAAUCUCGUCCCGAGAUUUAAGUGGGGAAGUAAAGAGUAACUCCGGGAGAACUGGCCCUUAUAGGGUUAAUUACCUGGUGAACAAUUCAGGGAAUGUGGCAGAAGUAUCUCUCGAGUUGAAACUUAAGAAAACAUCGAGAGCAAAAUAUGAAGGUACAAUAGGAAGUUUCAAACGAAUGGACAAACGAUCGAUACCUGAACAGAGUGUGAGAAGGGGGUUCAGAGCAUCGGGAAUAGAUCAUCUCUCUAAUGGUGGCUCGUGACAACACACAAAGCCAAUCUGUAGGAAUAACUUUGGAAGCAGGGAUGUACAGGAGAGUCAAGGUUCGAUCCUGGGACCUGUGGGUUAUGGGCCCACCAUGUGGGUUAAAAGUAGGAAGGGCGCUGACAUCUUGCAUGGUCAUGAUAGCGAGGCAUGUCAAAGAAUAGCAUGCCUGUUAUGUUGGCAACAACGUUGGUACCAAGGGCGAGGGACGAAGAGAACCAUUUUCCUGCUCGUUGAACGAGGCGGACCAAUAGGCAAAGUUCUCAUCCAUCGAUGGUUACCGGAAUGUCAACAACAAUAAUAACAAGGUCUUACUGACAAAUUGUACACCGAGGUGUUUUCAUAAGCAGGGAACUAUUACUGCUUAGAUAUCAUAAACCACAAGGAAGGUUAAACAAAACAAUGAAAAGAAAAGGUGGUCAUUAGAGCAAUCGACACAUUGGAAAGGAAAAAAAAUGUGUUUACACACAGGAAUUGGGAGUAUAUCCUUCCCAAGGGGAAGCGUAGUAGGAUAUACAUGAUAUUACAGCAAGUUCAAAAGCAUUUAGAUAAAGGGGGCGAGGGGAUAAUCAUGAUAUUACCCAUACAACGGUGAUUGGAUAAUAGAUCAAGAAACAUUCGACAAUGUGCUUACGAUGUUCUUGUUGAUAUUCAGAAUACCUCAGUCAUGCUUUGAGGUAGCAUUAACAUGGUGUUAGAAGUAGGGGUUGGAGUUGAAGAUCACAAGAAAUACUCCAUGAACAAUUGCAGUAAUAGCAAGGAGUCCAAAGGUAUAACCAAGACAUGAUCAAACAUGUGUUGGAAAGAAGACAAGGGGGUUGUCAAUGAUAACUCAAAUCAUUGAAGGUCAAGGAUGGUAUUUCUCACCAUGAAAUUAAAUUGUCGUCUCAACGGAAGUCAAAAUGUUGAUGUUGAUCACGACACAUUUGUCGAGAGGUUCUAUGAAGAUGCCAUCAAGGAGCGACAACAUCAAGCAACAGGAUGGAUGAAGCGAAAGGCUAUUGGAACCACGGAUAUGACACAAGUUCAAAAUCAAGCUUGCUGUUCAAGGCGAAAAGGUAUGACGAGGAAGAUCGACAUAAGCUUAGCUCAUCGUCGAAUAUUGUGCUCCGGGAAGAAAGGACCAAGCAGCAUAGUCAAAAUUUAGCACGAUAGUGGUAUAGCUGAUUAGGCUAGGAACGACUUGAAGGAUUAAUAAACUCAUAAGCAACGAAGAUUAUAUAGAGUUGUUGAAUCGGAGUGCGGAAUUGAUUCACUUAUCAGUGUUCUCGGUUGACGACAACCUAGAACCCAUGAAAAUUGGAAUCGGUGAGAAAUAACAGUUGAUGAAGAACCCAUAAGAAGUUAUGCAGUUCCAUGAUAUUCUUGAGAUACCAGAGUGUAAUACUCGACGGUAGAUCAAACUAAAGGUUGGACAGAUGCAAUGAUCUGCAAAAGACAAGUACUUCAACUUGUCCGAGGAAUGGGAUCAAAGAAGAACAAUAUGGUCGGAACCACGUUCGCAAAAGACCAAAUCCCGGAUAUAAGAACUUAUACCAAGGGGACAUUUAAUUUUAAGAGAAGCUUCCAUGAAGAUCUACAUCGUUUCUAUGAGCAUGAACACAAAGUUCAAGGUCGACUCCCACUUCUUCAAUGCAUAACCUCUCAUUUACUUCUCACUUUUGACAAAGUUGUAGUGUAGAAAAUUUUAUCCGACGUAACACCAGUAGAGUAUGACCCAUAGAAAUUUCCGGGUUCACACAAAUUAGGGAAAGCACUAGUUCAACCCGCCGGGGCAUCUUAGGAACAUUUGCAAAACUUUAGAGGUAAUUAACUCAAGUUCGGAAGAAGAGCAUGGUUGACAAAGCAGAGAAUACAAUUUACCAAAGGCAAUAUGUAUCAGGGGAAGAGCGCACAAAAUUUUCAAUAUGAAGGAAACUGCCGGAUAAUAAUCCAACAAAGGAUUCAACGGUCCUCAAUGGAUCUUAUUUGAGUAUCAGUACUCAAUCAGAAGAAGGAAAGAAUGCAAAGGCAUUGAAUUAUAGAAACAUCUGAAUAAUUCGAUGCUUAAUGCAAAGAAAUUAUGAUUUCCAAAUUAGAAGAUCAGAAGCCGACACUCUGAUCAAAAGACAAGUAAGUUGAAUAGAUAUAGAUCGACAAUCAAUUAAGGUUUGGUUUGCCGAGAACCAGCUCAUAUCUGGAGUGACGUCUGAGCCGAAAAGAUCAUUUAAAAGGAUCAACUAAUGAUUGCGCGCAUUCGCUCACAUGUUGAAUCAAUAGGAACAAAAUGACAGUGUCAAAUGAUACUAAUGAAUAUUGCUAGACAUAUGAGAAGCAUCCAUAAUGUAAGCAGACAAGUAAUUGUUAAGCAAUAGUUUGAAGAGGAUUCUCAGAAGAUCAAAUAGUAUAUCAGAGAAUCUUAUGAAGCAUACGAACAACUGGGGAUGAACAGAUACUCGAUAAGUGCGAGGAAUUAUCCAUAGGGGUAUUCAUGUGGUAAAGAACUGCAAGGCAGUAAGCUCAAGGGAUUCUCGGGGCAACAGAGAGUAUUUCAGGGCAUCUUGAAAAUAACAAGAGCAACAAGGAAUGAUUGUAUGAAUGACAAGUGUAUGUAGUUAGUCAUAGGGGCUUAUCGGUGGUAGGGAAUUUCAAAAGCGAUGACACAAGUCUCGAGAGAACAUCGGAGAGUAACUUCGAAGUCUUCUGGUGAAGCACGCAAUCAUCUGGAAUGAAGGGGCUCUCCGGGUGGAAGUGGUUACGAGAUCCUAGAGUCAGAGUGAGCAAAAUCAUUUAACCCGAAUAAGGGAGAGAUCAGAAUCCCAUAGUAAAGAUGAGGAAUAAAAGAUCCUAACACCACCCAAUGGUGACGUGAGCCCGUAAGACACACAGCCAUGUUAGUAAAAGUUUUUCAGUGACUAGACUUAACUUCGGCCAAGGAGUUGGAAAGGGGGCUACCUAGAGGCAGUCGGCGCUGAUACCAACUUGUGACGCCCUCGAUUCAAUCGUACACUAAUCAUGCACGCAAAUGUGUACGGUCAAGAUCAAGGACUCACGGGAAGAUAUCACAACACAACUCUAGACACAAUUUAAAAUAAUACAAGCUUUAUAUUACAAGCCAGGGGCCUCGAGGGCUCGAAUACAUCAGCUCGAAUACAAACGAGUCAGCGGAAGCAACAAUAUCUGAGUACAGACAUGAGUUAAACAAGUAUGCCUUAAGAAGGCUAGCACAAAAGCAACAUCAAUUGAAAAGGCAAGGCCUCCUGCCUGGGAGCCUCCUAACUACUCCUGGUCGUCGGCGUCCG
This 96319-nucleotide long non-coding RNA is filed under the name Triticum aestivum (bread wheat). RNAcentral describes it as "long non-coding RNA (TAES_LNC016814)". The stretch from base 92446 to 92570 matches the Rfam family "MIR1120/MIR1122 microRNA precursor family". The record is from RNAcentral. Lineage: Eukaryota; Viridiplantae; Streptophyta; Magnoliopsida; Poales; Poaceae.